RNAcentral lists this long non-coding RNA (94220 nucleotides) under Solanum tuberosum (potato). RNAcentral's name for it is "long non-coding RNA (STUB_LNC004724)". The record is from RNAcentral. Lineage: Eukaryota; Viridiplantae; Streptophyta; Magnoliopsida; Solanales; Solanaceae.
UUUUUUUUUUUUAAAAGUAAAAAGGAGUUGCAUUGGAAAGUUUAGCAUUUUCGGGCUAUGUGACUUUUUAGUUAGUAUCUUUAAGUUUAAUGACUUGUGUUAGAAAAGAUAGUUAAGUGACUUUUGUGAAAACAAGAAAUAGUUAUAUAACCAUAUGUAAAAUACCCGAAGAUUAUGACAUUAAAAGGGACAUGUUGUGCUUGCCUUGUCCUCCAAUCCUUGAAAUAAAAUAAUGGGGCAGGAAAAGUGGUCUACAAAAUUGAUAGGCGACCUCUCAAAAUAUGCCUUCUCGUCCCCUGCAAUUAUUCAAAAGGCCUCAACACAUACUGAUAAACAUCAAUCAGCAGAAAGACUUAAAGCAAAUAGAUUGUUAACAUUAAUUGAUUAGAUAAUUACCAACUAGAUUGUCAGUAUAGUGAGAUUCGAACUUGUGAGUUUCUGCUCUCAGCAAUUGCAGAUCACCAAUCUGUUCAAUGAAAGAUGAUGGCAUAAAGCAUUGAAACUAAAAACUGGUUGAUAAAUGAUACAUAAGAAGCUUUGAGUAAACUUAUGAACCAAACUGAUGCUGUUCUACAUUAAAGAUGAUCAUCUAAGAUAACAGAAUGCCCAUAUAUAUAGGCACCAGCCUUAACUACAAAAUUUUCUAUCAUAUAUUAUUUUUUUGAUGACCGUGGUGCCUGGCCUAGCUUGUGCGCACCUCGACUAAUUCUAGGGGAUACCUGCCGCCUCCCACCAACAACAGGUACCAUAUCACUAUGUCCACCAAUUCUAUAACAAAUGGAAAGAAAUCACCCAGUGUUUUUGUCAAAACUAGAACCUAAGACCUCAUGGUGCUCAACCCACUUCAUUGACCACUAGGUCACACCCUUGGGUGUAUUUUCCAUAUUUUUAUGAUCAGUUUCUGGUUGCACACGCGAGAUCAGGUAGGAUAUGGAAAUGCGAUAUUACUUAUCACAAACAAAUUUCAUGAUUCACUCACACCAUACAAGGAAGCUCCAGCCUUGAAAACAUCUUUAAAUGCAAGUGCAGCUAAUGUUGUAUAACCACCAGCUGAACUCCCUGUAAUACAAAGUCUUUCACUGUCAACCCUUCCACUGUCAACCUGGAUGAACAGACUAAUUUACCAUGACUUACAAAAUUAUUAGCAGCAUUAAAGGAAUAUAUGAAUAAACUCAAUUUUUUGAUGUUACCAAAAAUUUGGCACAAUUGCAGCAGUCGUUAACAUCCACGAUUCCCCAACUUCCCAAUAGCCUUUCUCUAUAUUCUCUGCCAUAACCUUCAUAUGAGCCAAAAACAAAAUGAUGUUAACAAACUUAACAGCAGCUAACUAAUCUACCACUGUGCCAUACGCCAUCUUGAUUCCUUGGUCGCCUCUGCUUUUUCUACCAAUAUAAAGUAAUUUCGUACAUUUCCUUUUUAUACAUAUCAAAGGUUCUGACAAUCAGUCAAUAAAUGCAGGAAAUGAUGUUCCCUCAAAAAACUUAAACUCUCAAAAUAGUCCCCUAAUCAAGAAACAAUAUAGAAAGAAUAACAAGCCAACAAUGGAAGGAAUAAAAAGGCCAUGUGUGUACCAGUGCUUCCACCAUAAUUCACAUCCACAUAGGCCCAACCACGACUGGUCCAAUAUUGAAUGCUAAGAUUUAAACAUCCCCGUGCUUCAGCUGUAGGACCUCCUGGAUCAUCAUAAACUAUACAUUAACAUCUCAUACAGAAACCAAUUAGUCCAGCGUUUUAACUAAGAAAAUCAGACAGGAAGAAGCAGUUCUAAUGAAGGAAACAAUAACCAUGACUUCGCAAGAGCAAUGGAGGUGUUUCUCCAUGACUAGCUUGAAAGUCGGUGUUUGUUGGUGGAUAAAAGUAUGCAUAUGCACAUUGACCGGGCACAUCUGUUGGGAACUUUAUCAACUCUGGCCGACUGUAAUAGGAGUUAUACAACUCACUAACAGAUGACGACGACCACAUAAUCUUGAAAUCAAUUACUUUUGUUCUCUGAUCAUCCAAAGUAACCUGCAGAAAUAACAGAAAAAAUGCUAAAAGAAUGAUCUAGAAUAGUUUUAUAAGUACUGUUUUCAAAAUUUCAAGCAACUAGAAAGUUUGUCUAAAGAACCUUAGCUAUUGACGAUGGAUGAACAGAAGAUGCUCCUUCAACAUACAAGCCAUGAACCCCAGAAGUCUGUUUAGGUGAUAAGGUAUUUAUCAAGACCAGCACAAUGAUAAAAACUCAUAAAGGACACUAAGAGCCUGUUUGGAUUGGCUUAAAAGUUGGUCAAAUCUACUUGUAAGUCAUUUUUAGCUUUUGAGAGUGUUUGACAAAGUUAAAAAUAACUAAAAAUAAGUUAAAAAAAUACUUUAAAACAGAUAAAAACAAAAGUAGGAGUACCUACUUUUUAUUUUGACUUAAAGUCAUUUAAGUUUGACUUUAAAAAGUUAAUUUUUGAAAGCUGCUUUUUUCAGCCAAUCCAAACGGGCUCUUAAGUACAGCUUGUGCUACCAAGAACUUACUAUGUUGUUUAUAUCUGUGAAAGGAAUAUCAAGCACUGAUAUUUUGCCUAGGUUAACAUCCAAAACUCCAAGAUAUGACUUCCCAUUCUCCCUGCACAUAUUUUUCAAUUUAGAUUAGAUGAACUGCAUCAAUUUGAAUGAUUCCCUUCCCCUGAGCGAGAGGAAGAGGAAUGUGAGAAACCAGAUAAAGAACUUCUUUGUUACCAAAACAAUCAGAAUAAAAGCACUAUGAUUUCAAAUAUCAUGAUACACACAAAAUAUUAAAUAGCAAACUACUCAUCAGCUUGACCUGUAACUGCAGGCAAUUAAAGUAUCUUGGUCGUGGUUCUUAAGAAAGUCAUAAGACUUCAUCCCAAAUACCCAUAAGGGUCUUGUAAACUCAGCAUCGAGGGAGUAAACUGGUAGCACCUCGUUAGAAGACUCUACCUGUCAACAAUAAAUAAAACAGGCCAAUCAAGUUUACACUGUCUCACUUAAUGUAUGAGUUCAGUGCCAGCAACAAUAACAAGGAUGUGUUACUGGUAGAUAUUUCAUUAUUUUCCACAUAGAUGCUGAAUCUUUGAUGCAUAUUCCAGGCCCAAUAUCCAGCACCAUAAAUAACACGAAAAAUGGAAGUCUGCUUGUGCAGAAACUGAAAUAAGCACAAAAGCUUGUUUUUCUUUUUCACUUUCCCUCUGUACCUCAUUACUGGGUCAGGGGAAGGGGCCGUGGCAGAACUUCAGAUUAUCUCUUUGGCAUAUAGUAUCCAUAAAGUUGGAUUAUGGUUAGCGUGGGAAGGGUAAGGUAAAUUCUCUCUUUUAUUAUGCAAAAGUUCAUGUAAAAGUUAAAUGUUUUGCAUUUUCCAUCCAAAUAGUGUUUCAGCGGAGGACUGAAAGUGUAAUGCUUAUGUGCAGAGGAGUUGUUUGGCCAUGAGAAUUAUUCACAUUUAUUCUGGAAUACUUUUUCACUUUAUUUCAAAAUCAGUGUUAAGUUAUAAAAUUUCCAAAUCCAACUUGGAGCUGGAUUCUAAAUUAGGAAAAGUGCUCCAAACCUAUAUUCCAAGUUCCAACUCCAUCUCUAUAAAUUCCAAACAAAAUGUUCUCUUCCCUUCUUCGCAAAAAGUACAACCAAAUCCAUCUUCAAUUUCAACUUGAUAAAUUCCAAAUAAAGUGAAAAAUAUUUGAAAUAAAUGGUCAAACGCUUAAUAAGGUAGUGUCUGUUAAACACUAAAUAAUACGACUAAGUUAGAGUUGGAGGCCAUUAUAGCAAUAAUUUUUUUUCAUAUUCUUAUAAUUGCAGUAUCUAGCGAAUUGAAAUUUUUAAGCCUUGACUCCAAAAUAUCAGAGUUUUAACCACUUCAUUUCUUAUUAAUGCAACUUCACAUCUUCUAUAACAAGAAUGUGGUUAAUAAAGAGCCAGACUGAAGGUUCCCCAUAUUUGUAAUGCAAUAGAAUUUAAGCUAAUGCAACAUCUACCAAGUAUCCACAACUUUAAGUCUUAAGCAAGUCAAAAACACAAGGGUCAAAUUCGUAAAGAGCAAAAGAACGCAAGUUUAGGCUAGAACUCAAAGAAGAUGAGAUGGUUAUUAAGAAAACUUUUAAGCAACUAGAUGCAAUCAUACCCUAGAAGAGAAGUUCAAGUUAAGCCAGUAGGCUAGACAGAAGAUAGACAUAAGAAGUUCAAGUUUAGACAUUAGGCACGAUAAAAGAUUAUACAACAGAUGGCAGAGAUUUAAUCAGUAUGACACUAUGACAUCACACGGAUGAGGACUUACCCAUUUGUAGAUAUUCCAAAACCCACUUUUCCUGUCAGUUACAAAGUACAGCUCCCCUGCACCCGAAAAGAAUAGCAAAUAAAUGCAAGGAACAAGAGAAAUCAGUCUUGGCAUAUUGCAAGUAUAGAGCUAAUCAUGAAACAAGAUCUAACAUGAUCAAACAACAACACAGGAUAUAGAAUCUUACAGUUGAAUACUAAGGCAUAUAUGAACUCAAUAUUUUUUUUUUGACAAAGGUAACAUUUUUGUGUAUUAAUCUUCAACACUAAAGGCUGGGAUCCCAAAUUUACAUCAUGGAGCUACAUACAGUUGUGAGUACUCAAAACAAAACUAGAACCUACUUCAACUUACAAAGAACCUAGGAUAUCUAUAACAACCAUAGGAUCAUCUACAUUACCAGUCAAAGUAUAUCCUUUUUUGUUGAUAAUUCAAUAAGCUUGAUUCAAGAAGAUUUUAUCCCCUAGCUUAAUUAUAGAUAUUAUUUUAUUUGAUUAAUUAUCAUCCCUAAAUUAGAGAUAGGACUAAUUUACAAAUACUCAAGCUCAUAUGUUGUACAAAUAUAAUGGAAUACAAUAAAACUUUCUAAUUCUCAAAAUCUACAUGGUAUUAGAGCCAUUGUUGUCUUUUUUAGGUGAGUUUUCUCCCUCACAACACUAGGAUUCGAAGAGGUUUGAGUUUUUCUCUCUUUUACUGCUCCACUUUGUUUCCAAAGGUUGUGCAUGUCGGAGUUGCUUUCUAACAGUGGUGUCCAAAAACCAACACCACCACAAGCUUCUCCUUGCACCGACGACCAAAACCCAGCAAGAAUCUCUGCUAAAAAACACUACACCCGCUAUUGACAACACUAUCAAUCACAACGUGUCAAUAACACGCACCAGAGAGUAGGCCCUUGUCCAACGACUUACUCAGGGAGAUCUUUCCUCUGGUGGUUGUUGGCCUAUUCCAAGCCUACCCAUCCAGGUCCCACUAUUUUCAAAAUAUUGGAUCUAAGUUUUCCUGCAUACCAGAGCACUGAAAUGCUGGGAGUCCUUAUUUGAUUUUUGAAAGUUUUCCUUCCUUGGAUUAGUACUGGGAAGCAUAUAUAAGAGAGUCAACGAGGGUUCAUGCUGUAUUCGGCACCAACUGAGAAGUCUGGGCUAACUGUCUCAUGAGCAACCAAGGGCAUCCAAUUCCGAUAAUGACCCACCUUCACUAUGAUUAUUGUGGAAAACCAAAACAUACAAAGGACACAUACUUAAAACUACAUGGUAUUACUAGAAACUCUUAUCCUUUGAGUGAUAAUAAAACUACAACUCCUUUUGCGACUAUACAUGAUGUAUAAAGUCCUAUUCAAACAAUUUCUUUGCCUGGUACUUGAUGGUUUGUUACUUAAAUUGACUGUUGCACUAGGAUGAAUUAGGUGUAUAUUUGUUAGAGGCCAAAUUUGAGGUUUUUUCGUGCUUUUAGUCCUUUCAUAAGAUGAUUUGUACUUAAUUAGUGGCUAAGAUUAAAAUCUUGCGAACUGAUUAUUGCAUAGAGUACUUGAUUAAGGAUUUGGUGCUUAUCUGGAGUUCAAUGAGAUAAUCCAUCAACCUAGGUGUCCCUAUACUAGUGCACAAAACAUGGUUGCUGAAAAGGAAAAAUAGGCAUUUGUUAGAAGUGGCAAGAUCUCUUAUGUUAAACAUGAAUCUACCAAAAACCUAUUGGGGGUGUCAUUCUAGUUGUUAUCUUAUCAAUAGAAUGCCACUUAAAACCCUCAAUUUUCAAAUUUCUUUAGAAACUUGAAAGGGUGAGAAUAAAUAUAUUGUUCCUAUGGAGGUGUUUGGCCGUGUGUACUAUGUUCACACCAUGAUCUAGGAAACUUGAUACUAGAGUCCUUAAGUUUGUCUUUACUAGGUAUUCUCCUACAUAUAUAUAAAAGAUACACAUGCUAUCACCCUCCCUCCAGCAGAUCCUUUGUCAGCAUGAUACCUUUCGAGAGUAUGAGCCCUAUUUUAGUAUUACAUUGUCACCUCUUUAGGGGGAGAGCAAUAGAGUUCUCCUUAUUUCCAUUAUUGAAACCAAUACCGGGGGAAAGUGAAAUUGGAGAAAGAAUUCAAGGGGAGACUAUUGGUCAUUUGAGUAGACCUAAUUUGAUAACGUGCACAAGGAGAAACAGUGCAGAAAAAGAAAUCAUGCAAUUUGCCGAAGUUAAAUCCUCUUCUACUUGUGAGUUAUCUGCAUUCCCUAAUGAAUUAGAUUUGCCAAUUUCUCAUAGAAAAAGAGUCAAAUCUUGCACCAAAUAUCCUUUAUCUAAUCUUCUCCUAUCCUUUAUCUAAUCUUCUCCUAUAAUUCUCUGUCUCCCUCCUAUAGAUCCCUUGGCAUUGUCUAUUUCUUUUGUCUAUUUUCUAGAAUUGUAGGGAAGCUUUGGAAAUCCUAAAUGGAAGCAGGCUAUAAUUGAAAAACUUAAGGCCUUGUCAAAAAAUGAGACUUGGGAACAUGUCACAGCAAGAUUGACGGCUAGGGGAUUGACUUAGACUUAUGGAGUGGAUUAUCAAGAGACAUUUGUCCAUGUUGCUAAAGUGAACACCAUUAGAAUUCUUUUGUGUUGUGUAGCUAAGCUUGAUUGGGACUUGCAACAAUUUAGAGAAAAAUGCAUUUCUUCAUGGAAACUUAAAAAAAGAGGUGUAUAUAUAGAUCCCUAUAGAAAGUUUCACUGUGUACUUGGUGUGUAUUGGGUAAUGCCAAGGACUACUAAGGACGUAUUAUACAGCUGGGAGGAGAUAGGAAGAAGAGGUUCUGGUGAAGAUUGGUGGGAGUUAAUCCCAACUUGCAUCUGGUGGACUCUGUGGAAAGAAAGAAAUGCAAGAUGCUUUGAGGAUAAGAGAAACAACACCCAGAAGAUUAGAAUGAAUUGCCUUAGCCUUUUGUAUUUUUGGUGUAAGCAAAAUAUGGUGGGGAAUAUAGAACUUUUUGUUGAUUUCAUAGGAUAUUUGUGAUCUCCCAUAGGAUAGUUUUGACAUGCUCUGAUGAGAUUGUAAGUGACCUAUGCUCUGUUUGAUGAUGAGCCUAUUGUGAAUACACAAUUACCUUUAUCUCAAAAAAAUUAUAAAGAUCCCUAUUGGAUUUGAUACUGAACAAAGUCAAGGUAAGGUGUACAGAUUGCAGAAAACUUUAUACGGUCUUAUGCAAUUCCCUAGAGCUGGUUUGAUAGAUCUUGUAAAGCAACGAUCUUUUUUGGCUACCAACAAACCAAUGUUGACCAUACCCUCUUCGUGACAACAAAAGAGUAAACUCACUCUUCUCAUAGUUUAUGUUAAUGACAUAAUAGGAGAUGAGAAAGAGGAGAUAAUCCAAUUGAAAAGUUGUUGGCACAAGAAUUGGAAAUCAAUGAUCCAGGAAAAUUACAUUUAUUGGGAAUUGAAGUUUCUAUGUCAAAAAGAGGGUUCUAUCUCUCAAAAGGAAGUAAAUUCUAGAUUGCCAAGAGACUGGUAUGAUAAGUUGCAAACCAGCAAAUUUGCCCAUCGAAAGUAAUCACAAGUUUCAAACAGGAGUCGGAGAGCAAGUUGAUAAGGAGAGAUAUUAGAGAUUGAUUGGAAGAAUCAAUUGCUCACACACACUAGACCAACAUAAACUAUUCAGUCAACCUGAUGAGUCAGUUUAUGCAUGACCACAAAAUAUCACUAUAUCAUCAGCAUACUGUAAAUGACAUACCUCCAUUGUCGCCCUACUGUCUUCUAUCUCAAAACCUUUAACCCACCUAUUCUGCAAUGUUAUCCUCAUCAUGCUAUCAAAUCCUUCCAUUGCUAGUAUAAACAGGAAAGGAGACAAGGGGUCACCUUGCCUACCUAAGGCCCCCCUUUCAGAAGCAAAACACCCACAGCUUCUAGUUUCUCCAUUCACAAGAAAAGAGAACCUACCAGUUUAAAUGCAAAAUUCUAUCCAUUUCUCAGCCCAUUUGUCUAAUAAGAAUAUUCAGCAAGAAUUUCAAGUUGACAUGAUCAUAAGUUUUUUCUAUGUCUAGCUUGCACAUGACACCUGCUUUUGCACCUUUAAGUCUAGAGUCCAUAAAUCAUCAGCAAUUAGAGUUGCAUCCAUGAUCUGCCUCCCUCUUAUAAAUGUCAUCUUAUGCUUGUUAACCAAAUUGUUAACUACCUUGUUAAGUCUUUCAGCUAGUAACUUUGCCACAAUCUUGUACAUUCCACCUAUGAAACUUGUAGGUCUACAGAUUUUCAACUCUGAAGCUCCUAACUUUUUCUGGAAUCAAAGUUAUGAUGAUUGCAUUGAAGCUUUUCUCAAACUUCUGAUUUUCAUGAAUGUAUUGGAGUGUCUUCAAAAUGUCCUCUUUCAUGAGCUAGAAAAAAGGACAUAUGAAAUCCAUCAAGCCCAGGUGCCUUCUCCAUUGCAGACAAUUUAUUGCUUCCUAGGAUUUCUGCCUCAUCAAAUUGUCCGUGUAAACCCUCUUGUCCUUUGACAGAGAUCUCUGUAACUUCAUGUAGCACUAAUUCUGGACUUCACUCUUCAGUCUCCAUGUUAAUGUUCUUGUACAAAUUCUGAAUAGCUUCUUUGAUCCCCUCAAGAUUUGUCACCUCAACACCCUCCCACACCUUCAGGUUAUCUAUGGAAUAUGCCCUUUUAUGAGCAGUAGAUAUCCUACAGAAAUAUUUUUUAUUUUUGUCUCGUUUCAACAAUUGUAUCCUUGAUGUUUGUUUCCAUACUAUCUCCUCGUUUUUUGAUACAUCUUCAAACUCCAUAGCUGAAUUUGACUUCCUACAUUAUCUCAUCAUUUGUGAGACUUUGUUCUUGGAUAACCUCCAAGUUUGUCAAUUGGUUGAGAGUGUCUUCCUUUCUCUGUUUCCAGUUGCCCUGUUAUAACUGUACUUCACAGCGUAAACAAAAGAAAUUGUUCCAACUCAGUGCAGUCAUUGGCUUACUUUGCUCUCUCAAGCUAAAAUACAAGCUUAUUCUAAGUGCUCAUCUACAGCAAAAAGAAUAGUAGCUCAAUUAUCAAACUGCUGAAAUGCUUUUUGCAGGCAGAUUAGAAAUACCAUAGAAUACUAGCUCUGAAUAUAAGUGGAUCAAGAGUACACUCCAUAUCUUCUACGACAUUUCAUAGAGAAAUGAGGCAAAUCGAAGAGAUAGUUACAGGCUAAAUAACAUUUCCAGAUUGUACAAGAAAUCAACAGCCAGUCCAGUGUUUGCUGAAGAAGAACUUAGUUAGUCCAAAUUGCAGAGUGUACAUAACAGGCACCUCCCAAAUGGUUGUCUCUUUGUUUUGCAAUGAGAAGUUAUGCUUCAGUUCCAAGAGUUGACACGUAAUAUCUUCCACAACAAAAGGCCUGACCUUCCGAACCCCAUUUUCAGAUAUAAAGAUCUUGAAUUCCAAUUUAUGCUACCAAAAUCCAAUAAUAUUCACUAAAGCACAGGACUAAUUUUUAAUAUUUCUCUACUGAGACUAAUCCUAGAAACAGAGAAGAACAAUUAAAGUUUAUACGAUGCACAUGCUGGCAUUUAGUCAAGAGUACCUUGAGAAGACCAUAGGGGUUCAGUAGGAGAUUCCACAAGAGUAGGAUCACCACCAGCAACACAAAUGCGGUUUUGCACAUCCCUAGGGGAAAGACAAAGAACGGCAAAGAGCAAAUCAACAAGUAGAUGGUUAUGUUCCUCAUAUACCAGGACUCAUAAUUUAAUUAUUUAUUUGGAAAGUGGUGAUAACUUAUGCAGGCCUAAACAAAAUUUGAUCUUUCGGUGGAUGUGCCUCCUCUUGUUGGUAGGAGCGUAAGUGUGUCUUAUAGAUGCACAUGUCUGUGUGUUUGUGACUGUGUGCACAUGUGGGAGAGAGGGAGGGAGAGGGAGGGAGGGAGGGAGGGAGGNNNNNNNNNNNNNNNNNNNNNNNNNNNNNNNNNNNNNNNNNNNNNNNNNNNNNNNNNNNNNNNNNNNNNNNNNNNNNNNNNNNNNNNNNNNNNNNNNNNNNNNNNNNNNNNNNNNNNNNNNNNNNNNNNNNNNNNNNNNNNNNNNNNNNNNNNNNNNNNNNNNNNNNNNNNNNNNNNNNNNNNNNNNNNNNNNNNNNNNNNNNNNNNNNNNNNNNNNNNNNNNNNNNNNNNNNNNNNNNNNNNNNNNNNNNNNNNNNNNNNNNNNNNNNNNNNNNNNNNNNNNNNNNNNNNNNNNNNNNNNNNNNNNNNNNNNNNNNNNNNNNNNNNNNNNNNNNNNNNNNNNNNNNNNNNNNNNNNNNNNNNNNNNNNNNNNNNNNNNNNNNNNNNNNNNNNNNNNNNNNNNNNNNNNNNNNNNNNNNNNNNNNNNNNNNNNNNNNNNNNNNNNNNNNNNNNNNNNNNNNNNNNNNNNNNNNNNNNNNNNNNNNNNNNNNNNNNNNNNNNNNNNNNNNNNNNNNNNNNNNNNNNNNNNNNNNNNNNNNNNNNNNNNNNNNNNNNNNNNNNNNNNNNNNNNNNNNNNNNNNNNNNNNNNNNNNNNNNNNNNNNNNNNNNNNNNNNNNNNNNNNNNNNNNNNNNNNNNNNNNNNNNNNNNNNNNNNNNNNNNNNNNNNNNNNNNNNNNNNNNNNNNNNNNNNNNNNNNNNNNNNNNNNNNNNNNNNNNNNNNNNAUUAUGGCCGUACCCAUUUUCUGAUAUAUAACCAACCCAAAGCUCUGAUCUGUCCCAUGGCAUAUUUGGGUGACCCCAUUCAAUCCAUGCCAUACGGUCCCCUUUGGGGUCAAUCCGAGGAGAAGCAUAAAAGUCAUUCCCCCCAAUUAACAGCCUUGGUUCUGCAUUUAUGUGCCAAACAAGCAAAAAAAAAAAAAAAAUUAAGAUCAGAAAUUCACUCAUUGUACAGUCCACCAAAUAUUGCCUAGGAAGGGGAGGGGCAAUACGAAAACAAUUGAAUAGCCCUUCAUAAUGUACAAACAUUUGUUGACAGUUUUCUAGCCCAUCACCGAGAAACAGAUGUAAAAGCAAAGAAAAUUCACAUUGAAUCAUGGUAAACCAAUACUGACAGAUUCUCACCUUGAUCGCUGUUACUGCUCAGAUCGAUAGACACAAUUGUGGUAAUCGCAUUUAUACCACUUUCACGUUGAUCUACAGAAGGAGCAAGGAAUAGGAUAAAAUUUCUCAGAGAAUCAAGCUAAAAUUUUGAAGGAUAAUGAAUAUAGAGAACUUACCUUCUCUCACUGUCACAUAACGGUUAAAGCGAGAGUCAAACACUCCAUCAGCAUAGCAUACACUCCGUCCGCCAUAAUCUGGAGUGAGGGGCAACGGAGCAGAAUCUAGUACCAAAAUAACAAGGAUCAAUUGGAAAGAAACAUCUCAAAAAUAUUGAUAAUAAAUAUGAUGAAACAACAACAACAACAUACCGGGUGUAAUCCCAUGGGUGGGGUCUGGGGAGGGUAGAAUGUACGCGACCUUACCCCAACCUUACAAGGUAGGGAGGCUGCUUACAAAAAAAACUCUCGGUUCAAGUAACACAUAUCAAAGCAGUUUAAAGUUUUUUGAAAAAUUUACAGAAGUAAAGCAGACAUAGAAUAUAAUAGAGAAAUCAUCACAUGGCAUUCAGAUAAAGGAACAGCAACAACAAAAUAAUGCCAUAACCAAAGCAAAGAAACAAUAGGCUGCAACAUAAAUCGAAGGACAAGAAACUACGAGACUAGUACUAAUGCUAUUGGUAUGCAAAUAGUAUAUGAUGAACUAUAUGCUAAAAUGAAAGAGCUUCAAACUUCCAAAAUUAAUAUGAACCAACUUGCUACCUGCGAGACAGUUUCUUUUUUCUUUUCUGGUUAUUUCAAUUCAACAAUAACCAUAAAAACGGACAGAUUAAAUAUGGCACAUUUGUAAACGAGCGGCUGCUAAUAAACCCAAAUAUGUACAUAAACAAAAUUGUCUCUCCAUCGAAGCUUAUAUUAAAUAUACUACAAAAUAGUAAAACUGGAAGCAAUUAUAUUCAACUGCAUUCAAUGACAUAGAAAACAAAGGAAAAUGAAGACCUAUGGACGAAAUGGACUGUUUAUAAAGUCUCUGAUCCUUGUAAUUAGAGAAGAUCAAAAUGUCUCCUUGUAUACAAAAAUCACCACCACCAUACUCCUGAGCCAACGUCCUCACAGCAAAAUCUUUAGGAGUUACAUCUAUAGGGUCUUCCCCUGGUUUCCCUGGUUCCUUCACAAUAACCGCUCGUCUGAAUCCAUAACAAUAAAAAAAACUCAAACUUCACACAGAAUCCACAAAAAUAUAUCACAAACUUUAUGGGUUUUGGGGUUUAAACACGAAGACAGUAAACAUGAGUUUACAUGCAAACUAUGAUAGUGGAACAAUCAAAAAUUCAAACUUUACAUGAAAUCCAGAAGGAGAAUAUCACAAUCUUUAUGGGUUUUGGGGUUUACACAUGACGAAAGUAAACAUGUGUUUCAAAUGCAACUUAUGAAGGCAUAUGAAUAAGCUUUCAAACUCAACAUAAAACCUCCUCAAGAAAACAUCAAAAUGUCUAUGUGUUUUUGGAUUUAAGAGCGAAGACAGGAAACAUGAGUUUCAAAUGCAAAUCAAGAAUGCAUAACAAUAAAUAUUCAAACAUGACAGUAAAAUCCAUGAGAAAAUUUUACAAUCUUUUUGGUUUGAACACAAAUCCAUAAACAUGAGUUUCAUAGGCAAACUAACUUUUUUUUUAUGACCGAGGUGUCCGGGCCAGCUUUCGUGCAGCUCAACUAAUUCCAUAGGAUACCUGUCACCUCCCACCAACAACAGGUACCAGCUAACGUUGUCCACCAAGGCUAGGACAGAUGGUAAGAAUAACCUAGUGUUUUUUUGUCUCCGUAGAGUUUUAAACCUGAGACCUCAGGAUUCUCAACCACUUCAUUGACCACUAGGUCUAGGUGACACCCUUAGGUGCAAAAACUAAUUUUUUUUUGGUUUAACCAUCAAUUUACAUAACCCACUGGUCUGAUUAAUCUGUAUUCAUGAUUGGUCCAUUAAAGGGGAAGCAUGUGCCACUCCUCACCCAUGAUUACUCCAUUCCCAAGGCUCGAAUUGCUCGAACCCCAGACCCAGACCUCUGAUUAAGGGUGGAGGAAUCUCCUCUAUGGCUCUAUCUCACCACACCUCUUGGUGGAGCUAGUGUGGUGUUCAUAGGCAAAUUAGGAAUGCAUAUGAAUCAGAAAAUCAAACUAAACAUAAUCCUCAAAAAAUAUCACAAUCAUUAUGAGCUUUGGGGUUUAAACAUUAAGACAGUAAAUACAGCUUUCAUAGGAAAAUUAUGAAUACACAAGAUAUCAAAACGCAAAUUACAAAAAACAAACAAAGAAACAUCACAAUAUUUAUGGGGUUUCGGGUUUAAAUAUGAAGUUAGUAAACAUGAUUUCAUAUGAAUGCACAAGAAUUAAUAAUUUAAACUUUUAGAUAAAACCCACUAAAGGAUAUGACAAUGAUUAGGGGUUUUGAGGCUUCAUAUGUACUGUACCCGGAUUCUGUAGGUCGAGAUUCUAGCCAGAAAAGAUGACCAAGUGAAUCAACCGAAAAGCCACCGAGGCGUUUAGUGGAUCCAGAAACGAUAUCAGCGGUGAUGGGCGACUUCCAAGAACCAUAGGGUGCUAUGUGUUUCUUGACAUUGGGAUUUGUAGAAGACAUUCUGAUGGGAAUAGAGAGUUUUCUGGUGAGUAGCUUUGUUGAAGGAGUAAUGUGAAUGAGUGAAGAUGAGAAUGAUGAUACUGAUACAGAGUAGCAGAAAGCAUAGUGACGAGUGAGAGUGGCUAUGCCUGAAAAACCCAUUCACUGACCCUUGAGCAGGCCCGAAUCUACAUGGACUAUUCUUUUGCCUCUAUUCACACAGAUUUUUCAAGAAAGGUAUAUUUUGUCAAAUUAACUUUAUUUUUGAAUUUUCAAUUUGAUUACUAUUACUAGUUUAUUUAGUUAUUUAAUACUAUGGAUAUUGUAAGGGGGAAUUUUGAUUUGCUUAAAUCAUAUAUUUAUAUAAAUAAAAGAGAACUUUAGGAUCGCCUACGUGGCGCCACCACAAAUCAAAAUUCUCUUUUAACUAGUAAAUGGGCCCACGCUUCACGCGGUUAGAUUAUUUUUCUUUAAAAUUUAUUAGAAUAGAACUUUUCUUGUAUUUUGAUGUUAUAACAUUUUUAUAUUAAUAAAUUUUCAAGAGUAUAGAGGUUAUUCAAUUGUAGUUUACCAUUUAUUUUAUUAAAAGAAAAGGCAAAAUUACAAAUCAUAACAUUAUUUUCUCCUAGUUUACAUAAUUUCAUUUUACAGAUUCAUUAAUUUACUUUUGAAAUUUUACAAUGGUUAGUUUAGUUUUACCAUCUAUAUGCAUGGAUACAUAGUGUCUUUAAUUAGAGAGUCAAAUAAAUAUUUUUCUCAAUUUUCUUCUUUGCAAAUUCCAUUAGUAUAACACUAUCAAUUACUUUCAAAAUUAAAUAUUUAUAUAACCAAUGAGUUUAUCAAGAGCAAAGGUUCCAUAAUUAGAUGAUAUAUUAAUAAGUAAUAUGUAGUCAUUAUGUGUUUUAAAAUUAAAAUGCAAUCUUCCAAAAUUCAAAUUUCAUAUGUAAUAAUAUAGUUAUGAUGGUGUUUGGGAAUUGAAGGUGUUUACGAACAAAAUAUUAAGGAUCCUUGAAAAGGGUGAAAGAGAAGUAAGAGAUAAUGGAAAAAAAGUUCAAAAGAGUAACUUUGGUGCGAGAGAAUAGUCAUUAUUGCGUAUCAUACAAUUGUAAUUAAUUGCUAGUUUUAGUUCUAUCAUUUGAGUUUCUUUUUUUUUUUACUCCUGUUAAUAUUAACAUUAUUAUGACAACAACAAAAAAUCAUAUAAAUUUCUAGGCUUGAUCUUUUGGAGAAGCAUAGAUAUCUUUGGAGAAUGUUGUAAAGAAAUGUAUUAUGUAAAAAGUUAUUUGUGAAUCUGCAAUAGUUGGAUUUACAUAGAGUCUGUACUAACAAAUACUUAUAACAAUAACUUUAAAGAAACAUAAACAACAAAGUUUAAAACAUGUAUUCAAAAACAACAAUUAAUAUCAUAAGCAUAAAUUAAUGACUGUAAAAAAAAAUACCAGGAUCUGUAACAAUAGAAUGAAACAAAAUGGAAAAAUUGAGCUCAUUGAAUGCACAGUGUUUCCUUAAGGAAAUCAUUCUCCUCUAGUACCUGAGGUUUAAAGAAAUAGAUCAUCUCAUGAUGAAACGAUUUUAUUCACCAGUGUAAUAAUACAAAAACAAUAGUGUCAGUGAGUCACUCAACAUGAGCAAAGUACAUAAUAUUUAAUUGUGUAGAAGAAGAAGAAGUUCAUAAUCAAAUAUUUAAUUGUGCAGAAGAAUAAGAAGAAGUUCAGAAUUUUCGUUGUUUUAAAAUGAGAGGGAACCCCUCUAUUUAUAUACAACAAAGGGUAGUGUGAACAAAUUUUUAUUGUGCCUUACCGAAAAGGUCACAACCUUUCAUAAAAUUACAACAUUUCAUAAAAGUCGCAACUCUUCAUAAAAGUCAUAACUUUUCAUAAAAGUCACAACUUUUAAUAAAAGUCGCAACUCUUCAUAAAAGUCAACAUUUCAUAGAAGUCACAACUUUUCAUAAAAGUCAACAUUUCAUAAAAGUUGCAACUCUUCAUAAAAGUCACAAUUUUUCAUAAAAGUCACAACUUUUAAUAACAAUCACAAUUUUUCAUGAAAGGGAAGGCUAAUUUUGGAAAUAAAUAAAUUAAAAAGGAAUCCUUAUUUGUGAUGGCGCCACGUAGGCGGGCCUAGGAUUCUCUUUUAUAUAUAUAUAUAUAUAUAUGAUAUGAUUUAUUUAUUUCCAAAACUAGUAUUCCCCUUUAAUGAAAAGUUGUGACAUUUAUGAAAUGUUGCAACUUUAACGAAAAGUUGUGACUUUAAUGAAGAGUUGUGACUUUUAUAAAGAGUUGUGACUUUUAUGAAAAGUUGCAACUUUAAUGAAGAGUUGCGACUUUUAUGAAAAGUUGUGACUUUUAUGAAAGGUUGUGACCUUUUCGAAGGGUUGCAACUUUUCCAAAUAGUUGUAACAUUUCCGAUAAGGCACAAUAAAUAUUUGUUCACACAACUCUUUGUUUUCUAUAAAUAGAGGGAUUUCCUCUCAUUUUAGAACAACAAAAAUUCUGAACCUCUUCUUCUUCUUCACAAUUAAAUAUUUGUGUGCUUAGCUCCUGUUGAGUGGCUCACUAACACCAUUGUUUAUGUUACAGAUCCUGGUAUGUAUUUUUAUGGUCAUUAAUUUAUGUUUAUGCUAUUAAAGAUAAAUGAUAAGAUGUAAUAAUUUUCAUUUUUCUUUACAUUAUUAAUGUUUGUUACUACAUAAUCUUGUAUGUGAGAUAAUAUAGUGUUUUAGUUUUAUUGAUCGAUAGAUUUUAAGUAUUAUUUUAAAAUUCUGUAAGGGUAAUUUUUACUAGUGAAUAAAUAAAAUAAAAAUAUUAUUUUCAAUAUAAGAAUCAAAUAAAAUGAAACAAAGGAAAUCUCCCUCUCUCCAACAAUAUUUGUCCACCAUUUAAGAAACUAUAAAUAGAAGGGUAAUUUUAUUAUAUCACACUUUGAAUAUAAUAAAUAUAAUGUCUUAAAAAAUGUAAUAUGGAAAUGACUAUAAUUAAUGAUAAGGGUAAAUUAAGGACUAAGUGUAAAAAUUAUCCAUUGAUUUUAUAAAGUGGAUAAGUAUUGUUGGAUAUUUAAAAAUAGUAUAGUGGACAACUAUUAUUGGACGAAGGAGGGAGUACUUGUUUUCCUUUCUUUGGGGAAACUACAUAAAUGAGCCAUAAAAUCUAAACUAAUUCCUAAUAUACCCACUCUCUUAUAAAUAAUUACAACCCAUACCUCCCCCCCCCCUCAUUCCGAGCCACUUUAAUUUCUUAUUCAAACCCACCCAGUUUAUAACCCAACCGUUCGACCCACUUUCUUAUUCAAGCCCAUCCGAUUUAUCGUCCAACCGUCGUACCCACGUUAAACUAUGUGGAGCAACAUACGGCGAUUUUAACUACAAGCGGUUCUACCGUCAUUUGCAGUUUCUUUCUUCAUCUUGGUGAUUUUAUUCUGCCAUUGUCAGUCCAAUUUACUCAGCUUUGUAUGUGGUAGUUUUUCCUUUAUUCCACUUAUAUUCAAUUUUGUUUUUCAAUAAACUUAAUUUUGAAUCAAUUUUUGUUUCUCUGUCGUUUUUUGCUUGAUUUUUCAAAUUGUUUUCAGUGGAUCGUAAAAAUGUAGCAACUAGUUGUUGGUGGGGUCAUCGUUCUAUUUAUGCAAAUUCUGUUGACAAUGCUAGUGAUAAUGAUAAUAUAGGUGACCAAGAGUCGAAAGUUUCUAGCAUGUUUGGGUCAAGUUUUUCUCUUGAUUUGGAGGAUGAAAACAAAGAAGAUAAUGUCGGCUUAAAUGACAGAUUCGAUCAUGGAGAUGUUAAUGCUUGAACUAACCACAAUUCAAUUGUGGAUGUUGACAGGCCUGAUCAAAAUUCUGAUGUUACGGGUGACGGAAUCGGGGAUUAAUUGAAGAGGAAAGGGAAGACACACAUGGUUUGUGAUGAUACAAUUGCAUAAAAAACAAGGUACUCCUUGCAAUCCAAUUAUGAGUCGUUUUCCCAAACUGAAACUGAAAAUAUCGAUGGACCCUUGAAGAAGAAAUUGAUUAGUAUUCUUGUUUGAAGGUAUCAUUCUUAUAUCAUGCUAUUAUUUUGAUAAAUUAAUUUGAAAAAUUGACUUGCUAGAUGUUGAUAUUAUUAUCAUAUAUUGUUUAGGUAUCAUGUGUUGGUUCUAUUUGAUUAUACUAUUACAGUACCAGAUGUUAUGUUGGUAUCAUGCAUGCGUAAUGGUAUCAAAUAUUAAGUUUAUACCAUGCAUGUGUUUUUGUAUCAUGCCAUAACAUUAUAUGAAGAUAUUGUUAUGGUAUCAUUGAUUAUUUUUGCACACGGUAUGCUUAUCCUCUUUCGAUUAGUUGAUCUUUUGUGGAUUUGAACAUUUUAGUGUUUGUUGUUUUUGUUACUUUAUUAUAUUAUUCAACUAUCAUAUGUUAUUUGGGUACCAGGUAUUUGUUAAUGUCUUUAUAUACUUUAUUAUAUGAUACUAUUACUGUAUCAUAUAUUGUUUGGGUGUCACACCUCUUUUUCGUGCACGGCGGAUGUAGGAUUUUUCCAAUUUAAGUGAUGUUAUUGAUUAAGAAUUAUUUUAUUUUUCAAAGUCGCCACUUGGAAUUGAGUUAUGGUGUUCCAAGUCACCUUUUUGUUUAAUCCCUAAUCAAAAGGAAAUGACUCUUUAUAUGGUCUGCGAACUAGAAAUUCAGGUAAGGAAUUCUGUUGAUCGAUGGAAAGGUAUUAGGCAUCCCUCGAGCCCCGUGGUUCUAGCACGGUCGCUUUUAUUAAUUUAUACUUAUUUUAACUAUCUUUUGGAUAUAUUUUUAUAGGCCAUGAUUUGCUCGCAUUUUUAAUUUGUUGAACUUAUACUUGGUCUCAACCUAGAUGCGUAACCGCAUUCUUGGUCUUGACAUUUAGAGGCAUAACUGCAUUUUCCUCUCGAGUACCUCACACCUAAUAAUUCAUAUUUACAUCUCUUGAUUUGAAUUAAUGGAAGUUUAAUUAUUAAAAUAAUUUGACUAAGGUGCGUAACCGCAUCCUUGAAUUUGGCCAAGGUGCGUAACCGCAUCCUUGAGUUUCUUAAAUAUCUCAAAAAGAUGUGGAACCACAUUUUUAAUUGAGAUGAAAUUUAAUUAUUAUUGUUACAUGAACUAACAAAAAUUUUUUAAAAAAAUGUCUACUACAAUGAACCCACGUCAGUCUGGCACACUUCAUAGAAACACAAUCCAGAAUCUGAAGAAUGAUGGGCAUUGUAUGAUAGUCACCACUCGAGUUGGACAUAUACAAUCAACAUUAAGUCAAUAAACACUAGUACCCUAUUUAGAUUAUUAUUUUUUAUGAACAAAUUCAUUAUUAAAACAAAAACCAAAUUAAAUCAAUAUAGUAUACCAUUGUGCCCAGCAAAAUAACAUAAGUUAAACUACAAUUAAUACGAGUUGAUGUCAAUUAUACCACCUACUAAUAAUCAUUAUUAUACCAGAAAAUGAUCCAUAAUAAUCCACAUAAACAAACUAAUAAGCAUACGUACUGGAGAACAAUUAACACAAAAAUUUGAAAUGUAUCUUAUCAAAACCUCAACUAUUUUAUAAAAGUAGAAUAUAGCAUCCACACGCCCAGUAAAAAUAAGUAAAUAUCAUACCCCCUUUUUAGCAUACAAUGAAUAAUUAUCAUAUUAUACAAAUUUUAUUCUAAACUUAAGGAUAUAACAGGUUCACAUAUAUUUAAAUAUUAUAACAUUAAAGAAUAUUAACAGAUUAAACACAUACGAAAUCUGAACAACUUUAAUAUAUUGAAAUCAAUUCUUGUACAAUCAUGGCAUAACAUCAUACAAAAACAGAAUAUAAAUAAGUGUUACCUCUUGUGAAAAUUAGUUCACGAGAAGAAAGGACUAACAAUCAGGAGCCACGAACUUGAAACCGCGAAAAUAAACCUUGAAUUCAACCUUUAUUUUUGAGUGGAAAGGAAAAAAAAUAUAUAUGUAAUACGAAGAGGAAUACGUAUGCUGUAUGUGUGGGAGGAUAAGUAUGUUGCUGAAUUUUUCUUCUUCUGUUUUCUUGUACGUUUUUGUGUGUGAUGUGUUGUGUCUGUAGUGUGGGAGAGUUGUAGUAUAUUUUUUUUGGUUGAAUGUAGUGUUGUUUUUCUUUUUUUUUCUUUGGUUUCUCUUGCUCGUCUGUAUGUGUGUGUUUUUUUUUCUUUCUUUUUUCUGUAGUGUUUUUCUUUUUUUGAUGGUUGUGUUUUUGGUGUAUAAAUAUGUAUAGUGUGUAGUAGUGUAUGUGUGUGUUGUGUUGCUGAUGGAUUAGGUGUAGUACGUGUGGUCGGGGUGUGUAGUGGUGUAGGGGUUGAGGGGAGUGUAGUGUAGUGUAGGUGGAUUGUGGGUGAGUGGGUAGUGGGGUUGAAAGAGUGGGGGAGUUAAAGUUAUUAUUAUUUUUUACUAAUUAAUAUAAUAAGAAUAUUUUUAAAUUAACAAAAAUUGUAGCUAAUAAUAAAUUAUAAUUAAGAAAUACUAGCUUAUUUAUUAAACUAAAAUAAAUUAAAACAUGUAUUUUUUGUUAUUUACAAAUCUUUUAAAAUAAAACAUACUAAAAUAAGAUAAGAUUCAAAAUAUUUAAUUUAGAUUUUUAUAAAAUAUCUGAGCUCUAAAAAUGGUGUUAAACUUAAGUUCAGUAAAAAAUUAUGUGUCUACAGUGGAUAUCAUGUGUUUGUUCAAUUUGAUCAUACUAUUACAGUACCAGAUGUUAUGUUGGCAUUAUGCAUGCAUAAUGGUAUCAAAUGUUAUGCUGGUGCCAUGCAUCAGUUUUUGCUUCAUGCCAUAACAUUAUAUGAAUAUAUUGUUAUGGUAUCAUUGAUUAUUUUUGCACAUGGUAUGCUUAUCCUCUUUCUGUUAGUUGAUAUUUUGUGGAUUUGAACAUUUUAGUGUUUGUUGCUUUUGUUACUUUAUUAUAUUGUUCAAGUAUCAUAUGUUGUUUAGGUAUCUGAUAUUUGUUUGUCUUUGUAUACUUUAUUAUAUGAUAAUGUUAUUGUAUCAAAUAUUAAUUGGGUAUCAUGUAUUUGUUCAAUUUGAUCAUAUUAUUACAGUAUCAGAUGCUAUGCUAGUAUCAUGCAUGUUAUAUUUUUUAUGCUUUUUUUAAUUUUUAAUUUUGUUUUUUAUUUGCCUAGUGUAGUAAUCUGCAUGUUGUUAUUUUUUGCAGGAAGGUCAAUUUUUAAUUUAAAUGGAUGUUGAUUAUAAAACAACGAUUGACCAUAGUUUUGAUGCUUCUGUCAUUGCGAACAUAACUUCAAAGUUAACAAAAAAAUAACUUUUCGUGUUUAGAAAAACACAUUUUGAGGUGUUUUUACAUCUACCUCCAAUUGUGCUUCAUGGACGUGUUAUACACAACAUUAUGAUUAUGCGAAUAGUGUAUCACAUUGAUUCUGACUAUUUAUAUCUUGUUGUUAAUAGGGUAUAACUUCAAUUUGAAAUUGCUGAAUUUGCUCUUGUUACUGAGCUAUUAUGUAACGGUAGUACUACAAUUCAAAUUCUCUCAAACAGAAAUUGGUUGGUUCAAAGUUACUUUGACUGUCUAACGGUGACAUGAUUUGAUCUUUAUCAUGUGUUUCGUGCUGAAAAGUUCAAGUCUGAUGCUGAUGCAGUGAGACUAGCAGUUCUGGCUAUUCUCAAUACAUUCUUAUUCUCCACGGUUAAGACUAAAAUUCUUGAAAUGUCAUACUUUGAUUUGGUCGAGAACGGGGACUAUAAUUCAUACACUUGAGAAAUUAAUGUAUUCAAUGUGAUUGUUGAAACGUCUUUCAAAAAGUUUUAGACAAAGCCUGAAUAUUAUAGAUCUGGAGAAUUUUCUUUAACUUUGCAAAUUUGAUUUUAUGAGUGUUGCCUUGGUUUGAAUGAUCUAUUUGUUGAACAUACACGGUCUGAAGUGCCUAGAAUUUUAAAUUAGACAAUACACAAAUAGUUGACACAUGAUUUUGUUUAUUUGCGCAUAUUUGACUUAGCACAUAAUGAGAUAUCUGUAUUUUUUUAUUUAUCAAUUAUAACUCAUUUUUUCAUCGAACUUUUUUGUAACCUGUUUAUUCCUUUCAAAUUUCUAGGUGAAUAACUACCAACUGAAAAUGAAAUUGUUUUACUUGAUUUGGUUGAUUUUGUUUUUAGAAGUAGUCCUGGUGCUGAUCAAAGUGAGCAUUUAAGUAAUCAGUUUUUUUACAUAUAACUAGCAAAGCCUGAUGUUGGCGAUGAGAAAUCACCUAUUAGUGCUGAUUUGAAGGAAGACAUUAAUGGGUUGAAAACACAUGUUGAUGAGAAGUUUAAAGAGAUUCUUGAAGCUUUUAGUUUCUUGAAGAACAAGUUAAAUGUAAUAUAGUUUUCAAGUUUUAGUGAUAUACUAUAUUUGUAUCAUAUUUUGUAUUUUGAACUUUUUUUGUGUUUUGUAUGAUGCUUCUUUUUUUUAAAUGUUUUUUGAUCUACAUUGUUUGUUUUAAUGUUUAUGUUUUUAAAAUUACAUGUUGUCUAUUUUUUUUUUUAUCAUUAGUAUGCAUUUUUAGUUUCUUUUUGGUUGACAUUUAUGUAGGGGAGAAAAAAGGAUGAAUAUGUUAAUUUUAGGGAUAAUGUUGCUAUAGAUUUGGAUAACGAUGCUGUAGAAUCUCCAUUCAAGUCACUAAGUCACCUGUAUUAGAAGUUCAUGAUGAUAUUCAAUCAUUGAAGGCUGAUAUAUGUAUUGAUGAUAAGACAUCAAAGAAGUUUAAAGGUGAGCUAAGUGUUGAACAAGAUUCUGAUGUUGGUUUUCUUUAUCUUUCACUGCUGCUAUUGAUGCUAUUGAAGAGGAACAUUGUAGAAAAAAAAAACAAAUGCUUUAUCUGCAAAAGAUCAAGAUUAUGUUGAUAGUUUGUUUGUGUCACAACCCAAAAAUGGACGUGAUGACACUCGUCUUAUCCCACCAAGACAAGUCAGCCUAAAAAUCAACCCUUACAAUAAAAUGCGGAAAUUUUAUUAAUCAACUCAACAAUACCCCAAAAAUUUGGUUGUCACGUGUACAAACCUCUAAUGUGUUAUAACAAAAUUGAAGGAAAAUACAAGUUCAAUGACAUUGUUUCUAGAACAGAACAAGAUCAUAAUUAAGGAGAAAGAAGGUCCGCUGAAAUGAAAAACAGCUACCUCACAAACCUCCACAAGAAGCCUCAGACGAGGAGAAGAGAAAAAUAUCACAAAAGUCUGGGCUAGUAACCUACAAAAAAAUGUAGUAGCAAGGGGUGAGUACCAACCACACGGUACUCAGCAAGUAAACUUCUAAACACAAGCUAAGGGGAUAGAAUACGGGUACUCCUUACACCCCUACCGAACCUCCACAACUACAACCUGCAUAAAACUAGCCCAACCUAACAGUUCACAGUUACAUAGCACCCAGCUCAACAACAAUCACUUUAACAAAUUACAUAUCCUCAACAACAAACUCAAUAUUCAUCAAUCACAACUUCCACAAAAAAGGCACUCACAAAUAUCAGUAACACACAAGAUCAAGUUCAUCAAAUAGAGGUAAUCAAAUAUCAAGUACUUUCCAACCACCAAUAAAACACAUAAUCAUCAAGAAUGAAGGAUGUCAUGGGAUGCAAUGCACUAUGACACCAUGAAAUGAUAUGCCUCAAAAUACCAAGUACUCUCUCAACCAUAUAUACAUGAUACUCCUCGGAAAAUACAUUGAGAGUUCAUGACCCAUGGGGGGACUUGCGAGGUCCAUAUACCGACACGGUUGAUCUCCACGUGUCUGUGCGGACGAUCUCAACGUACUAUCAUAAAUCAAACAAUCCCCAGAACCACUAGUUACAAAACCAGUGGUGGAACCGCAUAAGCCAAGGAGCCAACUCCUCGCAUGUAACCUUCCCAUGAAUCAGACCCCAAUUUCAAAAAUAUGUAGCCAACAAUCAGUCAAAUCUCAUUCUUAUUUGCCUUUAAUAAAUAACCUUAACUCUCCAAUUCACAUCUAAUAUAAUAUUGUUAUAUAAAUAUAUAUGCAGCAAUUAAUGAAAGCAUAUGCAUAUGAGAAAUUGAAAAUUUUGGUUGAAUUUUCCUUACGUGAAGUAGUUUCUCCAUCUUUCAGUUCUACCAUCUUUGGUCCGUGUUCACGCCAUACGCACGCAGGUUAGUUUUCUGCUCCACUUUAUUUUAUUUUCUGAAUAAAUCAGGUUCUAAAAGUGAUAAACCCUAAUAACCUAUUUUAAUAUAUGGGUAAAAACAAAUUAUAAUUUGAUCCAUUAAUCACCAAUUAAAUUAAAAGAGAUUAUUUAAUAAAUACCUGCCAAUUUAGUAACUAUAAUUAUCGAAUAGUUCAAAUUUUCAAAUCAACUUCACUGACUAAUCAUAAAUGACUCGGGACAACUAUCGGUAGGGAUAAAAUAGUAAUUUUGUAUAAAUUUCUAAAAAUAACUUUACGGGUCAUUACAGUUUGGUGCCAUUAGUGACACUCAAUUAGCAGCUAUUACACAAGUUGUUGUUAACGUACUGGCAAGUAAAUCUAAUGCAUAUUUGAAUGUUCCUGCUGGCCUGGUGUUAAAGAUAUUGAUCAUGAAGUUGAUAUUUCUUUGAUAGGACAUGUCAUAGAUAAGUGUGAAGUUGAUGGGACUUUGAAAGGAGAUAUUGUUGUAGAUGUUGUUGUGAUAGUGCAUCUCCAACUGUAGAGGUUAUGAUAGACCCUGUGUCUCAUCAUGGUAGGAUUUUGAAAGGUGAUGUUGCGGUAGAUAGAUAUUGUUCUGAAAAAUGAAGCUGGUGGAUCUCGAACUGCAUUGAUCAUGACAGAAUCUGUGUUUGAUCAUGGCAACGUAACACAUAUGCUGAAAUUGAUUCUCGAGCUACUAUUUUUACUGAGUCUGACUCUGUUGAGUGUUGCUGCUGUUGGGUUAUGAGGGGUGAUUAGGGCGCCACGCUGAAGCUUACAAUUUGCAAAUCAUAUAAUUGAUAAAUCAGAUAACAAAAACUUAUACUAAAAAUCAAAAUAUUAUUAUAUCAAAACUAAUAUAAAAAAUAUUGAAACUUUAGAGAGAAUAAAUCUCCCCAUAAACAAGACUCUUAAACGACUACAUUGUGGAUGUUAUUGUUAUUGUGUUAGAAGAAACAAACCUAUAUUUAUAGAGUCCUAAAACCUUUCCUACUAGAAAAGGAGUCCUAAAAGGAGAGAAUAAACCAAAUAUAAAAUAAUAUUAUAUUUUCCUUUCAAGAAAAGUAAAAACAUUUAUGGUAAUGUUUUGUUUUUUCUUUAAGGAAAAAUAAAUCUUAAAUUAUGGUAAGAAAAUCAGGGCGAAACCCUAACAAAUCUCCCCUUUUGGCUGGGUUUUCUUGACAAAGCUUGAUCUGUCUUCUUCAUNNNNNNNNNNNNNNNNCAGGGUUGAAAGUGGAGCUCAUGCGUUAAAAGUAAAUACAUGAGUUAAAAGUGGUGCCCGAGCAUUAAAAGUUUGCUGGGGUUGAAAGUUGAUUUUGUUUUUAAGGAUAAAGCAGCAUGAUAUGUUGAAAAUAUAUAUUGAAAAUUUUCUCCACAUGUAGUAACACAAAAAUCUUCAUUAUCAUCACGUUGAUUGCAAAUUGAUUUGAAACCACUUGAACCUGUCGUCAAUCUUGUCCAACCAUUGAAUUAUUGAACCAUGUGCUCUGAUACCACUUGUUGGGUUAUGAGGGGUGAUUAGGGCGCCACGCUGAAGCUUACAAUUUGCAAAUCAUAUAAUUGAUAAAUCAGAUAACAAAAACUUAUACUAAAAAUCAAAAUAUUAUUAUAUCAAAACUAAUAUAAAAACAUUGAAAAUUUAGAGAGAAUAAAUCUCCCCAUAAACAAGACUCUUAAACGACUACAUUGUGGAUGUUAUUGUUAUUGUAUUAGAAGAAACAAACCUAUAUUUAUAGAGUCCUAAAACCUUUCCUACUAGAAAAGGAGUCCUAAAAGGAGAGAAUAAACCAAAUAUAAAUAAUAUUAUAUUUUUCUUUCAAGAAAAGUAAAAACAUUUAUGGUAAUGUUUUGUUUUUCUUUAAAGAAAAAUAAAUCUUAAAUUAUGGUAAGAAAAUCAGGGCAAAACCCUAACAGCUGCUAAGUGUUUUAUACCUGAAGACACUAAAGUAGUGGAGAUCUUUGAUUAUGCAAAGACGCCAGUUGGGCCGUAAUUAUUCAGAAAUAGGCGUCCUGGUCCAGCAUAAAUGUCACCAUUUGUUGGUGGAUCUAGAAUUAGUAAGUUAGGCUCUGUUUUUGUGAAAUGUGUGAAAGGCGGGUCACCAUUAAGGUUGAGUAUUACAUUACUUGUUGACCCUUUGAUUGAAUCGUCUUUCUUCCAAUUCAUUGGCAAAUAUAUGAUCACAAAAAUGUAUGUUUGAUUAUUUUUUUGUGUUGUCUAUUUUGUAGACAUAAAACGUGUAUUUUUUUGUAUAUUUUUGCAGCAAAAGCGUUACUAUGAAUUCAAAAGAUAAUGAUGUUCUUGAUUCAUCCUUUGAUUUUGAAGCGUCUUCUGUUGCAUCAAAGACUUGGUUUCAUAUGCUGAAUUAUGCUAGAAAAAUCGUUAUUUGAUGAUGUAUGUAUUCCUUUAAUGUCUAUGUUGUUACUUUUUAUAAAUUCAUUUCGUGAGUAGUACAUACUUUUGUCCUGAAUUUUCUUACAUAAAUGUAUAUUGAAAAUAUUAAAUCUUAAUUUUACAACUAUAGAGUAUAUGUAUAUUGUAUAGUAUUACUCUUAUAGUUAACGGACUAUUUAUGACAUUUUUUAUUAUAAGUAACAUAGUCAUAUAUAGAGGCUUUAACAUGAGUUCAAGAAAGUUUGUGUGCCCACAUAGAUAUAUUACUAGAUGGCAUUAGCCCACGCAACGCAAGCAUGGGUCUACACUUUAUGUGUUAUAGAAAAUUACCUAAAUAUUUAACUUAUUUUAUCAUAUUUUCUAAAAUUUCCUACCAUUUAAAAAAAUUACAAAAAUUUCUACUCUCUCCUAUUCUCGGAUACAUUACUUUACGCGAUGUAUCGAUCGAAUACAUCACUUUACGCGAUGUAUCGGUCUGAUACAUCACGUAAUGUGAUGUAUUGGGACAUAUGCGAUGUAUUGAGACAUUGAGUGAUGUAUUCGAGAAUUGAGAUGCGAUAAAUCAAGACGUUGAGGGAUGUAUCCGACACCAGAAUGCAAUGAAUCAAAACGUUUUGGAAUGUAUCCAAAUUCUAUCAAAUUUAAGGAGUUUUUGUAAUUUGAAAAAGAGUAGAAAUAAAAUGUGAUAAACUCUUUAACAUUAUGAGAUUUGUGUCAAAUUCCAGUAUGUUAUGCCAUAUUUCAGUUGGUGAACAGUCUUGUAUUCUUAUUCUAAAAUCCAUACAUAUAGAAAUGACAUUAUCAUCCUAACUAUAAUAAAAUAUAUUUUUUCCUAAAGUAGCACGAAGAAUUGCUUUAUGAAAACAAAGCAUAAUAUUUUUCAAAAUUUUUAAACUAAAAGUUCACAAUACAAAUAUAAAUACGGUAGCAAAAUACAAUUACUUAAAAGGAAAAUAAUAUUAAAACCAUUAAUAUUUAUAUGUAUGCUCCUUUAUCACUGAGCGGUCAUUUAGGGGCCUUAGCUAGUUGUUGGGACGGGUUCAAACUGGACUGAAGGGAGGAGGAAAAAAAAGAGUCCUCUCUUCCUGGGUGAUCACUCGCUCCUUAUCUAGAAAUCCAAUAUGGUUUGAAGCGCUAGACGAAUUUAGAGUUUGCAUGGACUCAACACCGCCUCUCUUUAUCAAGGAUCGCUGUGACUAAUCAAUUCAGGUUAAGCUAUCCAUCCCGCCCUCUGGAACAGGAUGUUAUAGAUUCGGGUAUUUGUCCACAAUAUUCAUCUAGUAAACUUAAAAACAUAAUAGUCGAAAAAUGAAUUUAUAGCCCUUUUAGGCUUUUCGUUUCAAGAGAAGUUGAAGACCUGUUUAUCAGAACUCGAAAAGUGAAAAGAGAGUAAUAUUUUGUUUUAUCCAUUAUCCCUUUCAAUAUAAGCAUUCUAAUCUGAACCAAUUUUAUUUAUUAGUUUUAAAUAUAAUUUGAGCCAAAGACUCAUCAUCGUGAUACUAAAAUGAGAAGCACCUUUAACAAUUUACUAUAACAAAAAAAAAAACACUACACUAUUUGCUUUCUGUUGUAAGAAAAUGAAGGAUGCCACUUGGAGACUAUCAAUUUAGUGACUUUCAUCACUUAUCAUGGUGUAAGGCAAAUAUGCAUGUCAUGUGGAAACCAUCUUUUGGGAAACUAUCAACACUUGGCAAUUAGUAGCCAAGUUAUACAUUUGUACUUUAGCUUUCUACUAUAAAUAGCUACUACAUUUACAAAUGUAGGAAUAUAGAUUGAAAGACAUUACUCUCUCCAUUGUUCUCUUUUUUAAGUGUGUUAAUCUUAAGUUUAUUAAGUAAUUAUUUUAUAACACUUUCAAUAGUAUUUGAGUUUGACCAAUGGAAAAAAAAAAUCAGAAAGAAAAACAAAUGAAGUAGCAAUAUAACUUAAUUAGAGUAUUUAACCAAUUCAUAAAUAGACAAAAAUUGUUCAGUGUCUUCACCAAGUGUGAUGUAUUAAAAAUAUCUACUACAAUAUAGUGAUAUACUGCUUGAUAUAACAUACUUAUAAGAAAAAAAGAAACAGAGGGUGUAAAAGGAUUAGCAUGGUACCUCCAUCGAUAAUUGUUCAUUUUAUUUAUAUUACACAUUCAAUAAAAGAAAAAGAAAAAGAAAAAGAAAAAGAAAAAGAAAAAGAAAAAGAAAAAGAAAAAGAAAAAGAAAAAGAAAAAGAAAAAGAAAAAGAAAAAGAAAAAGAAAAAGAAAAAGAAAAAGAAAAAGAAAAAGAAAAAGAAAAAGAAAAAGAAAAAGAAAAAGAAAAAGAAAAAGAAAAAGAAAAAAAUAAAAAGAAAAACGAAAAGAAAAGAAAACAAAGAAGAAAAGUAAGAAAAAUUGAAAAAAUUAAAAUAAAAUAAGAUGAAUGAAAAAUAGCUAACUUGAACCGUGUAAUGUCAAGGAAGAUGCCACUUCAUUGCACAUAGAAGCUUAAAGCUAGAAGCUGACAAAAAUUAUAUACCAUGAUUACUACUUUGUAUUCUUCAAACCAAAUGACGUGAAAAAGAAUACUUGCUCAAUCUUUCUAUCUCAUGAUUGAGAAGGUAUAGGGUCUCAGAAAAAGGAACCAGAUUAUCUUUUAGAGUUUAAUUGAGAAGCAUAUAAGAAAUCGUAUUAGUUUGAUUUAACCAUUUUCAUUACUACCUUGAAUAUUUUAGAAAUUAUCUUGAUAAAUAAUGUUCUAUAAAAUUAAAUUUGAACCCGCAUAAAAUAACACAGACCCGCCCCCCGAAUUAGUUUUUAAAAAACACACUUCACCCACAUGGCCUUAGAACCGCCCCGCCUUAUUACCAUCCCUAUCCCCUAUGUGCGUAGUAGAAGAAUUUUUUUUCUAUUUUGAGCCAAAGACUAGAAUAGUAGAAUGCUUUUAUCAAUUGUAGUUGGCCAAGGUAAGUUGAAGCCUCAAGGUAAGAAAUUGAUUACAAGAUGGCGUGACAUACGAUUUGGUUGUGUAGUGAGUUGGCAAAUCCCUUAAUAUUCCUCUUGCACAAAUUAGCAAAAUACACUAAAAUAAGCAAUAUCAGUGCUUUUUCUCCUUUUUUUUACAAGAAGAAUAUCAUCAUAUGAGAGGACACUACAAACAGUUUUCAUCACUACUGUCCAACUGCCAAUUGGCUCUCUAAUUUACAUAAUCUACAAAGCAAAAUGAGAAAAGGAAGUACCUAAAAGAAUUCCCAAGAGAAAACUAAAAGCAAAGUGACAUAUUUUGCUGAGAACAACCAUGUAGUUGCCAAAUUCCAAUGUCUGCUAAAUUCUCAUCCACUGUAACAAUCAUAAGUCCCUUCUUGUUCUCGGAGUUGACACACCUUUGGACUGGCUGAGUUCCAGAGUCGUCCUUCCGUCUGCCAUGAGAGGGCGCAUGUUGGGCUACUCCUGGACACACAUUGCAGCUACUGCAAGAGCUUGAUACAGGCCUCUAACUGGAUACUGAAUUGAAGCUCUGGAUCAGCCAUUUGUGAGAACUUUCUACGGUCUUUGAACAAUGGUCGAGCCUGCAAAUAUUGAAGACCAACUAGAGGUCUAGCAGAGAGCAGCAUUAAAUGCACAGAACCCAAAGGACAACAGAAUAUAUUCAAGUCCCAAUGAGCAUUUGAGUGGUUGAUUCAGAAAGCAGGCACGAAAAAUAAUUGAGAAACCUUGCACCUAAUAAAAACCGCAACAGAUUGGUCGUGCAACAUAAUAAGCAUGCACCAACUAGUUGAAGAUUAAAGAAAAGACACAUAAACUACACAGCUUAAGUUGUUCCACAACACUGUUAGAACAACUGACACCAUAAAACUAACACAUUAACAGAAAAAUCAAUUUCUCUUACCCAUGCAACCAGAUUCUGCUCUCCAGCAGCUCUUGAUGUGUCAAUUGCACUUCUACCAGUAAUAAUUUCAAGAAGAACUACUCCAAAACUAUAAACAUCAGAUUUAAGUGUAAGCUGCCCCGUCAUUGCAUAUUCUGGUGCACAAUAACCAUAGGUUCCCAUGACUCUGGUGGAAACAUGGGUCUUGUCGCCUACAGGUCCCAACUUGGCCAACCCAAAAUCAGAUAGCUUGGGAUUGUAGUCUUCAUCAAGCAAAAUAUUAGAACAUUUUAAAUCUCUGUAUAUAACAGGACUUGGCCCAGCUACACAUUACCGAGGACAUGACUCUAGAUAGGAAGGAGUGGAGGUCACGUAUUAAGGUUGAAGGCUAGUAGGGUUAGCAUGCUGUCUUUCCUGGCGAGGGUAUGGGUUGUUAGCGUUUGUAGGAGUCUUAGCCGUACACUUGUAGUUCUUGUAUGUGAUCCCUAUUGCCUUAUGUUGUUUACUGCGUUUCACUUCUCGCAUUAUUUUCUUGAUGUAUUGCCCCCUUUGUUGAUUAUGCACUAUUUUUCCAGUCAAGAACUCACAUGUUCAGAAAAUGCAUGUUGCGGAGAUGAGGAUGUUGAGAUGGAUGUGUGGGCACACUAGGAGCGAUAAGAUUAGGAAUGAGGUUAUCCGGGAGAAGGUGGGAGUGGCCUCUGUGGUGGACAAGCUGAGGGAAGCGAGACUGAGAUGGUUUGGACAUGUGAAGAGACAGGGCGCAGACGCCCCAGUGAGGAGGUGCGAGGGGCUGGUAGUAGAGGGUACGCGGAGGGGUAGAGGUAGGCCCAAGAAGUAUUGGGGAGAGGUGAUUAGACAGGACUUGGCCCAGCUACACAUUACCGAGGACAUGACUCUAGAUAGGAAGGAGUGGAGGUCACGUAUUAAGGUUGAAGGCUAGUAGGGUUAGCGUGCUGUCUUUCCUGGCGAGGGUAUGGGUUGUUAGCGUUUGUAGGAGUCUUAGCCGUACACUUGUAGUUCUUGUAUGUGAUCCCUAUUGCCUUAUGUUGUUUACUGCGUUUCACUUCUCGCAUUAUUUUCUUGAUGUAUUGCCCCCUUUGUUGAUUAUGCACUAUUUUUCUUAUUGGAUGUUAUGCUUUAUAUAAUUCUCUUCCUAUACUUGGCUUUGUUACACUUGAGCUGAGGGUCUUCCGGAAACAGCCUCUCUACCUCCACGAGGUAGUGGUAAGGUCUGCGUACACUUUACCCUCCCCAGACCCCACCUAGUGGGAUUUCACUGGGUAUGUUGUUGUUGUUGUUGUUGUAUAUAACAGGGGGAUUCACUUUAUCAUGCAAGUACUCAAGGCCCUUGGCAGCACCGGCAGCUAUUUUCAUUCUUGUAUUCCAGUCUAGUCGUGUUUUGUCGGGUGAAAGCUCUGGUUAUUUAACCAAAUACAUGAUAAAUUAGAUGCAACAUCAAAGACACUUUGGAUAUAAUGACACCAGUAAGGAGCAACAGAAAAGGAAAGAUUUUAUGAAAAAAUUGAUGAAAAACAAACUACCAAUUUGGAAUUUUAUGUCACAAUUGAAACCACAAGUAAUAAUUUUCAUUAGCUCAACAAGCAUCUGCAAAUUACUCAGGAAUACAAAAGAUUAGCUUUCAACUCCUGUCAGAUGGCAACAGGUGUGCUUUGCCCUUUAUUUAAUAAAAUUCCACUAUUUAUUGAAAAAAAAGUCCCAUCAGAUACCGAUUUGUAUAGAAAGGAAGCUAUGCAAUAUUUUUUUAUGGUGCAGCAAGAUUUGAUAUUAAUCCCUUGGAUUACUUAGUACUUCACAAACUAACCAAAAUUCCUUCAAAUAAAUUCCGGAUGAACUCCAGUAUGGCUAUUUUAAUCUUAAGAACACAUUUUUUUGUUAAUAACAGUAAGAUCCAGAAUAUGAUAGCAUUAAUUAAUUAGUCCUCUUAUGCAUACCAUGUAGAUGGUCUUCCAGUGAUCCUAACGGCAUGAACUCGUAAACUAGAAAUCUCUGAUCUCCAUCAGCACAAUAUCCAAUCAAGUUGACAAGGUGUGGAUGGUGAAGUAGGCUUAACAUCAGGACCUCAACAAGAAAUUCCCUAUUUCCUUGCAAUCCAUUUUGGUCAAGUUGCUUGAUGGCCACGACCUAUAUAAGAAAUCAUUUUCAUGCCUCAUAAGCAAUCUAAAGAGUACGAGCAAUAUUCAAAUGACAAAACAGAAUUAAUUUACUGUUGAGCACAGUAACAGUAAAUGACCCCGUGGCACCUGGAACACAUUAGGUGGAUGAGCCUUGUUUUUCUCUCGAGGCUGGUAGCUCUAGUAUCUAUCUCUGCUAACAGUACAGAAGUAUAGAUAAAAGUUAGUUAUGAACGGAGGAAAAAUUCAAAGGUGGCAAAACUAAUAUGUCAGACCCAAGUUGUGCGUCUAAACUUCUCCGGUGGAUAAAAGAAUUCUCGCUAACAGCAUCCUAAGAGACAAAAUGUUGCAGAAUAUAAAAUGAGAAGACGACAAUGCAGGUGAUGAAGCUGUUCAAUCAUAGCACCAUCAGCCGAGGAACAUGGGGCGUUACGGCACAACACUAUAAAGGUAUAAACCUCAGGAAGCUAAAUAUUAAGAUGCAAAUCAUUAAGGUUUCUCGUCCUCAAAUUCAUCGGAAAUGGGAUAGUGUACCUUUCACCAUUACAUUUCAGUGAUGUUUGCAGUAUCAGGUGUUGCAAGGACUUUUGGUGCAAACAGGAAGCUCUUCAGCAAUAAUACUCAUUUCCACCUCCACAAAAUAGCUAUGCUCAAUUGAAAAGUGGAAUCAAUAAUAAGAAAUUUGUCAAUUGUUGAACUUGGUCAAGAUUUUAAAGGGCGAGGGCUGGUGGAGUUAGCACAGAAGGCAGACAAAAAAGGAAGCAGAUUGGCCUGUAUCAUCUCUUUAGACUUAAUCCUGGAAGCAGUUAAGGGGAUUUAGCAGACACAGCAGCAUGGUGUUUGUUAGCAUAAUGCCAGUAGGACACUGCUUUGAGUCAAGUCCAUACUAUGGUCUUCUUCAUUGUCGCUGUGACCAAGCUGAUUCUUAUUUCUUCUUUAAAAUUGCUUCUAUUUAAUGAACAAAAAGGUCUACACUGAAAUGACUUCUCCUUAAGCUCAAGGACAAUCAAAUGAUAACAAGAGACCGGGCAAAACCUUGAGGUGGAAUUGCAUUAUGAUCAUUAAAAUCUUCUAUUUUUGCAGAGCUUUGAUGAGGGUGUCUUGGUUUCUGUUUUACUAAAAUUUCUUUGUAGUCUACCUAUAAAUGAGAAAAAUUAGAAGGCUCUAGCUCUAAAUCAAUAACCAGAAAAGAGAUUAGCUAUCUUUAGAUUGUCGGAGUGACUGAUUCCACAAUAGUGGAGCUAAACUGCGGUUGAAAUCAGAUUUUAAAGAUAAAACCUUACAUCAUCACCCCAAAUUAAAAACAGAAGAUCAAAACCGACUGUACAUACAGUGAGAUACAUGCUUCAAAUGAGUAAUCAAUGAAUAACUGUCUUCUGAAUUCUUUCACCAUUUCAAAAGACUUUGCACUUUCCUCUUUGAUAGGAAGAAACCAAGAAACAGUAUAGCAUGAAAUGGAGAGAACGCCAACUCAAAAUUAACUAAUAAGAACAAAAAGUGUUUGAACACAUUGAUCAUAAAAGGCAAGUCACCAUUUUAUUUCCAAUUUAAGAGUUAAAUUUAUGAGCUAGACCAACCUGAUUAGUUCUCUCUAAUCACCCUUUAUAUACUCUACCAAAACCUCCCUCCCAAGAGACAAUCUGCCCUAAAAUAUUUGGUUGCAGCAGCUAAUUCACGAACUGUAAACAUAUGUGCCGCUAUGUGUCCAGAUCCACCAUUUCUGGAGCUGUCCUUUUCAUCCAGUGAAGUAUUUACCUUAAAUUUUUCUGAAACAUGAAAGAAAAACUUGUUAGUUUUUCUGAACUGGGAAUGUAUGGUAGGCCAAUGUAACCUCCAAGCAACAUCCCAUGGGUGACAGAAAUGCCUUCAUUCAUAAGCUUUAGAAGACGAAAAUAAAACAAAUAGAGGUGGGGUGCUUUUGCAUUCAUGCAUAAAAGUGAAAUGUGUGUUAGCAGCAAUAGAAUGUUGUCCAUCAACAUGUGCAUACAGUAAUAAGAACUUUUGAAGUAGUAAAUAUAGCAGAUGCAAUGGUACUAGAGUUCUCACUAAUUUGACAAAUGUAGCAAAGCAAAGCUGAAAAAUCCCAAUGUUAACAGUAUUUAAGAAACAUGAUUCACUUCAUUCUAGUAGAACUGGCCCUAGUCUUGAUAUGUAUUGAGAAUACAACUAACUAAUAAAAGUGUGCUCUCUGUACCAGUUUAAACUUUUAAAUGAGAUGGUUAAUACUUCAAUAUAGUGUCAGAGUAGGCAGAUGUUCUGAGAUCGAAUCUCACCACCACCCAAAUGAAAAAAAAAAAUACACAUGCUUGGCCCAUCAAAAAGAGUCAAGCCCGCACAUGUGGGAGAGUGUUGAGAAUACAAUUGCCUAAUAAAAGUGUACUCUCUAUAACAACUUUAAUCUUUUAAAUGAGAUGAUUACACACUUCAACAAUGUGUUAUCCAAUUUCAUAAGAUAGGUCCAAACAAUUUCACCUUGCAUAGAAAACUUAAAAGGAAACCUUGAGCAACAUCACUCAAGGGUUGCAAAUGCCAUGCUGAGAAAGUUAACUGGACAACAACAACAAUACACCCAAAGUAAUCUCACAAAUGGGGUCUGGAGAGGGAAUGCCUUAUGACAGCAAAAUAGUGGAGAAGCAUAAAAAACUAGAGACACUUGAAUUUAACUAAACAUAUUAUUUAUAUGGAAGUAUGUGAAUAAGUUAAAAAUAGGAGGUUGCCCAAAAUCAAUUGUUCAAAAAAUGACUUGAAAGAAACAAGAAAGGAUCGGAGGAAGAAGCUUCUUUUCUUUUGGUCGCAAAUCUUAUAUAGGAUUUGCAAGAGAGUUAAUUUGGAGAAACAAAACUCCUUUGCUUUUGGAACAGAUAUACCUUUCUCCUUUGAAAUGGACUUGAUUUGUAUUGUUUGCAUUACAUUACACUUAACUAAUAAAAUAAAAGAGUAGAACUAAAAAUAAGCUAACAAUUGUUUAAUGUCCUUAGCACUAAGAGAGCUCAACUAUGUUAGCUCGAUUUCGCUUCCUCUUCAAUGCUUUCUUAGGAGAAUCCUUUUCCGUAAGCUUAGAUUCUUUUCCUAGAGGAAAACCAUCAUCGUCAUCACUUUUGCUGGUAUCCUGAAUGUCAUCCUCAUCGCUACUGUCUUCAGAUUCUGUCGUAUCAUUGGUAUUGAGAUCGAUUACUGGUUGGUAACUUGCUAUUGCGGAUUCAGCAGCUGAUACAGCUUCCUGUGUGUGAAGUUCAGCAACACCCAACAUUAAGUCCAUCUCUAUGUAUUCAGAUUCUUCACCAGUAAGAGCUUCAAUGUCAUAUUUCUCAGGAUUCUUCUUAGCUUCAAGCUCCACUUUUCUAUUGUUUUCCAAAAAUACUCCCAAAAAAUCCUUGACCUUUGUUAGAACUUGGCUUUUGGGUACAGAAGAAAUUUCAGGCUUCUUAUCAGGAAGGUCAGGUUUCAAAUUUAGGGAUUGAGAUCCGCCAUCACUAGUGCAAAUGAGAAGUUUUGAUUCCAAAGACAAGCCGCCUUCAGUCUCCAAGUGAAGCAGAUCUUUGCUGUUUGACUGCAUAUCAAGCAACUGAUUAUCUCCUAUAUGCUGCAUGUUAACCUUUGAAUUAGAUUUCCGAUAUAUCAUAAAUCAGAAUGCAAGGCAACAAAAGUAUAUCAAGUGUGGACAAACAAAUUCACAAUCACAAAUGCUUUUAAGAACAACUAAUAACUUCUUCUAUAGUUUAAGUUUUCAUAUUUUUUAAUUACUUUGGGCUAUUUACAUGAAUUUUCUAUUCAGUAAGCUGUGACUUGUCAAAGUCAACAAGACCAUAAAGGAAACUAGAUGUCACAAAAAGAAUGAGCAAAGACCUUGUACACAUUCUUCCACCAAUUAGGUAUGUCAUUUUCUGACUAACUAAACAGCUUAAUUUAAUCUUUUUUGGGGGUAAAUACAGAUUUAAUUUAACAAAGAAGCAACAAUGUACAUGUGUGGGAUAUGUAUCAAAUACAAUCAAUACCAAGCCAUCAGUAUCUAAGCUAAACCUCCUUCCCCCUAUUCUCCAUCUGUACCUCCUGUUCUACGACACUUUUGAGAGAAAAUCAUUUCUGUAGUUUAAGGGUAAACAUCGUGUUGCAGUAGGAAACUUGCUAUCUUGUUUUGGCAGUAGCCUCAACAAUGCACCUCUUGUACUAUCCUGCAGACUUCUUCAACAGUUCUCUUGUUCUGAAACACUCUUUGAUUCCUUUCUAGCCAGAUAGAUAGAAUAAACAUACCCUACCAGUAACCUCAGGCACUGGCCAUCUACCCAUUAGCAUGACUGAUAGCCCAUUCCAGUUCUUGUGUCCAUCCCUGUGUAUAUUCAUCCAGUGUAACAGCUUUACCCAUAAAUUAGUUGAGUAUGGGCAUUUGAAAACAGGUGCUCUAAAGUUUUAUCCUCUUACCACACAUAGGGGGCACACAGUUGUAAUAGAAACUCCCCAUUUAAACAACCUAUCUCUUGUAUAUAUCCUGCCCUGUACCACCAAAGUAAAUAGAAAUAGCCACUUAGGACUACCUUCAUUGUUGCAUACCAUUAGCUUACAUUGGGGAAUAAGGCCUCCUAACUAUGGCUGGGCGUUCGGUCGGUUCGGUUUGCUGAUUUUGGUUCAGUUUUUUGGUUUGGUAAAAAUGUUAACGGAAACCGAACUAUAAUAAAUUUGAUUUUAACAAUUUCGAUUCGGAUUGAAUAUAAUCAUAUUGGGCCAUUUUCUUAUCACCAUUCAUCACUAAACUUCUGUAAAGUUCAGGGGUCCUUUAUAUGUAGGCAAAGCCAUAGCCAAAUUUUCAUUAAGCAUGGCGAAGGAAAAAUAUUCAGUUAAACUAAUUAAUUCCAACAAAACUAAGAACAAAACAUGACUAUAAGCAACGAGACCAUCAAUUUAGACUCGGCUUAAACGAGCAGAAGAAAAUCUAACUAUGCUAACAUAUUACUACAAACUACUCUAAACAGAAUUUAUAAACACGCAUAAAGAAAAUUGUAGAAACAAAGAAAUAUUACCUGCGAACGGGAACGACUAGUUGAGAAGACGACUCCACAACUUUCAACUCAAACAACCACAAAAGCCACAAAAUUUUAAACUAUUGGACCAAGAAUUUCCAAACCUUAUAGGGGUAUUCUUAGGUCUCCAAAAAACCGUCCCUGAACAGUGAAUCUCUCAAAUUCCUGAUGAAGAAUCGAUGUGGGAGGAACUAAUUUCACAGAGAAUCAGGCUCCAGUGAGCUGGAAUCGUACGAAUUUGAAACGAAAUUAAAAAUAAAAAGGAAAUUGGAAUGGACCACAUCAAGGUUGCCUCCGGAAGCUCCGCGCGUCUUUUGCCUCACGCAGAUUGUACAAAUACGAAGGAGAAAAGACAGAUGAAAUUGGGAGUUAGGGCUCGUUCGCCUCCUUCUUCGUUUGCUGGAGUUGCAUCCUGAAAGAGUCGAGAACAGCAAGAGGGCUAAAAAGGGGCUGGAUCUUUGAAAUGGACCAAGAAAUUGGGCUCUCUUUGUGUGAAUUUUGAAACGGUGAGGUCCAAUUUGAUUUCAAAGGAAAUAGGUCCCCGAGUCUUGAAAAUAAUACUUUAAGAUGAUAAUAUUUGAAAUAAAAUAAAUUAUGUAUCUAAUCAAUUAAUAAGCUUUUUCAUUUUUACAAAUGUGAAAUAAUUAACUAAUUAUAGAAAAUACCACUAAUUAAAAUUUUGAUUAAUUUGAUGAUAAAUAAGAUAAGUAUUAAGUUAAUUAUUCAAAUAAGAUAUAUAUCCAAAGUCGUACACAAACUUAUAUAAAUAUAGAAAUAUUACUAUAAUGGACAAAUUACUUAAGUACACAACAUUACUUUACAUAUUCUCAAUAUUUCCCUACUCUGUUAUUAAAAUACAAAAAUCUCUUAUUUUUCCCCAAUUCAACUUAACCGGAUACUUUAUUUUUUGGAAGCCAAAUUGACCUUUUCCAUUCUCUAAUUUUCGCCCUCAAUCUCUCCUCAGAUUUUCCCACAACACACGAUUCCAUCUCCAAAUUUUCUCCCCCAUUAUUCUCAACAGAUUCAUUAUUCCAAUUUUGAAUUUCAAACUAAUUCUCUCCCCAUUCAAUCAAUUUCAGAGUUUGAAAUAGGUAAUCUCUUCAUCUUCAACUUCUUUUUUAUCAUUUUUUAAAUAUUUUCUUAUACUUUAUGGAUCAUCCGUCUUUUAGUAUUAGGAUUAUCCAAAUAGUCACAACGAACACUAAUCGAAUCUUUGAUUAUGAAGAUCCUAUAACAAUGACUAAGCAAAGUUCUAAGAAGUCAAAAGCUAAAAAGGAGGCACAUGCAAAAACACCCAAGAAAAGUGGUAGAAGGGUUGCCCCGGCCAUAUCCAGAUUUGCAAUACCAACAGUAUGCAUUUUUUUUCCUGUAAUUUUAUGCAUUCACAUCUUACUAUUGGAUCCACAACAUUCAUUUGAGGUGGAAUUUGUUCAAGAUAUUAUGCAACAAGAAAGCGACAGUCUGUAACUAUUGAAUCAUUUUUUCUUUACUUACACAUUUGAUCUUUUUUUAUAAUGUAUCUUCUUCUCUUUUAUAGUGAUUGCAGAAUGUUUUUUGUUGUUUUUGUUGAAUUUCUGAGCAGUCAAAUCAACACCCAUCUAAUGAUUUUCAAAGUGACUAUCUUCACACAAGAUAUGCAACAUUGUUAUGAAAGUAUGGUCUCAACAAGGCCAAGACGAAAUAUGUUAGCAAGAAUGAUGAUCUACAAGGUCGAAGAGUGACAACACUCCACCAACAGAAGAUGAUCUUGUUGAUGUAGAAUAGAUUUUUAUAUAUCGAUUCACCUACAAUUGUUGAUGAUCUAUUGUUUUAAGAUACAUUACGUGUUUUUAUACAAUUAUCAAGUAUAUGAUACAAAAUUAUUUUCACAAAUAACAAAUUUUUAUUCUUCACACAGCAUGAUACAAAUUAUAUCUUAUAAGAUUGGUACAAAUCACAACAGAUGAUACUAAAUCAUUAUCAUUUACAUAAUAUUAUGUAUAUCAUACUUAGGUGCUUUAAACAUCUCAAAUUGAUGCGCUUUUAUUAUUUCAUGCCAAAGUUACAAAGAUAUUAAGUUUCAAAUACACGAAAUUGAUACCAAAAUUACUCUAACUUUUUUUAAGCUGAUAUUAAAUUUCCAGAAAAUUAUUAUGUACAUGAAACACAAUUGCAUCCACAAAUAUCAAAAAUUGUAAUGUAUAUGAUAUAUAAUAUUGGUAAAAAAUACAACAUCCGAUACUUUAUUAUUAGUAGAUACAAAUUUUAGUAGAUAUCUAAUAUUGGUAAAAAAUACAACUCCUAAUUGCUUGCACACUCAUUUGAUAGUAAAAUUCUGCAGAUUCAGUAUAUCAGCAUAUGUCAUUCUUGCCUUCUCCAAAGUGUCUUCAGCUUACAAUUACUUCUUACCAUCCAAGCUGCCUAUUUAGGAAGGAUGAACCUGAUUAACUGCUCAACCUUUCAUGUAGUAUGUGUGUAUCCACUUGUCUUUUUUUCUGACACAAGUUCCAAUAAAGCUUACUAAGAAGCAUUAAUAUUGUUCAUCUUCACUUCCCUUUUUGCCCUGCAUCCUUCGCUUGACCAAUUUAUUUUUAAUUUUGCUAAGGAAAAACAAAAGACAUCUUGUUUUGCCUAGAUAUCCAAAGUCGGUGGAGGUAAGUUUGCAUGACAUCCACUCCUCAGUUCUUGAUUUUUCUUUUAUUUGUUUUUCUCCCAAGAAGCCUUUCACAUUUAAAGAUAAAAAAUAGACCCAAAGAGUGUAAGAGCUCAGUGGCUACUCUUGAUAUUUUUGGACUUAUUUUACUGAUUUUAAUUUAAAUAUUGGGACUGCAAUUGUUUGAUUUCUGAGUUGAUUGCAUGUCUAUGAUAUGUGAUAAAUCAAUUUAUGAACAAUGUCAACAUCCUAGAACUCUAGCAAGACUGGAAACAUGAUUAUUUCGCUAUACUAUUGCAGCUUUAGUACUAAAAAUUCUUUGAUUUAUGUAAGUUCAGCAAACUUUUAGCACAUAAAUAAAUAUUUUUUGCUUAAAUGUUUGUGUAUCCGAACACCGGAUAAAAAAAAGGAUUAAAGAAACAAAACAACAUGCUUAGGAAUGAGACGCCAAUUACGAGUUCCAUGUUGAGCUAUUUCACUUUUGAUAACACUUUAUUAUCCAUUAAGGGUAUUUGGAUGUGAAAAAACAAGAGAGUUGCAAGAUUUACGGGAGAAACAGGAUAAACUGUCAAGAGACAAGUAGUGGAAGUCAUGAUGCAAAAGAAAAGAAGGUAUAAAGUGUAACCUCAGAAGGAUUGCAAUUAUUUCAAUUGGGGGUGAAAGGGUGAUAUGCACGGUUACACAGAAAACUAGUUGAGGGUGAGGACACAAAGAGACGAAGCUAAGUUGGUUGCUUUGGGCAGAAGACAAAUUUAUGCACUCUCUUUUGAUAAAGAUAAAAUGACGCACUCUCUUUAUCCCAAUUGUAUGAUACACCUGCCACUUGAAAAUUUAAACAAAAUUUCUCUUGAAUAACAAUCUUUUAAAAUAUUUCAAAUAUUAAUAGUUUAGUUUCUAAUAUGCAACUCCUUCUAUCCCAUUUUAAUAACAAAAAUGCUUUCUGAAAAAGAUAUAACAUCAUGUUUUGCUCAGACAUCAGUGGGUUUCAUGUUUGCUAGAUCCCAUCUAUCAGGACAAGGUUUAUAAAGAGAGAUGGGGCAAAAAGUGGAGAGUUGAGUAGAACUAUGUGGGGGAGUGUGAUCAGUUGAAAAAUAUAUUUAUCAAUAACUAUCACGUUUUGAACUGAAUUACACCCCAAUAGCAUUGCCUGAAUAAGGCAACCAAAACUAGCUUCAACCCUCAGAAGCCCUUUUAUUGGGGUUUGUGGGUGAGUUAUCUUUCAUGCUUUUACUAGCAAUUUUAAAAUCCAUUUAUCAAUUGCUAACAUGUGUUCAAUGUCUUUACUCCUUUAAAUCCAGUGUGAAAUUCUUCAGCGCUACUUCUUUUCUAUAGCAUUUAGUUUUACAUUUGUACUGGUUUUCUAUAUUUAAAUCAGUGUCAACGCCAAAUUUCCCUGCUCUAGCCAUUCAAGUUAAGAGCACACCCUUUGCCUCCUAACAUGUACAACUAAAUAACCUUCGCAAAACCCCACUAGAUUGAAACCUAAUCAAGAUAAUAAACAGAGACCUUUAAAAUACCCAAGCCCAAAAACAGUUUAAAAAAAAACACAAGAAGUACAAAAUUGCAUAGAAAGAGAAAAGGUCUAUGACUUACCUGGAUAGGGGUAUAAAAGAAGAGAGUUGGUGGUUCAGCCUUAGUCAUUUACCUUUCAGUUUCAGAGAGCCGAGGGAGACACACGCUAGGAGAAGCAACUAGCGAGAUAUUCUAGGGGUAGGCGUCAGUUAGUUCAUUAUUUUCAGUUUUCAAUUUGAUGCACCAAUAAUUGAACCGACAUUAGUUAGGUUUUUUCUAAAUCAUUUUCGGUACGAUUCAGUCGGUUUGGUCCUGUCAGAUUGAACUUUUAAACUGGCCUUUUUCUACAGAAAAAAUAUGCUUUCAGAUAAGUUUUUUGGGUUAGUACUAUUCAAAGUAUAACGUAAAAUGUCAUGCAUUAGGCAUUAGCGUUGCUGUUCAUAAUUUAAUAAUUUAAUUGGUUUAUGAUUUUAGCAUUGUGGGUUGACGUUGUUCAUUUAAAUCAGUGCCAGCAGUUCCUUAUAAGAGCUGAUUUUGAAUGGUAAAAGAACAAUUUCACAUAAAUCAGACUCUUUUCACAUACUAGGCUUAGCAUCAAACCUCUUUUCACAUAUCAAACCUCUUUUCACAUGUUAUACCUCUUUUCACAUGUUAUCAUCAAACCUCUUUUCACAUGUUAUCAUCAAACCUCUUCUCAAAAUCUCAAACACUCAAACACUCAAAUAGUUAAGUCACUUCACAUAAUCAAUGGCAAUAACAAUCACUAAAUCACAUCACAUAAUAACUUAAUGAGUCUAACAACAACAGUCUAAAAAGUUAAAAGGUAGUUCUUCUGGAAUUAUAAUCUCAACUAAAGCCGCUCUAACUACUUCGAAUUCAUGACUUCAACAAGCAGAAAUAUCGUUUCGAAUUAGACUCAGUUCAGUUGUUACGUGUAUAAUUGGAGUUCUUUUAAGAAGAUUUCAGUUGUUCCUUCUGAAAAAAAAAAUGACAAAACUUACUUGACGACGAGGAUGAUGAACAAGCGGCAGCAGGCGGCGGCAUCGGUGGAGGACUACCCUCACAACAGCAGUGGGAAAAGACUGAGCAAAAGUAAGAUGGAUAUUUGAAAAAUGAGAGUUAUUUUUGGAACCCUGGUCUAAAGUCUAACGGGUCGUUUGGUUGUUUGUUCCGUUGAGGAGAUUAUUUAUCUAUUUAAUGGAAAAAAAAUUAUACUAUUUCUUUCCAACAAUAAAUUAUAAUAAAUUAUUCUUCUAUUUAUAAUUUAAUGUCAUGAAGUAUUAAUUUCAUGGAUUCCACUCUUAUUAUCCUACAUAAUUUUUUAUUUUUUAAUAUCUUAUAGAUGGCAAAAUUUUUUGAAUAAAAUUGAUUACAUUUAUAGGUAAUGUGUGUAUAUAUAUAUAAAUAAAGAGCGAUAACCAACCACCGAGAAUAGCAAAUGAAAUGAAUACUAAUAACAAACAGGUUGCAACCAAAUAAACAACAAUCACAACCAUACAUAUCAUAUAUUAUUAUAAGUGGGAAGCUUCUAACUUUAAAGUUGGAUUACCAUUUUGUCCUUCUCUAAAAAAAUCUCUUAAUUUGAAUUUAUUUUUACAAAAAAAAAGAGGAGACAAAAAAGACCAAAAGUCACUACUUUUAUUUAAUAAAGAACCGUUUCUUUUCUGGGGAAUUCAAUGACCUCCUAAGAGAUAACCCCCCAUAAGUUUUUCAGAAUUGAGAGAUUUCUUUAUCUUCCACAUUCAACUCUUUGUUUUCUUAUUGUUGAGAUUGAAAGAUUUUUUUGUCUUAUCACGUGUAUUUUUUUAAAGGGUAACAAGCAUUCAUAUUUUAUCAACAAAAUCAAUUACGAGACGAUGUUGAAGAAAGAUAUCAGCUUAAUCUUGUGGGCAACAUUAAAACAAAAUUUUAAUUUAGGGAAGGUCAGCUCUAAAAUGGCAAAUAUCAUAAAGUCGGUUGUAUCUUUCUAAACAUAGAUUGAUUUAUUAUCUCUUUCUUUUUUUUAGUAUUCUUCAUGAAUAUCUAUAUGUGUGAUUAUAUAUUGUUGUUUUAUACAAGGUUUUUGGGAUAAUAGAAUGCCAACUUAACUUUGCAACACCAAUUAAUUAUAUAUUUUUUGCUUUAUGCAAAUUUUAUACGAUUGAAGCAGUGAAAAGGAGUGAAAAAAAUAUAAUUUCUUUCUUUUCGGUUCGCAUCUUAGGUAAUUGUUCUAUUCAAUAUUUUAGCACUUCUUAUGGACUAUCAAACUAAUUUUUUCCUGUUUGCUUUUCUUUUUUUCUCAUUUUUUAUUUAUCAAUUGUUUGUUCAUUGCAAAAGUCUAUUUUUCUUAUUUUUUUUAUUUAUCAAUUGUUGUUGCGGGGUCUGUCCCAACAUCCAUCUCAGUAUUAUAGAGGCUUCAUAGACAGUCAGUCAGUUAGUAUUGAGUCCCUCAUCUAUAUAUAUAUGUAAAUAUUCUAUUUUGAGACUCGAGUUGCCUUUUUGGCCAGAUAUUAUUAGUUGGGUUGUUUUAUAACCUUGCAUUGCAUUGAGUUAUGCUGUUGAGUUAGGUUUCCGCUGAGUUAAGAAAGUCAGGCCAAGGGUUCGCUUGGGGGCCAGCAAUGAUCUUCGUGUGCCGGCCACGUCCAGGGUGUAGGCUCGGGGAGUGACAAAAAUGUCCAUUAUAAGUUGAAGGACAUUUUUACUGAUUAGUCAUGAACUAUUUCUUCAAUAUUCAAGUUAUACAAAAUUGUAAGAAAACAUUUCAUAAAAUAUUACCAUUAAAUUAUUAUAAAUUUGUAAUCAAAUUAUAUUAAAUGACAGAAAGACAAAUAAGUUGGGAAGUGUAACCAUCACCUUAUUGAAUAGCUUUUAUCUUUACGUAUUCUUCUAGAAUAUUCUCUAAUUGGUUAUGUGGUUAAAUUUUUGACGUGCUAAUUAAUUACGUUUGUUUUUAAAAAUAAAAAUUUUAUGUUUUUUUAAAUGAAAAUAAAUAUUUGUAAGUUGAGUUGGAGGCUAAAUCAUAUAAGAUCGUGAAAAAUUGAAAAAUAAAAGUAAGAAUUUUUUAGGUUUAUUCAUAGGUAUAGUACUAUGACAGGAUCUCUUUCAUUUAUUCCCUUUAUUUUGCUUGAUUUUUAACAAUUUUAACUUUCUAAUAGGUGAUGUUAUCGUCGUAUAGAAAGGAAUUAACCUCCAAAAAUCUUGAAAACAAAUUAAAAUGAUAGGUAUACAUUGUGAAUGAUCUUUUAGUGUGUUGCAUACUUAUAAUUAUAGUUCUAUUUCAAAUAUAAUAAUUUAUUGUUAGAUGUAAAAUGACUAUUUCAAUUGUAAGAGUGAUUGUACUAUAUUACAUUGGAUUUGAGAUACUUAUAAUGAAGUCAUCUCUGGUGCAUACUGCAAGCAUCUAAACAUGCACCCCUGUUAUUUGAGUAGGUGCCUAGAAAGCAACAAAUUCAUGUUGAAUGGUGCGUAAUUAGGAAAUUCGUAGGGGUGUAUAAAAAUUGAAAAGACUAUAAUCAGUUAUGUAUGAAAUUUAAAGGGUUAUAUCACUAUAUAUAGGUUUGUACCCUCCACUGUAUGAAAUUCAAAUGGAUACAUCGGAACUAUGACAAACAUACACUUAUGUUUUAUUUAGUGUGGUCUUAUCUCUAUGAAUACAUUUUAUGUAUAAUUUUAUUUUAUGUUGCAUUUUUAGGCAGAUCCUUGUAUUUGUAUCAUUUGAAAUGAUAAACUUGUAUUUUUUUUAUAGGUGUGCUACAUAAGUUCUUUCAUAAGUUAAUUAUUAAUUAAUCAUAAUGUUUUUAGAACCUUUUCACCUCCUAACUUAAUUGCAUCAUAAAGUGAUCAUAUUCAUUAAUAAGUAACAAAGUGAUUCGUUAAUCAUUAUAUAUAUAUAUAUAUAUAUAUAUAAUUUAUUUUGGUUCGAUGAGAAGACUCUUGAAUUUUAAUUGGUUAUGGGAGAACGUGUAGACAAGAACUCCGAAAAUAAUGUAGUAAUUCUAUCCUCCCUUUUUUUCCAUAUGCAUUGUUAUGAUUAAAGUUUUAAGAAGGAUGUGUAUAUUGUAUUUUUUUCAUGUAUAUUUUUUGUGUGUUUUCUCUCUAUUAGACUUCUUUAGUUUAAUUUUCUACGAUUUUCUAUAUUUUUAUCAGGUUCAAAUUAGUUAUUUGUGACUUUAGUGAAAGUUUGCUACUACUAACCAAAGUUUAGAUGUACCGUUGGUUACUUUAUAGGGAAUUGCUUUUAAACAUUAAAAUGCACCACCUGUUUGGUGUUUCUUGUCACACUUUUAAUGAUUAAUUAUUUGUAUUUGUUGCAUUUUAUUUCUCAUUACAUGCAUGUUUUCAUAGAAUUGUAAUCGUUCUAACAAUCUAAAAUAAAAUUACAUGGGACACACGUGCAACGCACGUACCCAGAGACUAGUAAAACAAAAUGAUGCAAAGCAAUGUGGUCAAUGCAUAAAAGUAAAAAUUUGGUAGAAAUCUCGAGUCGCACAAAAUGCUACCUCAAACUUGUCAACAACUAUAAUGCAAGAAAAAUGUAAUCUGAAAUUCAAUCUACGCGCCACCUUGAAGUACCUCUUCUAGCUUCAGUAAAGGUAGAUUUUCAUUUUAUCCGAUUUGUUUAUAAAAUCAAGUAUUUACCUCGAACUCGGGCCUCGAAUGUAAAACCAAUAAGUUUUAAAAUAUUCAUCAAUUUUAAGAAAUAACCCCCUCUCCCCCUUUCCCAAAUGGUGUAUUUCCUCAAAAUUUCAAUUGUUGACAUCCAAUUUUGUCCCUUCUUUCUUCUAAUUUAUUUCGUUGAGCUUCUAAGUUAUUAAUAAGUCGAAUAUUUUAUAUUUCACUAUUAUUUUCGCUUAUUACUAUUGUGAUCGUAAUUAUCUCUGUUACUUUAUCUUUUAUUAUUUUUAUGAUUAUCAUCUUUUUAUUUUCAUUUUCACUAUUUUAAAAGUAUAUUUAUUUAUUAACAUUAUUAUUAUCACUUUGUUGUCGUCUUCUUUAAAUAGAUUGUCGUUACUUUAUUUCAUGUUUCUUACUUGCUAAACUUUUUACACCAUAUAUAUUGCGCUAGUUAUUUAAAUGAGAAGCUCAAAAAGAAUUAAUUUAAGAAAGAAAAAGACCAUUAAAUUGGGACUAAUUGAAUUCCAAUUGAACCAAAUAUUCAGCCCAUUUUCGAUGUCAAUUCUGUCCAAAAAUAGGCCCAAACUCGUUGGCCCUUUUGAAACAUAUCAAAUUUCUCAAAAGAAAAUCUCCCAUAAACCUAAUCUUCUCAACCGCCACAACUUCAAUUUCUCCCUCUUUAUGCAGCUCUCAACAAUGGCAUACUUUGGCCAUUCCAUUUUCGUGCAAACCUCGACAACCCUCUCGCCUUCAAGGAUUCGAUCAUCACAUGAGGCCAAAGAACUUUUAGAACUGAUCUGAUUUCUCUACAGAGAAAGCAGAUUUGAACAACUUUUGUUCAAAUUUAAUUUCAAACGCCUCUUUUGUUCUUCAGAAAUCUCGCUCAAAUCUCUAUCUCUAACUCUACCAUUAUUCUCCUAUAAAUACUACCUUAUAUCUCUUCAUCAGGGGAUGAGUUUUGGCUUGCUAAAAGAAUCACCCAAUAAGCUUUUACACUCACAAAAGGCACCACAAAAAUCUUAACGCUCUUGAAAUCUUUCAUUCUUAGAUACGACUUUAAACUUUGAAUCUUCUAAGUGUUCAUUCUGUCUCAGUUGUCUUGUAGCCAUAAGAGAGACAUUUGAAUAUGUUUGGUUCAAAAAUUAUUCUUGAGGCAGUAUAUUUGAGACCUACAAUAGCCAUAAUUUGCUGCCCCACAAACGAUAAUUUCGAUAGACUUUCUUUUAUUACAUCAUUUCGUUAAUCAUGUUUAUUUUGCUUAAUAAUCCAUGCUAGUGUGUGUGUGUGUAUAUAUAUAUAUUGAUUGAAGCUUGUGGUUCUUACUUUGUCUAUGAUUUCAAGAUGAUUUAUGUAUACGAAUCUAACUCUAGUUUUCUUGUUAUAUGUUAAAUUUUGCUUCAAUAACUCUAUUUCUAUUGUAUUGCGGAAAAGUAUGGCUAUGAGAAUAUGCAGUCCCAUUUAAUCUCUAUUAAUAUGUGAUCAUAAUUGGAAUCAAGAAUUCUAAUUCUUUGUUGACAUUAUAUUGUUAAAAUACUAUUUAUACUUUGAACCAUUAAUUAUGAUCUUUUCUUAGAUAUAUAUGUUUAGAUCUACUAUUUGUUUGAAAAGUUAUUUCUGGCAGCCUGAAUUAAAGUAAGUUCGUAAAUUACUGUUAUGUAAUACUAAUGAAAAGAAGUGUCUGUUUGGUAUAAGUUUACACGUCUGUUAACUUUAUGAUUUAUUUAUCCAUUUUUCUAAUCAUAUUUAUCUAUUUUGCAUGAACACUGGAGUUGAAGAGUCUCACUUUAAGACUCAACAUCACCGUGAGACGACCUUGUGCAUGUACAUAUUUGUUCGUGACUCUUACUCCCCUAGAAACUCCAUCAGAAUAGAAUUGAAUGAGAGAACUGGGAGAAAAGGAUAGACAUUCCUUUCCCUAUUCUUGCUAAAUAGUUUUAAGUAUCACUUAUGUGUUUUUAUCUACCCUUAACUCCCUACAUGUUAUUCACAUUUAUUACUUGUUGUAUGUGACGCUUUAUGUUUUGAGUAUUCUAGUAACAAUUAAUUAUAUCAGAUAGAUUAGAGCUUAUUAAAUUUCCUAACAUGAAAGUGUUCUAGUAUAGUAAUUUUUUAAACUCGACUGCCUUUUUCUUCAACUCAGUAACUUAGCGUGUAGAUAUAAUUUGUUAGCCCCCUUUUCUUUUAAUGGUAAAGAAGUAUCUUUGAAAUAAGUCAAGUUCACCAUUUUUUUUUAAAAAAAAUAUCUUUUACUACUCCUCAUGUUUUAGUUUUGAAAAAAUUUAUAUCUUUUUAAGUUCUAAUGGGUUUUCAUUUGUUUCAAAAGUGUUACAAACACAAAGCCGUUUCAGUUUUAUUAUGUUUCCAACAAUAUAAAUUUUCAUAAAAAAUAUCUUUUCAAUUAUUGACUCUAAAAUUUCUAAAAGUUAGCAUUUAUAUUGUAAUUUUUACUUUCUUACCCUUAGUUUAAUUAAUUAAUUAAGUUCGGUCGGUUAACCAUUUUUAAUGGAUCUUAAAUUAUGCCUCGCCCCUUCCUUUUAGAUGAGUAGAACCCUUACUUAGAAUCUCAUGUUUAGUAGACCUUCAAAUGAAGUUAACUUUAGACAUGACUUUAAUUAAUUUUAGGUGCCCUAAUUCUCCAUAAAUAAUUAGGUGGCGACUUCUUAAGUUAGUUAAUAAUUUAGGAAUCACCAAAAUGUUAUACACUAUUUUGACUCGGUUAAAAUGAAGUAUAAUAGCUUGGCAUCUCCGCUGGAGAUUUAAUAGGUUCUAACCACAACAGACUUAGUUUAAUUAGACUUUAUGUGCUUACUUUAAUUAUUUUACUUGUCAUAAUUUUUUUUACAUGCUAUCAAUUAUUUAUUUGCUCUAAGUUAUUUUCACAUGCUAUAAAUUAUUUGUUAACUAUAAAUUAUAUUUACAUGCUAUUAAUUGUUUGUUAGCUAUUAAUUGUUUAUGUGUUACUGCUUUUCUUAACUGUCAUUCCGUUUAUAUUUCUCCACUUUUUUGAAAUUCACACUAUCACACGCACACGUGAGGUGUGUUUUGCGCACCUAUACUUUUAAAAUCCUAAAAUUUAAGAGAGUUGGUGUAUGCGCGGAGUGUCUGGAUCUUUUUCCGUGUGACCGUGUAACCUUCUCACUCGAGUAGUCCUCUUGGGAACCUUGUGUCUAUUAAACCCACUCCUAGUUUACCUAGAAUAGAGCUAAACCAACACACUUUAUAAGGAACAUACAUCCUUUCAUGAACUAAGAGGCUUUAUACCCUUGAUGUAUUAAGUCCAAUAGUCGACUUUACCUUAAAUGUCCAAGUGAGUUUCCGACCCCGAGUAACGACCUAUCAUUAUUUAUAUGCAAAUUUGAGGAAUAUUUAUGCCUAAAUAUAGACCAUUUGCUCUAAUUAGUUAAACAUUAGGGGGAUGGUAUGGCUAACCUUUAUGUGACAUGUACGAAGACUUGACUUUGGAGUACAAUUAAGUGGUGAUAUCACCAAAUGAAACCAAGAAGGAUGGACAUAACACAUUUCUUUUACUUUAAUUAGAUUAGGAAAUACUUUACAUUGUAUUCAUUCAACAUGUAAUAAAUUUUAUGCUAUUUUGUACCUUUUUUUUUAGAAAUAAAAUUUGCUUAAUUAAUCAACAACAAUAGAAUGAUAUAUUAUGGCAAAUAUACUCUUCGAAUCUGCGUUAGGCCUACCUCUGGCACAAAGAUGUCACAAGCAUAUUAAGACGCCUUUACAUGUUAUUUUUACAAUUUAUUUGACUUUACUUGAUGACUUGUUUGUAUAUUAUUUUUAUAACUUAUUUGACUUUACUUGAUGACUUGUUUGCAUAUAUUUUAUAACUUAUUUGACUUGCUUGCUAUGUAACUUAUUUGAGUUUAUGUGAACAUGACUUUACUUUUUGAUUUGAAACUAACAUCAUUUGUAUUUCACUGUCUAUCUUUUAUCUAUAUUUUUAUUCCCAAUCAAAGUUGAUUCGUGUUGACAAUCGAGUUGGCCGACCAUCCUUACUUCACAAGGUCCAAGUCAUCGGCAUUACCUCAGCGUAGUUGGGUUAUUCAAGGAAAAAAAUUAAUAUGACUAACCCAACCGCGUCUGAUCCAAUUGGUCCAGGACAUAUCAUGGUUUCUAAUGUACUAUUCAAUAUAUCGUCCGCUUGACUCGAGAUUUAGGAUCUACAUAGUGAACUAACUCGGGUUAGGGACUUGACCAAUUUAUCCAUCACACUCCAAAGUCUACUUCCUGAACCUAAAAGUACCGCACCAAACCCACAUAACUUUCCAUCACUUGAUUCACCAGUUCCUGAACACUUCCCUCCAUAACAGCUUCCGCCUACCAACAAUAACCUUCCCCCAACUACCCACCCAAAUCCACCAAAUUUGCCAUCCAUCUACACUUCCCCACAAAGUCAACCACCUACCUACACUAUCUAUGCUAUUCCUCCUAAUCCACCACAUGUAAACCCACAAAAUCAACCUCCAACUCAUACUCCUUACGUUUCUUUUCCCACUAACACCUAUCCACUACCUACAACUACUCUUGUAAACCCAUCGAAUCCAACACCUCCAAUCCAAAAUUCUCCUACUGUCCAAACUUAUCCAAUUCAGCAUAUACAAGGGACACAUAUUGCCACUCCUUACGCGCAACACAUCCUCCAGUAUAUGCCGUGGAAACUCAAGCUUUUACCAACCCAAUAUUAGUCAAAUUUCAAUCCGAGGUAGAUCAAUAUGAGAAAAUAGAGAAGGACGUCAAGGCAAAGACUGAUGAUGUGUUAGUUAGAGAGAUUCGUGAUCUUAAUGAAGCAAUGAGAAAUCUCCAAACUACUAGGGGCAACAAAAGCUUAGAAUAUGAGGAUUUGUGUGUGCAACCUGACAUUGACUUGCAUAUAGGGUAUAAACCGCCAAAGUUUGAUAUAUUCAAUGGAAUCGAUGAUCCUCAUACACAUCUAAGGGCAUAUUGUGAUAAAUUGGUAGGAGUGGGGAGAGACUAGAGGGUCCGUUUGAAGUUGUUCAUAAGAAGUUUAUUCGGUAAACCUCUUUAUUGGUACGCACAACAAGAUCUCCAUAAAUGGCGUGUUUGGAGUGAUAUGACACAAACCUUUAUGGAUUGGUUCAAGUUCAACACUGAUAUCACACCCGAUAGGUUCUACUUGACUAAGUUAAAUAAUAAGUCAACUGAGACAUUUCAUGAAUAUGCUCUAUGUUGGAGGUUAGAAGCAGCUAGAGUCCAACCAACGAUGAGUGAAAGUGAAAUGAUAGCUACCAUCAUUAAACGUCAAGAUAAUUGUUUUUACUAUGAGAAAAUGAUAACCAUGAUGGGAAAAAGUUCACAGAAAUCAUUAGAAUGGGAGAAAUCUUGGAAGAAGGAAUCAAAUCAGGAAAAAUCCAAGACUUUAUAGCCUUGCAAGCUGCAAGUAAAGCAAUUCAAUAUGGUUCUAUCAAUGGGAACAAAAAGAAAAGAGAAGAUGUAUCUGCUAUCAUGAUUGACCAAAGAUACAGGCCAAGUCAAGUUCGUCCCUAACUAAAUCAACCACAUCAAUCCAUAUACCCUUACCAAUAUGUUGAUGCCUCACAGACUCUCUACCACAUCGAGGUUGAUAGUAGUUUACUGGACCUCAGCCCAACGUGAACAACAAUCCUCUACGAAAGUGCUAAUGUGAACAUGAUAACUAUAGAGGAAAAAAUGGUUGUGAAAGGAAGUAUUGUUCUAAUUGGAAAGGUGAAAAAUAAACUUUAUCAUCCUUUUAUGCUCUUGCCAUUACAACCCAAGAACAAGCACCGAUAGAGAUCACGGCUACAACUACUUACAUGUCUAUCUACAAUAUUGAGACACCGACUAUUUGGGGUGAUGAACCAGAGGAGACUUUGAAGAAUUGGACUUGUACUCCAUUCCUAGUUAGCAGGGAGUCUUGAUAGAUUAAAUAAGUAGUAACACUUUUAAAGUAGCACAAUUUUAAAACAUUUAGACUUAAAUCGUGACUUAAAACUUUAUGUUGUUUUGCCUUAUUUUUUUGAAAGCUUAAUUGCAAAAUCUAUGAAUGCAUUUCCUAUUUUCUUAAUUGUCUCUUACUUAUUACUUUUAGAUAUACAUUUUUUUUAAUAUAUCAAUUUUCAAAUCUGUCAAUUUUAUGAUUGUGACGUAUGAUGAAACAAAUGAACAAAAGUUUGAUACUAAGCAAGAUGAUGAAACAUGUGAAGAUGACUUAGAGUUGAAUGAUCAACCAUGUAUCAUAACAACAUGACAAUAUCUGAGCAUAAGAGGUCAAGACACUACACCAAAGGACGACUUUAGAUAGGUUUCUUUUGAAUGUAACUUUCAUUUUUCAUGUAACUUACGAACUACGUUCUGACAUGAUUCCUUUGGUAGGAUACAUAGGCAACCCACAUAGGGUUCAAUUUUAAUAAAGAACAAUUCUAAAUUUUCGUACUUGUAACAUGAGAACUACGCCUGAAUUGAUUCCAUCGGUGGGAUACGUAGGCCACCCACAUACUGUUCAGUCACAUUAGGGUAGAAAAUAAAUUAUUUUACUAUUUAUGUCAUUUGAACUACACAUGGAAUGAUUCCCUUAGUGGGAUAUGUAGGCAACUCAUAUCGGGUUCAAUCCCUUUAUUAAGAAAAUUUUAAAUUUUUUUCUAUGUACUUGAACUACAUUCUGACCUGAUUCUCUUGGAGAGAUACAUAGGCGACCGAUAUAAGGUUCGGUCUCACCACAAUAUAAAUUUAGUAUACUUCUCUGAAAUCAACAUUGGGGCAUAAUUUUGGGAAACUUGGUCAAGGAAUGAUUGGAAAUUGUCAAGCAUAAGCUACUACCUGACAAGAAGUAACAAACAAAGGGUGUUCAUUUUAUUUCAAAUUUGUCACAAUCUAAGAGUUGGUAGAAAUUAUUUUUCUUACAACUUAUAGACAUAUACUUACCGAUUUUCCUACGUACUAACAAAUGUCUCUUUCUAAUUUUUUUUUUGGACUUGUAGUCCUUUUUAUUCAAUCCUUAAUGGACUAAAAGUUAAUACACAAAAACAACCCAAAUAAUCUGCCGGCCCAUAGCCAGAUCAUUAAUAAAUACAUUGUAUGGUUUCCUAAUGUGUUCUCAUCGCCACUUUUCACUUCAGCUUCCUUAGUUCCUUCUCUGCAACCUGCCGCUCGAGAAUGUUCUUCGUGAUGCUCUUUAACGAUGAAUUGAAUUUCCUUCUUCUUUGGGUAAUCAACAUCCUUCAUGAUCAACACGUGAUAUGUAUUUCUAUCUUUAGCUCUCAAAGGUUUGUAUUCUCUUUCACUUUCUUUGCUACCAUUUCUCAUCUUUUCAGCUGACUCUGUCUUUCUUGCAGGUGUAUCUUCCAGUUGGAGUUCUUGUCUAGCUCAAAUGAGAUUGUGAGCCUUGCAUUUCAGCUAUGAAGCUCCGUGUAAGAACCAUUCACCCUCUUCUUCUUUUUAUUUUUUAUUUGAGACCUUGACCCAUUUAUUUUCCAGUUAAAGCCGAAUAGGAGAGAACCAGUUAGCUCCCGUGCUUCUUUAUGUCGAUCUCUUUGUUAAAUGUUCGUUAUGGAUUCAGAUAAGGCUCGUUGUCUCUCGCCCUUUGCUGGUCCCUUUACAACUUUUUUGCUCCAAAAAUAGAUAGAUUCUAAUUUGCACAUAUCAUAAUUGAGGAACCCUGUGUUAUCUAUAUUGUAUCUAAGCAUGGUGUCCGUUGUUGUUAAUGUGUAUUUUCCUUGUUUUAAUCCUAACUAUUGGGACCUGAUGUUUAUUCACAUUAAGAAUCUUUAUUCCUUGUCUUUCAAGUUGAUUAAAUUGUUGGAAUAUCAUCUUUUGUUAUGUAUUGAUUGUUGAUUUAGCUAAAUAGUCCGCUGGUUGAUUCGCCUCUCUAAAAAUAUGCCAGACCUGUACAUUUAUUUUCUGCAUCAUUUCCUGUAUGUCUUCCACCUUCUCGAUUAUCUUCCAUGGUAUUCUCCAACACAUGUUAAUCAUGUUUUUAAUGCCAAUGAAUAUGUUUCCAGUCUCAUUUGCAUUAAUCUUUUUUCCAAGCAAUAUUGUAAUGCUUUCCAGACUGCCAUGACCUCUGUUUCCAUGUUAGUAGCCUCCCCUAUGCUCUGUGCCUCUGCAUAUAUAAGGUUUCCUCUCCCAUCUCUUAUGCAAUAUCCAUAUGAACUCUGCCUGAGAUUCCCUUUUCCGGCUCCAUUAGUGUUGCAUGUCACCCAACCUUUCUGUGGUACCAACUUGUAAUGUAAUGUUGGCUUGUACUUAUGUAGCGUGUCCACCGUAUCUGGCCAGUGAUAUGAAAUUCUUUUUAUCCAUGGAAAUUUUUACCCUUAUAAACUGAUGUAUUGUCAAUUGACAUUGAUAAUACAUCUUGUUGUAAGAGGUUUCCUUUCCAUGUUUGAAAGAAUUUCUCCACUGACACAGUUCCCACUAUUUGAAAAUAAGUUGUUAAAGAUUUAACCCAUUUAUUGUAAUACAUACACAUGUAGCAAACUGCUUCCAUAGCUUUUGGGCUAUGAGAGCUGUUAGUAAAACGUGAGACAUAGUCUCCAUUUCCCCUUUGUCAUAACAAUAACAUUUGGACACUACUUGCAUCCUCAUUCUUUUAAGAUUGUCAUUUGUAGCAAUUGUCCUCCUCUACGCCCUCCAUAAAAAGAAACUAAUCUUAAAUGGCAACCCUUUGACCCACAUGCCACUCCUCCAUUCCUCUUCUACCUUUUUGCCUCUCAUUAUGUGGUAAGCUGAUUUAACAGUAAAGAUUCCAGUUGUGUUACUAACCCACCAUGCCUUAUCUGAACCAUAUCAUCAUAUAUAAACAUUUUCAAUUUACUCUCAUCCCAUGAUCCAUUUUUUAUAAAUUCUUUCACCUCUAACUUCCUCUUCUUGUGCCAACUCCCCUUCUGUAUAGUAUAAUGCCCCUUGUCUAGUCCAAUUGUCAAACCAAAAACUGGAAUUUACAGCUUUGAUUUGCCACCAGAUUUCAUGUUCCACUUCCUCCCUAAUGUUGACCAUUUUCCUCCAUACUUGUGAAAUACCCGAGCUUGUAGCGAUCAGUGGGUGGAAUUUCUUGCAGUAUUUAUUCCACAUGUAUUUUUUCCAUAAUGACUUUGUGGAUACACGAAAGUUCCACCAGAACUUUGCAAAUAAAGCUUUGUUGACAUCAUGUAGUGAUCGAAACCCAAGUCCUCUCUCUCCCUUUGGGUAACACAAAUCUCCCCAGGCCACUCAAUGUUUUCAUUUAACUCCUCUCAAGUUUCUUCAAAAAAAUUUGCAAAAAUUUGAUGAAUUUGCUUCAGCACUUUUUUGGGUGGAUUCAAAACAGAUAACAUGUAAACUGGCAUUGAUUGCAACACAUUAUUGACUAGCACCCACUUCCCACCAAAAGAUAAGAACUUAUUAUGCCAUGUUAGGAUUCUCUUAGAAAUUUUCUUAACUAUUUCUUCAUAAUAGCUUGACUUCUUCCUACCAUAGAAAUCUGGACAACCCAAGUAUGUGAAAGGAAAAUUACCUUAAUCUGUGCAUUCUGAUUGCUACAACCAGAGGAGUUUUAUCACGGAGAUUAAUUUUUUUUUUGAUUUAUUAAUCUUAUGCCCAGAAACAUUUCAUAAUCUCUUAAAACCUUCAUCAUCUUGAUUAUUGAUCAUCUAUCCCCCGAACAAAACAAUAUGGUAUCAUCUGCAUAAGACACAUGAUUUAUUUCUGGGCUCCAUUUCGGCAGGCCAUAUCCCUUCACUUCUCCAUCCUUGUGUAGACUGUUUAACCGUCGUGCUAAUACCUCUGCUGCAAUAAUGAAGAGGGUAGGUGAUAAGGGAUCACCUUGUUUCAAUCCUCUUGAGGAGUGAAAUUUUUUUACGUGCUUUGCCAUUUGUUAGGACUGAAUACCAGUUGUUAGACAUGAUCCGCCAUACCAUGUCUAUAAUUGCCUCUGCGAAACCAAAUUUUCUUAACACUUUAGUUAGGAAAAUCCAAGAUACUCUAUCAUAUGCCUUAGCCAUGUCCAACUUCGCCACCAGAUUAAUGUUUUUGUUCCUCUUGUUGAUGUCUCUGAUAAUCUCCUGGCUAGUAAAAUAUUCUCCGUAAUGCUUCUUCCUUUAACAAAGCCUAAUUGAGUCUGUGAUAUAAUAUUAGGUAAAACUAAUAUCAUCCUCUCAUGCACCAUCCUAGAGAUAAUUUUAUUCAUAAAGGAACUAAGACUUAUGGGUUGAAGGUCUGCACAACUCUUCACUGUUUCUUUUUUAGGCAACACACCAGAUUCGUAUGCGUUAUAAACUUGGACAUCUCUUGUCCACAAAAUAAAGCCUGCACCACCCUGGUAAUGUCGUCCUCUAUUAUCUCCCAACAGUAUUGAAAGAAAUGACCCAUAAAACCAUCCGGACCGUAUGCGUUGCCACUAUUUAAUGCAAAGACCACUUUUUUGACUUUCUCUUGGUCUGGAGGCUUGGUCAUUACUUCAUUUUCUGCAUUAUAUAUACACUUAGGGAUAUGUUCAUGCAUCAUGUAAUCCUCUCCACUAUUCUCCUAUGCAAAUUGGUCCUUGUAGUAGUCCACUGAUGCACCCCCAAUUUCGUCAUUAGACAUCAAGGUUACCCCUUGCUCUGUAGUCAUUUCAGCAAUGUGUAGUUUCUUUCUUCUCCUUUUAACAUAUGAAUGGAAAAUUUUGGUGUUCCUAUCCCCGUCUGUGAACCACUUCAUUCCCGCUUUUUGCGUCCAAAAUUUCUCCUCCAAACUAAGAUAGUUUUUUAAUUCUGCCUCUACCUUACUCACUUCAACCCUGUUACUUACUGACGGUUGUAUCUCCAGCUGCGCCUCUUUGAUCUUAAUAAUGUCCUCUAUCAUUGCAAUCUGUUAGAAAACGUUUCCAAAAGCUACUUUGCUCGAAGUUGACAAUGCUUUCUUGACCUUCUUCAUUUUAGUAUGGAAUUCAACAAAUGGAUUCCCCACAUAAUCAAUCUUCCAGCUUUCCUCUACAAUCUUCUUGAACUGAUGAUGUUUACUCAAAAUAUUCAAAAAUCUAAAAGGCUUGAUCGAAGGUUCCUCUUGUGUGUUGCAAAUCAUAUGAAGUGGUGCAUGAUCAGAUCCCUGCCUGAUGAGAUGUUGUACCUCGAAGGAUGGGAACACCUCGGUGAAUUCUUGAUUUACCAAUAUCCUAUCCAAUCUUUUAAAUAUGCACACCUCCUCUAUCUGACCAUUCCACCAUGUAUAUUUACUACCUGAAAAAAUGUAUUUCAGAUAGGGCACAGCUACUAAUGAAGGCUGCAAAGUCCAUGGCUUCAUUAUGUGUAAUGUCUAAUCCUCCUAACUUUUCCUCCUCCUUUAGAAUCAUAUUAAAAUCUCCACCAAUGACCCAAGGGCACUGCACUCUCUCCGCCAUGCUAUAUAAUUCUUCCCAUAGUUCCAGCCUCUCUAAAGCAUUGCACCUAGCAUAUACCGCUGAAAUGAUGAACUCCUUAUCAUUUUUUCUGAAUUGUAUAGAAACUUGUUGCACUGUGUCUAAUAUAAUACUACCUUCCCACUCCUCCUUCCAAAAGUACCAAAUUUUUCCGUUACAAUUUACUCCCGCUUUGUCAAAUCCUAACUUCCUUUUAUAUUGAUCUAACUCUAAUGGAUUUUGAAAAGGUUCCAUCAAAGCUAUAAAUAAGUAAUGAUGUCUUUUAUUCAAAUCCAUUAAUUGCUCAAAAUACUUUUGAAUGUUAAUGGACCUUACAUUCCAGAAAAUUAUUUUUUCAAUCAUUGAUCACUACUGGCUCCCAUAUCCCCGUUACUCCUUAUUUUUGACCUGUAACGGAAUAACUGGUCUACCUUUUCAUGCCCCAUACUUUAAACUGUUAGUGUGCCUUGGGGAUAAGUCCCCGACUUUACUAAUCUCCUGAAUGUUAUACUCCAUAUCAUCGUCCUCUUCAGUGUUUCGUCUAAGUUGCAACACUUCAUCUUCUUCCUCUAUUAAAUCUGACCCCUUUGCUAUUUCCUCAGCAUCAUAAGAAUCACUCUUCUCUUCUCCAUGUCUUAAUACAAUUAGAUUUCAUGGCGUGUGCAACAUUAUCUUCACCUCCGAGUAGUCUACUUUCUCCACCUUUAAUCGUUGAUGUCACUUCUUUUCCAUUCUGCCCGUAUUGUGAUGCCUUGCAUUGAUUUUCUUCCAUUUGAUCUGUCCUGCUUUCUUCUGCACUUGUUUGUCGACCAACUGUAUUGCCUUUGCCUUUGUUAGUACCACCUGAUUUGUACAACUGUUCUUUGUUAUCACUCCUUCGUACCCGUGGAGAACGAUCCAUGAAUGGUACGCUCUCCAUCUCUACCUCAUUUUUAUUCACCAUAUCCUUUUCCUGCUCCUUUCCUGUAUCCUGAUUUUCGAACUCCAACAAGUUAAACUUGUUUCCUGUUAAUAUACCCACUUUGUUCCAAACUUUCUCAGUCUCUUUGUGCCUUUCUCCUCCCCAUUUUUUGUGUCUAUAUUCCACAAAUUCUUCCUCUUUUUUGCCGUUACAUUUCUCUCCUUCCUACCCUAUUGUGUUUUCUCCUUUAAUAUAUUCUUUGCUAGUGAUUCCUUCGAUCUUCUUGCCCUUAUCCUAUCUUGCUUUCUCCUUGUGUGGAUAUAAUUCGGGAUGUACAUCAUAGCACUGUUGUUCAUUAUGCCCCUAAAUCAUACAAGUCUGAUAAUACUUUGGAACAUAAUCAUAUUUGAUUUUGAUCCACUUCACUAUUUCCUCAUUCUUCAUCCUCAUCCCAAUUUUAAUUCGUUUUGGAAAUUCUUUCAGAAGAGCCACUUCCACUUUGACUCACACACAACUUGGUCUUGUCUGAUUCCUAGUUGCUAUAUCCAUAUGCAGGGUACUGCUGCUGCUAGUGAAAACACUGCUUCUUUUCCAAAAAAAAAUUGGUGGUAGGGAUGGAAAAGAUAUCCAUGCAAUCUAUCACUCCCCGAGCUACCCCCGAGAUGCGGACACGGGACCUAGGACCACAAGUGAUCCCAAGCUAACCCUACUGGCAUGAUCAUGAGCAUACUAAAUAUAAUCUGAAUAGUAGAAACUGUGCGGAAGCUAUAAUCAUAAACAAAAUGAAAAGAUGGGGAAUACCCAUAUACUAUAAUUGGGAUAUUGAUAAAUGAUGAGUUUAAUACGAAGAAGAUAUUAACUCAAUACUAACCUGAAUCUAACUAUGUUUGAAAUAAGCCUCUAAACUGACUAGAAAUGUUUGGACAUGCCCCAACUAGAUCUAGCAAAACUGAAACUAAAGACUAAAAGUGAUAAAGAUAAACAUGUCACUAGUCCUCGAAGAAUGAGGACUCACCACUGAUGUUGCUGAAUUGGAGACCGGAAAUCGAUCUAAGCGUGAUCUGGAUGCUGAGAACCUGAACCUACAUCACGAGAAGAUGUAGCGCACGUAUGCGUCAGUACUUGAAAGGUACUGAGCAUGCAGGAUAGAGUAAAGCUGAAAUAACAUAUAACUGAACAAAGCAAUAAAGCAAUGAAAUAAUCCGAACAUGAUAUAGAUACUGAAAAUACUGAAUACUGAGCUAACUGAUGCAAUGACCAAAUUUAUAACAUGCUGAGACUGAAUACUGACUGUACUGAAAUAUGGUCAAUGCAAUAGAGUCUGACUGAACUGUGGGAGCUACUAAUAACCGACAUAAAACCACAUGAGCUAAAUGUGGAGUCCGAUGUAUACGCCCCAUCGAGAGGACCCAAUAUUAUAACUGAAUAUAUUAUGACUAAAAUACUGAAUAACUCAAAAUACUGACAUGUAGAUUCUCAUACUUGAAAACUCCUUUUUAGAAAACAAUUCAACAUCAUAUUAUACUCUGAUCAUUGAUGACUUGGGAAGUCAUACUGCAUAAACAUUGAUGGUAUAUCUAGAUACCAUACUAUUCAUACAUUGAUGACCUACUCAAUUGUCAUACUAAUCAUGUUUUAGAAGCUCUUUCUCAAAACUCAUCUUAACUUUCUCAAAAACUCAGUUUAAAACUCAAGUGUUGUCUUAAAGAAAAGCUUCUCAAGAUUUAUAACUCAAAAUAGGGUUUAUGCUGAAAUAUACUGAUAAUGUGGCAUCAAACUGGAGCAUGUAUAUCUAAAUAACUGAAAUAUCUAACCUAGCAUGUGUAAUUCAAGAACUAAUGAAAUACAUAGCUAGGGUUCUGAAAUUUAUGUAAGAAGCUGAGCAAUAACAUGAUAAUUUGAUUUGGAAUAUUUAAAUAACUAAUUCAUGAUGAUCUGUUGUAAUUUUAGAAGCCCUAGGUCUGUUCAUAAUUAUGGAAUCAAGAAUCUGACUGAAUUCUAGGGACCUAAUGGGCGAAAGGAACCCACUAGUGAAAUCCUACAUACCUGGUGACGAAUUCCACGGAGAAAUCUUUUGAUUUCGGGGCUGUAACUGAUGGAACCUUGCUGCGUUCUUGAACUAGGGUUCUUGACCUCUCUUCUCCUCUCUUGCUUCUAAUUUUGUAAGUUUUGAUUAAUGAUUUUGACUAAGGUAAGUUCUAAUUAUGUUUCUAGGUUUAAACUGACUAAAACCUUAUGAUUUAGGGUCAAAAUGACGAAUCUUAGGGGUUAAACGAAAUAGGAAAAGACCAAAAGACCCCUGACUUAAUUGCUGUUGGAGUGACUGACGGAUUGGACCUACGGUCCGUCAUUCAAUCUACGGUCCAUCGAUUGGGUCCGUAGGUUGAGUCUGCCCGACAGGGCUUCACUAAAACGAGAAUGACUUUUUACUCGUAGGUCAGAAUUUAGCAAACUCAGUGGCGUUGGAAAGAUAAUUCAAUUAUCUAUCAUAUCAUAGGUUAUGGGACACCUAAUUCAUUUUGUUCUAAGAGUUAUGACCAUCUGAAGUUGACCCAUCAAGAAUUUUCAUCUAACUAGCUACUAACCCUCAUCUACGGUCAGACCUACGAACCGUGGAUCGAAUGACGGUCCGUGCUGGUCGACCGUAGUUCAUGUCAAAGGUUGGGUAAAGGAGAUCUCGAUCCACGGUCACAGACCACGGACCGUGGGUCUGUCCGUGAGUCGGGACUUAGCUAAUUUUUCUGAGCUGGUUUGGGGAGAGGUUGCAGUGGUGAACCACGGACCACUAGCAUGGGCUGUAGUCUGACCUACGGUCCGUGGAUGGUGACCGUAAGUUGCACCUGCAACUUCUCAAAAUCUGCAUUUUUGGUCUGUUUCGGAUACGGGGUGUUACACAAUCGUUGUCGAUGUCUCCUCUUCCAGAUUAAACAUUGGAUCCCACUUUAGUGUUCUCAUCGGAAAUGACCAAUUCUUUUGAGUGAUGUAAAAGGCUGGCUUCGAUAGAAGAUGAACAUAGUCUUUUAAUAAUUUCGCCCUAAUCAACACAUGUCUAUUACUCAAUAAUCCUAUAUUACAAUCUCUAUUUACUUCAGACUGUUUUGGAAUGAGCUUUCUCAAAUCUUGUAUAUCUGGCCAACCAUACGAGACUUCCCAAUUAUAACAUAUUCCAAUUUUUCAUUGACAAUUAUCUGAUUCACCUCUUCUUGCACCCAUAUUAUUUUAUGGUUCCCCAUGUAGGUAUGUAAUUGGCUUUAACAGAAUCAACUUGAUUUGAGUUCCUUUUGGUUUUAACGACUCAGCAUACGUGAUCUUCGACGAAGGGAUGGAUAGGCCUACCUCAGGAUGAGGCUAGCCCGUGGCUGUGUCGGCCAUGGUUACCGGAAAAGUAAAAGAAUUGAUGACGGCGGGAGGGUUUGACUAUACCUGAGUAGUGCAACAUAUAUCAGUUUGAAUUACUUCAUGAAUGUAUCUUUUGUUUCAUUUUACUUUUUAUUUAUAUUAUAAAAAAUAUACUUUUUACUGUUCAUCGACAAGGUCUCAAACAGAGAUCACAAGGUCUGAACAAACAUAAUGGACAGAAGGCCAACAAAGUCAAGUUUCGAGUCAGCACGAAUCAACACCUCCUCCCAACUAAGAAAUUUUCUUUGAGUGCAGGAACAACAAAGAGACAUGAUGCUACUAUUGGACUACAUCAAAGGCAUCAUUUGCCUCCAGGGCCUCGCUUGAAAAAGACAAAUGACUCCACUUUUCACUUUAUCUCCGACUUUAUUUCUUUUACUUCAUCAUGGCUUAGUACUCUUAUUAACGUCUUUAUCCAAAAUUUCCAAGUAAAAUUCCACCCUAUAUUGGGUUAGUCCACCCUAAAAUAGGACAUGGGUUCGUCCACCCUAAAAUAGGACAAGUCAGGUUCAUCCACCCUAAAAUAGGAUAUACACACAUUUAGGUUCAUUCACCCUAAAAUAGGAUACACACACAUAUUAAACUCAUACUUUAUGAUGUCACUAACAACUUUACCUUUUUCAAAUACAUCGUAUAUCAUUAAGACCCCGAAGACAACUGGAGGCCUCAUUUAUCAUUCAAGUCCCCGAAGACAACCGGUGACCUCAUUUAUCAUUCAAGUCUCUGAAGACAACCGGAGACAUUGUCACAUCAUCUGAUUUUUCCUUUGGUAAAAAGACAAAUCCGAUGGAACCAGAUCACUUGCCAAGUAGUUAGCAAAGUCUGCGAACCAAAAAAUAAGAUCAUGAGAAGCAGCCAAUACCUGUUCAUCUGGAAAAACAUCAUUAAUUUUAGCUCCAUCUCCUAGCUUGAGCAUAGCUUCCUCCUCUAAUCUGGACAAAUGAUCGGCAACUUGAUUUUCUGUCCCCUUUCUAUCUUCACCUCAAAAUCGAAAUCUUGCAGCAACAACACCCAUCUAAUCAACCUCGGUUUUGCAUCCUUUUUAGCCAUCAGAUACCUCAAUGCAGAAUGGUCAGUAUGCACUAUGGCCUUAGUACCAAGCAAGUAGGAUCGAAAUUUCUCAAAUGCGAAAACCACAGCAAGGAUUUCUUGUUCAGUUACCGUAUAGUUCUUUUGAGCCACAUUCAGAGCUUUGCUGGCAUAGUAAAUAGGAUGAAAAAAUCUUCUCUUGCCUCUGUCCCAAUACCACACUAAGCGCCACUCCACUCGCAUCACACAUCACUUCAAACGGUUGCCCCCAAUCCGGUGAAAUAAUGAUAAGUGCGGAAACUAGCUUUUCUUUCAACUCUCCAAAUGUCUCAGACAAGCAUCAUCAAAAACAAACUCACACUCCUUUUCGAGCAAUUUGCAUAAUAGGUGUGCAAUUUUGGAGAAAAUUUUAAUAAACAUCCUAUAAAAGCCUGCAUGCCCAAGAAAACUUCUAACACCUUUAACAGAGAUAGGUGGUGGAAACUUUUCUAUUACCUCAACUUUAGCUCUAUCAACCUCAAUACCCCUCUUAGAAAUCCGAUGACCCAGAACGAUCCCCUCUUUCACCAUGAAGUGGAACUUUUCCCAAUGGAGCACAAGAUUGCACUCUUCAUAACGUUUUAGUACCUCAGCCAGAUUAUUCAAACAACGAUCAAAAGAGCCAUUUACCACAGAUAAAUCAUCCAUAAAUACCUUGAUAAUGUCCUCUAUCAUAUCUGAAAAUAUCGGUAUCAUACAAUGCUGGAAAGUUAAUGGAGCAUUACAUAAUCUGAAUGGCAUUCUUUUGAAGGCGAAAGUCCCAUAAGGGCAAAUGAAGGUAGUCUUUUCUUGGUCUUCCGGAGCUAUGGAGAUUUGAUUGUGGCCCAAAUACCCAUCUAGAAAACAAUACCAACCCUUACUAGCAAGACGAUCCAACAUGUGAUCCAUGAACGACAUAGGGAAGUGAUCUUUCUCUAUCCAUGCACUUAGCUUGCGGUAGUCCAUGCACACUCUCCAACCAGUCACCGGCCUCAUUGGAAUAAGCUCAUUCUUAGUGUUUGGAACCACAAUGAUUCCCCAUUUCUUAGGCACAUAUUGAACAAGACACACCCAACUACUAUCAGUAAUGGGAUAAAUAACUCCAGCAUCCAACCACUUGAUGAUUUCCUUUUUCACGACCUCUUGAAUAGGAGAAUUUAGUCUCCUUUGGUGCUCGAUACUAGGCUUGUUGUCCAACAUGAGUUGGAUUUUAUGAGAACAAAUGCAAGGAGGAAUCCCAUAAUGUCUGCAAUAGUUCACCCAAUAGCCCGCUUGAACCUUUUCAACAUAGAAACCAAUGCCUCAACUUGCACCUCACUUAAAUCGGCCACAAUGAUGACCGGUAAAGUACUAUCUCUCCCCAAGAAUACAUACCUCAAAUGCAAUGGUAGAGCCUUGAGCUCCAAUUUUGGAGCCACUUCAACAGACGAUUUUGCGGGUAGAGAGUCGCGAUUCUUCAUAACUAGCUCUAAUCUCUUUGGCUUGGAAUGGAAUUCGAACCUAUCAAGUGCGGCGACCAAUUCAUCAUAGUCUUCAAUACCUUCACCCUCAAAAUUCAUCAUUACCGCUGCCAGUGCAUCAACACCCAACCUUUCUUCAAUAGACACUUCAGAACCUCGCUCCACAAUAUGAUCCACCACCGACACUGACUUGAGAUCGCUUUUCUGCUUCAUGGACCUACAGUUAUUAAAAGUUACCUCUUCACUAUUCAAUCGAAACUUCAUCUGCACUCUCUCCAUAUCGACCAAGGCGCGCCCAGUAGCAAGGAAUGGUCUUCCUAGGAUGAUGGGAACCUCAAAAUCAACCUCACAAUCAAGUAUCACAAAAUCUGUUGGAAAAAUAAACGACUCCACUUUCACAAGUACAUUUUGGAGAACACCAUUGGGCUUCUUCACAGUUCUAUCGGCCAUGAGUAGUCGCAUCGCAGUAAGUUUUGGAGCCCCGAAACCCAACUUCUUGUAAAUAGAUAAUGGCAUCAGAUUAAAUAGACAAUAACCCAAUGGUACAAGGAAUAGUGAAAGCACCAUGAUCCUCUUUCUUCUACAUAAGCGACCUAGUAGCAAUAGCCCUACAAUGUUGCAACCUAUCAUCUUCAAAUCUUUUAUAAAUUUUGCGUACCCAUGCAUUUUCUCCAAAGCUUCUAUCAACGGAACAUUGAUGGAAAGUUGUUUCAACAUAGUAAUAAACAUGCAGUAUUUUCCUUCUUCAUUCUUCUUUACCAACCUCUGUGGGAAUAGAGGUGGAGGUCUAGGCAUGAGAACAACUUUUUGGGUUAUCUUCGCUUCCUUCUUUGUAGCAUUCUUGGACUCUCCAGUAACCUCAAUCUCAUCAUCAUUUUUUUCAACCAUAAUUGAAACCUCAGACGACAUAGGUGGAUCAAUAGUCUAUUUACCCCCUCGAGUAGUGACUGCCAUACAAUGCCCAUCAUUCUUCAGAUUCUGGAUGGUGUUGCUAAGAAGUGUGACAGGCUAACGUGGGUUUACUUUAGUGGACAACUGAUUCAUUUGAUGCUCAAGUUGCUUGAUCGACACUGCAUGGGCAUCAACUUUUUGACCAAUUCCAGACAAGUCAUUUCACAUCCCCUUUACAUUCUCAUUAGUCGUAUCAAACCUCUUCAUCAUCUUCUGCAUCAUAUCCUCAAUACGUGACAUGCUACCCCUAGCUUCCCUAUAGCCAGAUUCCUAAUUUUCAGGAGGAAUAUAAGGCCCACUUCUCUCAUUUCUGUUGCCAUAGUUAUUCCGGUUGUAGUUGUUGUCAUGAUUGUAGUUCCCAUCCCUGACAUAGUUACCAUCUCAAUUGUAGUUACCAUAGUUCCGACUUUGGUUUCUUGACCUUGGCACCAGUUAUCCGAGUUGGAACCUUGGGUGUUGGCUUAGAAACCCCCCGUCUGAUCAUUCACCAAAUAAGCAUCCUCCUCAUAGUAGCAUUUCUCAACUGGUGGUGGUGGAGUUCUAGUCAAGUAGUUUACCACAUUCACCUUUUCUGCACCUCCGCUCACAUGCUUCAACAUCAACCCAAGUUUUGUCCUCAUCUAAGCCAUCUCCUCACGAAUGUCAUCGGCAGAUUGACUAGGUGCAACUUGAACUGAAAAAGUGUUUCUUCUGGUGUCUGACUUUCUAGGGCCCCAUGCUUUAUUGUUUCGGGAAAUCUUCUCCAAUUUCUCAGCGCUCUCCUCAAAAUUGCACUCACCAUAAGAUCCUCCAGUGAUAGUAUCAAACACAGCCUUACCAUUGUCAUCAUGUCCUCUAUAGAAGUACUAUUUUAGUGACUCAUCAUCAAUGCGGUGAUUUGGAACACUUCGUAUGAAUGCAGUGAACCUAUCCCACGAACUACUCACAAACUCUCCAGGUAGUGCUAUAAAGUUAUUCAGUUUGUCCUUGUGAUGCAGCUUCUUGGACAACAGAAAAUACUUUCCUAUGAACACCUUGUGCAAUUGAUCCCAUGUGUGAAUCGAGUUAUACGGAAGCUCAGAAAACCAUACCGCAACAUUUCCGGUCAGUGAUAGAGGGAAGAAUCGCAACCCUAUGACAUUCAUGUCCAACUCUGGUCGACCCGCACAACUGUUGCAAACACUCCUCAACUUGGCCAUGUGCCCAUGCAGAUCUUCCGAAGCCAUACCAGAGAACAAACCCUUUGCUAUAAGCAUCUGCAUCAAACUGCUAGUCACCACGAAUGUAUGCCUUAGGGGUAGAGGAGGGAGAAUAAUAUGUCCUUUAGAUUCAAUGGUAUUGAAGUCGACCCUAUAAUUAUCAUGCAAUCUUGGUUCAGGUGGAUUCUGCACCCUCAAUGCAUCUCUGGGUAGAUUUUCACCCUGAACCUGAGCAUUCUCAUUAUUCAUUUGUUCCUCAGGCUCCUCUAUGGUUGGAUUAUUAUGGACCCCUUGAUUAUUCAUCUUUCUCAAAGUUUUGCUCAACUCUGGAUCGUAUGGGGUCAGUGGUUCGUCUCAACUCCGUGUACUUGGCAUACACUAGAGCAGAAACCCGAGAAAACAAAAACAAAAGAAAAUGUAAAAUUAGGAAAUAAUUGACUAAAGUUCAAUAAUGUAAUUAAACUUAAUCUAAAAGCCUUAUUCCCCGGCAGCAGCGCCAAAAUUUGAUACGCUCAAAUUACACCUCCCUAAAGAAGUAUAAGAGAUCGUUAUCAAGUAAAGAACCCAACUUGUAGGUUGAGAUUGAUCCCACAAGGAAUAUGGUUUAGACUUAAACUUCACUCACGAUUAUAUUCAUUUAGUCAACUUAUUUCUAAGACAAGUAAUUAAAUGGGGUGGGGGGUGGGGGGUGGGAUUUGUGAAACAAAUAACUGAUUGUUGUUUAAGUACAAAGUGAGCAAGAUUUGAACUUUGUUGUUAUCAAUGAGAGAGAAACUAGGGCGUAUGUGUUCCUCAUGAGCUCUUAACACGGUACUCCUAAUAAUAGUAAUCAUUUCCUAGUGUUUUUCAUACAAAGUUGGUAAGAUAGGUAUCCCUAAGUGAUUGGUCCUCCAAAUAGGGAAUUUCACCCUGCACCUUGGUCCGGCUACGUGUGUAUAAUUUACUAACCCUUACCUCAGAUUAGACAUCACAUCAAUGUAUGCCUUAGUUUUCACCCUCACACCAAUUGACAUUAGACUAUUAGAUAGUAUCACACUAGAUCUCUAUUGAUAAUUCAUUUCUUAUUAAUUACCUCAUUGGUCUGGCAAGUAGCAACAAGGUGAGUUCUAACGUUGCGCACCGUUAAAAAGACUUCUAAGUGAAAGAAUUACCAAUACAUGCAUCAACACUAUUUAAGAUUUACUUAGUUAUUAUUUAUACUUUGUUAAUUGCUCAUGGUUUCCACAACCCUAGUUGUGGAUUUAGCUACUUAUGCUUGCAAGAUCACAAUUCAUGUUUAAGAAGAAAGAAAUCAUGAACUUACAAUUAGAGUAGAAGAAACCCGAAAUCUCCAAUUGAAAUUCAAAGCACAAUUCAUUAUAACCCAAAAUUCUAAAAUCAAAUUGCUAAAGUUUGCAAGUUAAUUCCCAAGAAAAUACCAAGAACUAAAAGUAAACAAUAAUGUCUAACCCCCAAAACUGAGGUUUACAUACCCUAUUUAUAGAAAAACAUGUCCUAAACAAAAAGGAAACAAAAUAAGAAAAUGAACUUUAUGGACGCGGCUUUGAUCGACGAGACUGACCUACGGAUCGUGGAUUGACCUACGGUCCGUAGGUUCCUUCCGUAGCUCCAUACUUAGACUAUUUUGCCGAGGCUGGAACCUUCAACUCCCAGUUACAAAUGACGGACAUGCAGAACGGACCGUAGGCUGACCUACGGUCUGUGGGUCCUCUUCCGUGGCUCCACACUUAGAACUUUUCAUCAUGUACUGAACUCCAAACUCCCAGUUAUCAUUGACGGAGGUGCAGGACGGCCCGUGGGCUGACCUACGGUCCGUAACUCGCCUCUGUGGUUCCACACUUAGUUAGACUUCCAUGAUGCUCCAUCUAUGCCACCCAUCGACUGACCGUCAAUGAACCUACGGUCCGUAGGUCACUUCCGUGGGUGGCUCCUUCUGCAGUUUUUCAGCUGUCAUCUCACGCCUCCACGUCCAAGCCUAUUUUCUGCAAAUAUAACAUAAAAACAUUAAUUCCAAUACAAAAUGGCCCUAGAUACACACAACUCUUAAGUGAAAUGUAUUAAAAAUAUCGUAUACUCACAGUAUAUCAAUCAACAACAACAUUAGCCUUACUUGGGUGAUAAAGAAUACUCAUGUAUAAUCCUUGAGUGAUUCUAACCACCUUCUCUGUCUGAGAUUAAUCUCUUUCUGACUAAACACAUACUGAAGACUCUUGUGGUCGGUGAACACAUCCACAUGAACACCAUAAAGAUAAUGACGCAAUAUUUUCAAAGCAAUUACUACGGCAGCCAACUCUAGAUCAUGGGUUGGGUAAUUCUUCUUAUGAACCUUAAGUUGUCUAGAGGCAUAAGCUAUAACCUUGCCAUUCUUCAUUAACAUACAACCCAAACCAACUCUAGAUGCAUCACAAUAUACAACAAAGCCUUGCGUACCCUCUGGUAGUUUUCAAUUCCUGAAAGUUCUUCUCAUAAGCUUCAGACCAUUGGAGCUUAAUUGUUUUCUGAUUCAACUUGGUCAAAGAGGACAAAAUGGAUGAGAACAUGUCGAUGAACCUUCUAUAAUAUCCAGCCAACCCUAAGAAACUCCUAAUAUCAGUUGGAGAUGUGGGUCUAGGCCAAUUCUGCACUGCCUUUAUUUUCCGGGUGUCAACUCUAAUUCCAUCACUGGAAAUAAUGUGGCCUAGGAAUGCCACAGACUCAAGCUAGAACUCACACUUAGAGAACUUAUCAUACAACUCUCUAUCAUUUAGAGUUUGGAGGACUACUCUGAGAUGACUAGCAUGAUCUUCCUCAUUUCUCGAAUAAAUUAGUAUGUCUGCAGGUGCAUUAUUUAAACCGAACAACAUGACCAAACACUCAUAAUGACCAUAACGGGUUCGGAAUGCUGUCUUUGGAAUAUCACAUUCCCUUACUUUCAACUGAUGGUAGCCUGAUGAGGUCUAUCUUAGAAAAACAAGUGGCACCCUGAAGUUGAUCGAAUAGAUCAUCAAUUCUCGAAAGAGGAUACUUAUUUUUUAUAGUAACCUUGUUCAACUGAUGGUAAUCUAUACACAUUCUAAGAGAACCAUUUUCUUUCUCACAAAUAAGACCGGUGAGACACUUGGUCGAAUAAAACCUUUCUUAAGGUCUUUCAACUGCUCUUUUAACUCUUUCAACUCUGCUGGUGCAAUUCUAUAUGGAGAAACAGAUAUAAGGUGAGUAUCAUGAAGAAUAUCUAUACCAAAGUUUAUUUCUUUCUCAAGAGGGACUCCGGGAAGAUCAUCUGGAAAGACUUCUGGAAACUCUUUAACAACUGAAAAUGACUGAAGAGGAGGUGUCUCAACACUAGAGUCAUUAACUUGGACUAAGCGCUAGACACACCCCUUGGAAACUAACUUCCUCGUCUUAAGGUAUGAAAUAAAAUGACCUUUAGGCACAGCUGAACUACUCUUCCAGUCUAUAACUGGUUCACUGGGAAACUGGAACUUGACUACUCGAGUUCUACAAUCUAUUGAUGCAUAACAGACAUGAAGCCAGUCCAUACCUAGAAUGACAUCAAAAUCUACCAUGUCUAACUCAACAAAGUCAUCCGUAGUGCUCUUGUGAUUGACGGAAGUGGUACAAUCACGAUAGACUCUCUCAACUAGAAUAGACUCACCAACAUGUUUAAAAACACUGAUGGGCUCAAGAAGUUGCUCAGGAAGAACAUCAAAAUUCAUUGCAACAUAAGGAGUCACAAAAGAUAAACUCGCACCUGCAUUUAGCAAAGCAUAAACACCAAAAUUGAAGACUUGGAUCAUACCAGUGACAACAUCUGGCGAAUCCUCUUGCUCUUGGCGACUAGUGAUAGCAUAAAGACGAUUUCCUCCUUAGUCUGUCCCUAAAGUAGAUCCUCUAGAUGCAGCUCUGUCUGGUGGAGCAACUUAAGAAGAUUGGGCUUUAUUGCCCCCAUUACCAUUACCCUGCAUGUUUUUAGGACACUCUCUCAUAAAAUGACCGCUCUGACCACACGUGAAGCAACCAGUGGAGCCAUCACGACACACCCCUGAGUGGCUCCUACCACACUUAGCACAUGCAUGAGUCUUAGUACCCCUUUGUUCCAAACUACCUUGAGAAUGUACAGGUCUAGCUCUUAAAUUCUGGGAAUUCUGAUUUUGGAAUUCACUUCUGUUUCUUGGUGCAAGUGCACUAGCAGAUGAUGGAGAAUGUCCCUUUAGUUUCUGUUGGAAGGAAGACCGGUUUGUAUUACUCUUUUGCUGCCCGGACUCGUUCCCUGAUGUCUUAGCCCUCUUAUUCUUAAACUCUUCUCUAUCCCUCAACUUGUCCUCCUCAACCUGUUGCACGUGGAUCAUUAACUUUGUUAUGUCCAUAUCCCCUAUCAAUAUAGUCGUCUUGCCUUCUUUGCUUGACAGACGAGAGAACUCAGCAACAAAUAAACUCAUCCUGCUCCUCAUGUCAGCAACCAUCUCCGGAGCAUAGCGGGAAAGUUGUGUGAACUUCAGACUGUAUUCAUGAACACUCACAGAUUCCUGCUUAAGGGUGAGAAAUUCUCGUACCUUUGCUUCCCUCAGUUCUUGGGGAAAGAAACCUCCCAAGAAAGCCUCUUCAAACAAAUCCCAACUCACAAGUGGUGCACCCUCAACCCUAUUCUUUUUCCACUGAUCAAACCAGAUUCUAGCGACAACCUUCAUUUGGCAUGCAACUAAUUCCACCCUCUCAGCAUCAACAACGUGCAUAAUCUCAAAAACCUUCUGAAGCUCCUCAACAAAGUUUUCUGGAUCCUCAGUGAUACUUGAACCAGUGAAGCUUGGAGGAUUCAUCGUUAAUAACUCACGAAUCCUAGACGUAUCAGCAACAUCCUGGUGAACUCCUCUCUGUUGUCCAAAUUUAUUGGUCACUACUUGACUUAACAUCCGAAUAGCCUCACUGAACUCAACAUUGGUGACCUCUCCUUGGGGUUGCACUUUAGGUGUAUUAGGUACCCUUAUUCCUGUGGUUCAACAUUUUUCUAGCCGGAUGACCUCUGACAGCUCUUCGAAGAGGCAUGCUCUGAAAGACACGCGCAAGCACGAGUUAGAAAGACAAUUUUAUGGAGAUACACUCUAUCGCACGAAAUAAGUAUGAAAGAAGUGAGAUAGUUCCUAAGUGUCGCAGCCUCUUUAUUAUAGAUGGGGCCCGCUUCACACCGAUAACUAGGACUCUACAGACACGGCUUCAUAGACNNNNNNNNNNNNNNNNNNNNNNNNNNNNNNNNNNNNNNNNNNNNNNNNNNNNNNNNNNNNNNNNNNNNNNNNNNNNNNNNNNNNNNNNNNNNNNNNNNNNNNNNNNNNNNNNNNNNNNNNNNNNNNNNNNNNNNNNNNNNNNNNNNNNNNNNNNNNNNNNNNNNNNNNNNNNNNNNNNNNNNNNNNNNNNNNNNNNNNNNNNNNNNNNNNNNNNNNNNNNNNNNNNNNNNNNNNNNNNNNNNNNNNNNNNNNNNNNNNNNNNNNNNNNNNNNNNNNNNNNNNNNNNNNNNNNNNNNNNNNNNNNNNNNNNNNNNNNNNNNNNNNNNNNNNNNNNNNNNNNNNNNNNNNNNNNNNNNNNNNNNNNNNNNNNNNNNNNNNNNNNNNNNNNNNNNNNNNNNNNNNNNNNNNNNNNNNNNNNNNNNNNNNNNNNNNNNNNNNNNNNNNNNNNNNNNNNNNNNNNNNNNNNNNNNNNNNNNNNNNNNNNNNNNNNNNNNNNNNNNNNNNNNNNNNNNNNNNNNNNNNNNNNNNNNNNNNNNNNNNNNNNNNNNNNNNNNNNNNNNNNNNNNNNNNNNNNNNNNNNNNNNNNNNNNNNNNNNNNNNNNNNNNNNNNNNNNNNNNNNNNNNNNNNNNNNNNNNNNNNNNNNNNNNNNNNNNNNNNNNNNNNNNNNNNNNNNNNNNNNNNNNNNNNNNNNNNNNNNNNNNNNNNNNNNNNNNNNNNNNNNNNNNNNNNNNNNNNNNNNNNNNNNNNNNNNNNNNNNNNNNNNNNNNNNNNNNNNNNNNNNNNNNNNNNNNNNNNNNNNNNNNNNNNNNNNNNNNNNNNNNNNNNNNNNNNNNNNNNNNNNNNNNNNNNNNNNNNNNNNNNNNNNNNNNNNNNNNNNNNNNNNNNNNNNNNNNNNNNNNNNNNNNNNNNNNNNNNNNNNNNNNNNNNNNNNNNNNNNNNNNNNNNNNNNNNNNNNNNNNNNNNNNNNNNNNNNNNNNNNNNNNNNNNNNNNNNNNNNNNNNNNNNNNNNNNNNNNNNNNNNNNNNNNNNNNNNNNNNNNNNNNNNNNNNNNNNNACGACACACCCCUGAGUGGCUCCUACCACACUUAGCACAUGCAUGAGUCUUAGUACCCCUUUGUUCCAAACUACCUUGAGAAUGUACAGGUCUAGCUCUUAAAUUCUGGGAAUUCUGAUUUUGGAAUUCACUUCUGUUUCUUGGUGCAAGUGCACUAGCAGAUGAUGGAGAAUGUCCCUUUAGUUUCUGUUGGAAGGAAGACCGGUUUGUAUUACUCUUUUGCUGCCCGGACUCGUUCCCUGAUGUCUUAGCCCUCUUAUUCUUAAACUCUUCUCUAUCCCUCAACUUGUCCUCCUCAACCUGUUGCACGUGGAUCAUUAACUUUGUUAUGUCCAUAUCCCCUAUCAAUAUAGUCGUCUUGCCUUCUUUGCUUGACAGACGAGAGAACUCAGCAACAAAUAAACUCAUCCUGCUCCUCAUGUCAGCAACCAUCUCCGGAGCAUAGCGGGAAAGUUGUGUGAACUUCAGACUGUAUUCAUGAACACUCACAGAUUCCUGCUUAAGGGUGAGAAAUUCUCGUACCUUUGCUUCCCUCAGUUCUUGGGGAAAGAAACCUCCCAAGAAAGCCUCUUCAAACAAAUCCCAACUCACAAGUGGUGCACCCUCAACCCUAUUCUUUUUCCACUGAUCAAACCAGAUUCUAGCGACAACCUUCAUUUGGCAUGCAACUAAUUCCACCCUCUCAGCAUCAACAACGUGCAUAAUCUCAAAAACCUUCUGAAGCUCCUCAACAAAGUUUUCUGGAUCCUCAGUGAUACUUGAACCAGUGAAGCUUGGAGGAUUCAUCGUUAAUAACUCACGAAUCCUAGACGUAUCAGCAACAUCCUGGUGAACUCCUCUCUGUUGUCCAAAUUUAUUGGUCACUACUUGACUUAACAUCCGAAUAGCCUCACUGAACUCAACAUUGGUGACCUCUCCUUGGGGUUGCACUUUAGGUGUAUUAGGUACCCCUUGUUCCUAUGGUUCAACAUUCCUUCUAGUCGGAUGACCUUGGACAACUCUUCGUGGAGGCAUGAUCUGAAAGAAACGCGCAAACACGAGUUAGAAAAAGACUUUUUAUAGAGAUACACUUUAUCGCACGAAAUGAGUAUGAAAAAAGUGAGAUAGUUCCUAAAAUGUUGCAGCCUCCUAAUUAUAGAUGUGACGUGCUUCACGCCGAUAGCUAGGACUCUACAGACACGACUUCAUAGACUCCCUAGGACUCUUGAACUCUGUUCUUUGAUACCAAGUUUGUCACACACCGAACCUACACCCUGGGCGGGACUGGCACUCGAGAACCAUUACUGGCCCAAAGCGAACCCUUGGCCUAACUUAACUCUUAACGAAAGACUUUACUCAACAUAAAUGUACUUUAAAAGUAAAUUGAAAACUCAAAGAUAACUAAGAAUGUAUUAUAAUCAAACAUUCACUGCCAAAGUGGCAACUCAAGUCUCAAGCAUAACUGAAAUGGAAAGACUAAAGAACUAACAUCAACUAACUAUCUAUGAAGCCUCUAACAACUGAGAUGGACGUUGGGACCAGACCUACGACAUCCUAAUGAACUAACUGAUAAAGCAAUAAUAGGGGUCCUCUGAAAGCAAUGAAGCUCACCAACAACUCUUAAGCUCAACUAGAAUCAACGAUGCGUUGGAUGUUGAUCCUGGUUACGUAUCUGCAUCAUAACAACGAUGUAGGCCAAAUGACAUCAAUACAUUGCAUGUACGAGAAUGCGAGGGGAAUUCUAAAACAAGACAUAAGCUUGAAAGGAGCUGAAAGAACAUAUUUAGGCUUAACUCAACUCAACUCAACUUAACUCAUUUCAAUAUAAAGCAAUAAUUUGAAUGCAAUAUAAAGAAAAGCUUUUAAAACAUGGAUGACAACUCUGUGUAUUUUGAAAUACAAUAGUAACUCAGUUUGUAUGCAAGGAUACAAUAUAAGCUCUAUGUGUAUAUAAAAAUACAAUUAUCUCUAUGUAUAUAGGAAUACAAAAUACUUCUGUGGGAGUUUCUCUAACCGACAACCAUCACUUAAGAGUUAUGUGAUGAUACAACAUUUUGCCUCAUGCUGCCAGGGACGUACUAUACCUUGCCAAGGGUAUAGAACCUAACUACUAAGUGGAUCCAUUAGUCUAUGCUAAAAAGCACUAAGGAAUCAUCUAAAAAGUAUGAUAAUUUCUACCCAUGAUGGCUACAUGGUUUAUGGGGGGCUUGGUGAGUUGUCUGAACUCCCCCCAUCUCGGUGCUCAAUACUACUCCCAAAAUAUUACUAGCUCAUACGUUUAAAACAUAACUCUUUUUGUGGUUUGAGAUUAUUGCUCAAAAACUUAGCUCAAAGGCUCUCUUGAAAAAUCAAAGUUUCCUCUCUUGCUUAAUUGUGAAAACAUUUACUCUUUACUUAAAAACUUGCUCAAAGGCUUUGUUGGAAAUCGAAGUUUCCUUUUUUUUUUAAAUGUGAAAACAUUUACUCUUUGGGAAUAUAUAGUCCCCAUAUACUCUUUUGGAGAAAUGAACUUUACUCUUUACUCUUUACUCAACUCGAAACUCAAGUCUUAAAAACAAGUUUAAAACAUUUGUAAAAGACUUUAGGAACUCUCUAGGCUUGACUCUUAACUUUCCUUGAAUUUGAAUUUAUAAAUUCAAGGUUAUGAUUCAUGUUUAUGGAUGAUAUCAUAUUGUUUAGACGUACCUUAGAGUGUAGAAAUAAACUAUAAAACAUAGGUACGUUUCAAGGGAACUCAAACGGAAAAAAGUGGGAAAGGGUAGAAGACUUGGUGUCCCUGGCACUCUGAGUGGCGUUGGGCGCCAGAGCUCAAACUUUAGAGCCUGGGUUGGGGCACUCUGAGUGGCGCGGCGCCCCACCGCUUUUCCUAGAUUUUUGACGAAUUUUCUUGGUCGUUUUUCAACUCUAAACCCUCUAGAUUCAAAUGGUUCCUUCCCCAAACACUUAGAUUCGACUACAUAACUAAAAUAUGCAAGAAUCUACUCAAAACGACAUCUAAUUUUAUGAAUUUAAAUCAAGAACUCCUCAACAACUUCAACAAUCAAGAACACAAUAGAAACUUCAACAAUCCAUUAAGAACUCAAUUUCUAUACUUUCAAGAACAUAAUUUUGAUGAAUUAAAUCAUGAUUGACGCGUGGGUGAACUAACCCAACGCUAUGUGAUCUAACAUACCUCGUAGGGAUCAACCCUUGGCUAAAUCCACAAGCUUAACUUUCAAGAAUGCGACGAAUCCUUGCUUCUUCUCCUUUUUCUCCUCUUCUUUUAGCUCCUCUCAAAACCCUAACUUAAUCUUAUGAAGCAUAAGCUGAACCAAUUCAGUUUAGACCCAACUUAAUUACCAAAAAUGAAUUUAAUUAAUUGGGUAGUGAAAAGACCAUAAUACCCUCCUAAAAUUUGGUUUUGACUUUCCUUAUCUAGACAACCCGACUUCAAAUGGGCAUAUCUCCCUCAUACGAACUCGAAAAUGAGCAAACUUGGUGGCGUUGGAAAGAUAAUUCAAAGAUAGCCUAUCUAACUCAUUCUGUGCUAGGAGUUAUGAUCGUUUGAAGUUGACCCAAAACUCAUGUUUAGCUUAACUUUGUCAAACUUUCCAAAUUUGAUUAUUUCCAACAACAGUUUCUUUCUAAUUCUAGUUCUUUCGAAUAGUGAAGUGUUACAUUAUCGUUAUAAUAACGAUUUUUAUAUUCUACCAAUAAUAUUGGUAUCACAAUUAAUCAAAAUUGGAAAAAAUAAUUUCUCAAAAUAAAGUGUUUGAUAUGAUAACAUCAAUUCACUUUUUCACUAGUUGAAACUUAAUAUUUUUUAUUGCAACCUUCAUAAUCGAGUUAGCAAAUAAUAUACUUUUUGCUUUUCUCAUAUCCAACAAAUAGCAUCAAGUUUUCUCAUCUGGUUUGCUUGUACCUAUUAAGUACUUCAACUGCAAACGCAAUAUUAAAUUAAAUUGUUAGUAACAUAGUUCAUAUUUUUUAUUAGGCUGACAAACUCUUUUUUUCCUUUUCACACUAUUUUCACACAAUUGAAUCAAAAGAGUUGCAAGGCUCACACAACCAACAACAUUAUAUUUCACAAUUUUUUAAAACAUAAUGGGGCUAGACAAGUUAAAUUUCAUCACACGUUUUAUGAUAUUUUUCAUUUUAAGAAAAAAAAAAUUCUCACCCAAAACACUUCAUGUUAAAUGGCUACCCAACAUAUUUUUCAUAAUUUAUUUAUAACUCUCAUGUUAGAGCCAAAAGUCAUCCCGUUAUAGCCAAACAACAUGUGAUAUAUAUAUAUAUAUAUAUAUAUACACACACACACUAGUCUUUUCAUAAAAUGUGUACAUGCCUAAUUUUAUAUCUUCAAAUCCACGUUUUCAAAGACUGUUAUUUUUAUAAAAUUUGUACAUGCCUAAUUUAAUGUAUUAGUCUACUAAGUAUGUGUUUAGUCGAACACAACAAUAUCAUCUAAUUUUAAUACAAGUUUAGUUAUUACUCCCACUAUUCCUUUUUUUAGUUGUCAUGCUGCGCUUUUUGAGAGCCAAUUUGAUUAAUUUUUAAUGUUAAUUUAGAUUACACUAAUUUGAUAUUUUAAAAUAAGAAUUUAGAUAUUCAAAAACUAUACAAAAAGUACUAUAAAUUAUAAUUUUUUUCAUACAAAAUGAUGGAAAAUACAUCUGAAAAUGUUAAUUAGUUAAAGUUUAUAUCGUUUGACUAUUAAAAGGAAAAUAGUAACAACUACAAAAGAAUGGAGGGAGUAGUUCACGAAAUAGGAAGUGUUGAACUAUGUAAAACUAAUUAAGAUAAUACAACAUCUAACAUUAUUGGAGUUGUUGACAUAGAAUUAGCGUUGAUACUUAUAAUAUUAAAAAAAUGAUUAAAACACCUAAAUAGGACUAACUUGCUUUUUACCAAUAAAAAAAGGCACAAGUAUAUAAAUAAUGAUGCACCACAUUCGAGGCAAUCAUGCUAUUCCCAUGUAUACAUAUCCAGUAACUCCAUUAUCUUUAGAAUGUGAUACAUAAUCUUUAGGUUUAUUCAAAAGUGUGCAAUUUUAUUUUGGUUAAAAGAUGCAACAAGAAAAUAACAAAAAACUUCAUUUCAUACACUAAAUACAUUUUCAAGAAGCAGCAUAUAUUAGGCAAUCAAGAUUACAUCCACAUGCUGGUUCACUACUAAAUCAUCAAAAGCUCAAUUAUGCUAAAUCAUGAUUAUAACUUCUAAACUCUUCGUGUAUGGAGAAAAUAAAUGAAAAGGUUGGAUAUAUUUUAUUAGGAAAAUAAAUCCUUGAUUGAUUGCAUGUACAUUGACAUUUCAAAAGUUAAUAUUGCAAUAAAGAUCGGAAGAUGAAGCAAUUCAAGAUUUGACAUUAAAUAAACAUAAUUAAGUACUAAAGAAGUGAUACAAAGUUCAAGAAAUAGUAAAUACACAUUAUUAAGUCUAUGUGAAUUCAAAAUACACGUUUCACGAACUAUAAGGAGAAGCCUAAACAUCCAAGUUAUUCAUAUACUCAUGACAUACAGUUAAAUGUAUAUAGUCUCUUACUAUUAAUUGAUUUAUUAAUCGUGUGAAUAGUAUUUACUACAACUUUUGGGUUUUCUAGUGUUGUAUACUAUAAUAUUAUAUAAUUACUAUCUAAAUAUAAUUAAAUAAAUAUUUUAAUAACUAUUUUAAUUUAGAGUAGUCUUUUUUUAAUGGCAUUAUUGUAGUAACUCAAUUUUAUAGGAGUAUUUUUGUAUUUCAACUUUCAACUCUUUUUGUUCCCACUUAUAAUAAUAUAUAUAUAUAUAUAUAUACACAUUUAAUACUCUUUUUAGAGCAUUUUUCAAAGAAGCAAAAGAUCACAAUUUCACAAUGAUUUUUUUCAUUUCAUGAACCCCCACUAUUUUAAGAAUUUUAAAAAUAUUUUUUCAUGAAAAGUUACAUCACUUUAUUCAUGAAAAAUAUUAGGUAAAAAUAUUUUUUCCUUUACCAUUUCUCCGCUUGAAUUGAGCAAGUAAAAAUAUUUUACAUGUAUAUCUCUUCACUUUCAUCUCUUGAAGAGAGGCAACGUUUGAGCAGAUUGAUGUUGAGAUCUUCUAUCUUGAUAUCCACACUUUUUCAAACUGUAACAACAACAUGAAUCUUCUUUAAAUUGUUGGUGUAACAUACCACAAAUAUAAUAAAUUACAGCUGAAAAUAAAAUGACAAAAAAUGAAUAAAUAAUCAUUUAGGCUGAGACGCAGAUAUCUCACUCUCUUUAAAGAGAUUCAAGUCCACUGCGGCAUAAUCUACACCGAUCCAACAAUAAUACUCUUGAUUUGUCCCCUCCAGGAUAUAACAACCCAACAGCCUCGUACAAUUCAAAAAACUCUGGAUUAGUUGAAGAGUCCAAAACUCCACAUAAGAACACUUUCCUUCAACAUAUAAACAUUUUCUUUUAUAUAGUGAAUAUAGUUGAAGACUUAUAAUAUUUUUAUAGCCUCAACUCUCUCUUUCACUACACUAAUCUCAAUAUAUAUAAUACUCCUCAUUUGUUUUACUCUAUAUUUUCUUGUACAUCUCUUCUUGUUCUCAACUCAAAGGAAGAUCAUCACUAUAUAAGGGGCGAAAAUCUUCCUUGUAAAGAAUAGGAAGAUAAUGAAGUAGUUACUAGGAUAAGUGAAUGACCUAUAACUUACCUGACUUACAAGUUAUAAUGAGGUAGAAUAAUGAGUGAAUAAAGAAUAAGAGGUUACUAGAGUUAUGAGGAAAUAUACACACCAACUAAUUAUGUGAGUAAAUGAGACAUCUAAUGUCAAUAAAUGGACAAGGAUGUUGCACAAUGGCACAACCGUGCAGUCUGGGGCAGAGUCAACAUAUUGUCAGGGGUUCAUCCGAAUUCUCUUUGGCUGAAAAUAUUAUUAUUUAUAUAUGGUUAAAAUUAUUUUUAUGUAUAUAUAGUAGAUAUCAAACUCCUUUCGGUUAGUUCGUGUGUUAAUUUCUUCAGAUUUUUAACUCCCUUAAUAAAAAUCAUAACUCCGUCACUGCGUGGUAACCCUCCUAGGAGUGCAUCCGUCUGCCAUUAAUGAAGAAAAUGAGAGUUUUUGCAACCAAAAAAACAUACGAAGUAUAUAUUUACCUAUUGAGAGAAACCCACAAUUUAUGGUACUAAAUCGUAAUUGGAAAGAUUUGCGAAAUGUAGGAAUUGGAAAGAAAAUGAGAAUUUCAAAAUGCUAAAUAUUACAAGAUUAACCUGAAAGGUAUUAUAGUUAUAUUCCAUAAUUAAUAAGACAAUGAUUUAUAUAAUACAUAAUUUUUAUAUAAUUUUAAAGUCCAAAAUUUUAGGAUUUUCUAUAUAGUCAAAAUAAGAAAAGAUAUAAUAAUCAAAUUUUAUUUGACUUAAAACUUUUGAAUUUAUAAAAAUAAUUAAAUGAUAAUUUUGACUGUAAAAUUAUUUUUAAGGAUAAAAAUUGAAAAGGGUGAACGGCAUUUCUCUAACCCCUUGUUUGAUGGUUGUUACCUAUAGUAUUGUAUGAUAUUAUUACUUUAAAUGGAAUGUUUGAUUUAAGUGUUACCUUAAAUUUUAUUGCAUGGAGUUGUUAUAACAAUUGCUAUGUUACAAUAGAAAGGGUCAUUUCAUGUAACAACUGACUUAGUGUGAUCGUUUUUUUUUUUUUUUCAUAUUAUCCUUACUUGUAUAAUAAUCCUAAUUUUUACAAUUCCCCUAUCUUUUAAUUUUUUUUUUUUUUACCUCAUACCGCAUUUUUCUUUGUAAUGUUAUACGUUUAUUUUUCAAAUUACUGAUGUGUGACAUUACAAAAUGAUGUGAAACAUUACAUUAUAUAAACAUUAUAUUCAUAAAAAAUAAUAUAAUACAAUACAAAUAAUAUAUAAUAAUACAUUAUGAAUAAUAAUGAUCGUUAAAAAUUAGGUGAAUGCUUGGUCAUGUGAUACUACUUUGGUCCCCUAUUCUUUUGGGCACGUUGUGAUCUUGACUAAGUAAUUAAUCCAAUAACAACUCCAACACAUUUUCCUAAGAAGAAAAGGAAAAAAAAAAUACAAUGAUAUAAUAAUAAUGCAUAGAAGAGAGGAGAUAACUCCCAACUCCCCUUGGGGUUUUACUUUUUUUUUAUUCCUACUAGUUCCGUAUUUACAUUGAAGUCUGAUUAAAUUUAAAUUCGCGCUGGAAAGUCUCACAUUGAGGAUAAAACGCUCUGUAACACUCUCAUUAAAAAUGAAAGAGUUGUCCUUGAAUAAUAUUUUGGGUUGUGUGCUCUUAUCUUUUUGAAUCCAUGAAUGUUGUCCUUCACAAUGGACAAAUUGUUUGUUAUAAAAAGAAAUGGUGUAUUCAUAUUCAUAUUCAUACACAAAAGAGAAGGUAUUGUCUUCACUCUUAUUAUAUUAAUACUCCCAACUAAUAAAGAGUUUGUUGUGUUUUCAUAGGAAACAAUUAAUGCAGUCUCUCACAGCUUUAUUGAAACUGAUCAAACACAAUAUUGGAUGGAGGUACGUACCUACUAAUUAAUUUACCUAGUGUAGCACAAGUUUUAAACAAAUAGAGAACCUCAAUUUAUUUUUAUUUGUCCACAAUUUUAAAAAUAAAUUUUUAUUUGGAUAAAUAACACAAAUUCUAUUAGUUUAAGGCUUAAUUACGUAUCUUUCCGUAAAAUUUCGAAAUUACCAUUCGUGCCAAACUUCAAUCCAUGUGUAAUUUAUUUCAAAUGCAAUGUAUCUAUAUAAGUGGAUUUGCAUGUACUCCCUCCGUUUACUUUUACUUGUCACUUAUUCCUGAACUAUAUUUUCAUUUUUACUUGUCACUUUUGACAUAUCAAGAAAAUACAAUAAUUUUUUUCCAUAUUUUACCCUCAACAUUAAAUACUUAUUUUCCAAAUCAUUUUCCAAGGCAUCAUUUAAUAGGGGAUAGUUUGGUAAAAUACAUACACCAUUAAUUAUUUUCUUAAUGGAUGUGCCAAGUCAAACCGUGACAAGUAAAAGUGAACAAAAUAAAUAUACGAGAUACACAUACUCUCUCACUCGUCUAUCUCUUCUCUCCCUAUAUAUUUAUAUUCCAGAAUGUAUCUAACUUCACACAUCACACAUGUAUCUGAUUUUUUUAGAUAUAUGUAUCUAGUAGGCGGAUCCGGCUCCCCUCCAUUACCCCUUCCCUCCAUUUCGUCAAGUGCACGUCUAGAUUAGAGACAUAUGUCAUAUUUAAAGUUUAAAGGUCAAGAUUAUAUCAUAUGAAUAAAUAUCAUAACCAUAGUUAAGUCAACUAAUUUUAGAAAAUACUCUCCAAAUUUGGUAAGAAUUACAAUAUAUUCCAUACAAAAUUUGAUAUUUAUUAAUAUCUUUAACUUCAUCUUAUAUUUUUAAUUUACAAUUUAACAUUUAAAUACAAAAAUAUAAUAUGAAAUUAAUGAUUAUAAAUUUAUAAUUUAAUAUUUAAAUACAAAAAUAUAAUAUGAAAUUAAUGAUUAUAACUCAAAAGUUACUCAACUAUUGAUAUUUUACUUAGAAAGUCACUCAACUAUUGAUAUUUCAUUUAAAAAGUCACCCAAUCAAUUUAAAUGUUUUUUUUGUUGAAAUCUAAUUUUAUUUUAAACUAUUUUUAUUAUAAGAAAUAAGAAGAUAUCUAUUUUAUUUAUCUUACUAAUCCACUCCAAUUAUUUAAUUAAUUAUUUUUUUUUUGAAAAACGUACUGUAGCAAUAGACAAAAAAAAUUAUUUUCCGUUCUAGCAAUUGUUAAGUAGAAUUAAAUAAGCUGAAAAUGAUCCAAAAAAAGGUGAACAUUGAAAUUGAUAGAAGUAAUUAAGAAGCAAUCAAAAGAACGCACAAUAGCAAUCUUUUAUCAUUUAAAAAUAAUUGUCUUAAAACUAAAAAUUUAUAAUUUAAUAUUUAAAUACAAAAAUAUAAUAUGAAAGUAGUGAUCUUAAUAAAUAUCAAAUUUUGUAUAGAAUAUAUUGUAAUUUUUAUCAAAUUUGGAUAGUAGUUUUCUAAAAUAACAUGACUUAACUAUAGUUAUGAUAUUUGUUAAUAUAAUAUAAUCUUGACCUUUAAAUUUUAAAUAUGACACAUGUCUCUAAUAUAGACGUGCACUUGACGAAAUGGAGGGGAGCCGGAUCCCUAGUAGGCUAUUUAGUGUUGCAUCACCAUUACCCUCUUUGGUUCAGCUUCUUUGUUUAUUUUGCAUUGGUUUAGGAUAGAUAUUGUAAAUAUUCCGUUUUGAUUUUUUUUUUUUUUUCAUUUUCUUCUUUGGUUGCCUUUUUAAGAGUUGUCUUUUCUUUUUCUUAAAUACGUGUACGCCUAUUCUUUAUAAUGAAAAAUAAUAUAAUAAUUUUAAAUUACAUCCCAUAAAGUGAUUAAAUUUAAAAAAAUUAAAAUAUUAUUAACUCAGAAUGAAAGUAGUAUAUAUUGAAUCUGUAACACCCAGAAAAUUUUUUGAACUAAGACUCGAACCGUACUUCGUAGUGAGUGAGAUUUUACCAAGGAAUUUAAAAUUUCUUCAGUGUUAAGAUCACUAGAUGUAGCACCUUGAGUUCCAAAAAAUAUUAAAUUGGAAAUAGCAAAAUUUGAAAUUUUGCAAGUUAAGCUAAGUAUAAGUUUUGGGUCGACUUCAAACGAUCAUAACUCCUAGCUAAGGAUGAGUUAGGUAUUCUACCAGAUACCAUAGGAAAGAUAUUUGAAUUAUCUUUCCAAUGCCGCCAAGUUUGCUAAGUUUCGAGGUCGGAUGAGUGAGAUAUGACCUUUUGAAGUNNNNNNNNNNNNNNNNNNNNNNNNNNNNNNNNNNNNNNNNNNNNNNNNNNNNNNNNNNNNNNNNNNNNNNNNNNNNNNNNNNNNNNNNNNNNNNNNNNNNNNNNNNNNNNNNNNNNNNNNNNNNNNNNNNNNNNNNNNNNNNNNNNNNNNNNNNNNNNNNNNNNNNNNNNNNNNNNNNNNNNNNNNNNNNNNNNNNNNNNNNNNNNNNNNNNNNNNNNNNNNNNNNNNNNNNNNNNNNNNNNNNNNNNNNNNNNNNNNNNNNNNNNNNNNNNNNNNNNNNNNNNNNNNNNNNNNNNNNNNNNNNNNNNNNNNNNNNNNNNNNNNNNNNNNNNNNNNNNNNNNNNNNNNNNNNNNNNNNNNNNNNNNNNNNNNNNNNNNNNNNNNNNNNNNNNNNNNNNNNNNNNNNNNNNNNNNNNNNNNNNNNNNNNNNNNNNNNNNNNNNNNNNNNNNNNNNNNNNNNNNNNNNNNNNNNNNNNNNNNNNNNNNNNNGAGAUCAUGAACCUUGAAUCCAUAAUCCAAUUCAAGGAAAGUUAAGACCAAAGUCAAGAAAAGUAAGAGUCAAGUCGAGAUGAGUUCUUCCAUAUUUUAAGGAGUCUUUUACAAAUGUUUUAACUUAGUUUUAAGACUCAAGCUUUGAAAUUAAGUAAAGAGUAAGAGUAAAGUCUUUUAUAAACGUUUUAACUUAGUUUUAAGACUGAAAGAUUCAAGUUAAGCAAAGAGUAAAGAGUUGAGUUCAUUUCUCAAAAGUUAUGAGGGAACUAAGUAUUCCCUAAGAGUUUAUAAAUGUUUUUACACAUUUGAGCAAGAAAAGGGAACAUGAUUCCAAGAGAGCCUUUGGGCUAAGCUNNNNNNNNNNNNNNNNNNNNNNNNNNNNNNNNNNNNNNNNNNNNNNNNNNNNNNNNNNNNNNNNNNNNNNNNNNNNNNNNNNNNNNNNNNNNNNNNNNNNNNNNNNNNNNNNNNNNNNNNNNNNNNNNNNNNNNNNNNNNNNNNNNNNNNNNNNNNNNNNNNNNNNNNNNNNNNNNNNNNNNNNNNNNNNNNNNNNNNNNNNNNNNNNNNNNNNNNNNNNNNNNNNNNNNNNNNNNNNNNNNNNNNNNNNNNNNNNNNNNNNNNNNNNNNNNNNNNNNNNNNNNNNNNNNNNNNNNNNNNNNNNNNNNNNNNNNNNNNNNNNNNNNNNNNNNNNNNNNNNNNNNNNNNNNNNNNNNNNNNNNNNNNNNNNNNNNNNNNNNNNNNNNNNNNNNNNNNNNNNNNNNNNNNNNNNNNNNNNNNNNNNNNNNNNNNNNNNNNNNNNNNNNNNNNNNNNNNNNNNNNNNNNNNNNNNNNNNNNNNNNNNNNNNNNNNNNNNNNNNNNNNNNNNNNNNNNNNNNNNNNNNNNNNNNNNNNNNNNNNNNNNNNNNNNNNNNNNNNNNNNNNNNNNNNNNNNNNNNNNNNNNNNNNNNNNNNNUUGAGUAGUUUUGAGUAUUCCUUGAGUUGAGUAAGUUUGAGAAGAGGUAAGUAUGUUUCCUUUUUAUCAAGUUUCAAGCUUAUGUUUAUAAUUUAGAAUUCUCUUACAUGCUCGUACAUUCCACGUAAUGAGCCAUUUGGCCUGCAUCUUUUCAUGAUGCAGACACAUGUAUUAAGGAUCAUCAACAGGAGCUUCGUUGAUACAUCCGAGAGUUCGAGUUAGCUAUGGUGAGCCUUCUUGCUUCCGGAGGAUUUCAUUUUACUUUUUCAGUUUUAGUCAGGAUGUCGUGGGUCUUGUCCCGACUUCCAUCUUUAUCAGUUAGAGGCUUUCAUAGAUAGUCAGUAUAGUUAAGAAAUCUGUAUUAUUCAUUUAUUUUAUUAAAUGUUUUAAAGACUUAAGUGCCUAUUUUAUGGCGAGUUGAAUAUAUUAUUUUUAUUCUAAGUUGUUCAUUUGAGUUAAAAGUUUCAAAAUUUGAAUUUAUUGAAUUUUAUUUCAGUUUUAAGCUUUUGCAUGCUUAAGUUAGUCUUCCGCUUGUAGUCAGUCAGGAUGAGGGUUCGCUUGGGGACCAACAAUGGUUCUUGAGUGCCGGCCACGUCCAGGGUGUAGACUCUGGUCGUGACAAAAUUGGUAUCAGAGCACAGAGUUUAAGUGUCCUAGGGUGUCUAUGAAGUCGUGUCAAGUAGGUUCUCGUUUAUGGUUGUGAGGGCCCCACUUCUAUAAAUGAGGUACUACAGACAUUUAAGAAAAGUUUCCCUUCUUUCAUACUCAUAAUUCGUGCAAUAGAGCUAAGUCCUAGAGAUUUAUUCAUGCUUGUGCGUUUCUUCAAAUUAUUUCGACUACCCAUCAUACUAGAGGUAGUUGAAAAUAAAAGUCAGUCCUUUAUCGAUGAGUUGUUCUUAACAAGAGUCUUGAGAAAGUCAUGAGAUUCUAGAGGGGCUUGAGAAUAGCCCAAAGAGUAAGUUAAGUGUUCAGUUGCAGAGGAAUGCACUCAUAUUCAUAUGAAUCAUGCGUUUGAGCUAAAAGUGAGUUGUACUAUUUUCCUUAAGCCUUGUUUCAGCUGAGAUCCUUUUUAAGAAGUAUGUUUAGAGCUUGGGUAAAAUUUUCACCCGAAAAGGUAACAUGAGUUAUAAGAUCAUGAGCAGUAGUAGUGAAAGAGCCCAGAGUUAGAGGAAAGUAUGCAGAGGUUUAGUAAUCUUAGAAAGGGAGAUAGUGUUUUGGCAAGCUAUGUUAUUAUAGUCAUGCACCCAGUAAGUUUUUAUGAGGAGUUUUUCCUUAUGGGUAGACUAAGAAGUGAUGAGUUGUGAAGAGCUCAGGAUAGGAGGUAGAGUAAGAGUUGCAAGUCAAGAUGAGUUAGAGUAUACCUUAACUAGAAAAGGGUUAUGAGGAUGUGUUCAUUUGUGUUUGUAAUGACCAAGUGUAAGUGGUGAAUAGAAGAGCAAGAGUAUUCAUGAGGUGAUAGCUCUAAGCUAGGCUUAUGAUUUGUUUGAGAGGGUCAUGAUGUUCAGAAGGAUAUAAAAUUGAUCAAGUAAUGAGGUAUAGUAUGGUAGGCGAGCAAUCAUAUUGAUAUUCAGGUUUAGUAAUAAACAUUAAGCUUGAAUUUGAGAUUAGUGUCAUGAUCAAAAGAAUGACAACAUGAGGGUGAUGAUGUUAGUUUUGAGAUUUGAAGACUUUAGGAAUUGAGAUGUUAGUUGGAAUAGAUAUGAGUGGUACAAGUGAGAGACCCUAACAUUUAGAUAAGGGCAGUGAAGUGUGGCUAAGUCACAAGAGUAACAAGAACUUUAAGAGGUGUAACGAGAAGAGGUUAAGGGAAACACCUUAGAAGGAGAUCUUAGUACCAUUUAUAGAGAGUUUGGUAGGCAUGAGAUAAACUUCUCGCAAGUGUUAGAUUAAAAGAAGAGGUAGACCAUUUAGAGAUGAUGGAAUAUGUCCAUAGCUUUCAAGUGUUAGCUUUAGACCUAAGGAGGAGAUGACAAGAUGAGCUAUUGAGUCAAGUGUUUGAGAUUAAGAUGGUAAUGAAUUCAAAGAGUUUGGGGGAUAUCUUUUUAGAAGUCCUUUUUGUAAUGGAGUGACGUUAAAAAGAUGAGGUUGAUGUUCUUAUCGUGUUAGUGAUAGUGUGAUAAUUCCAUCUAAGGUUAUUAAUAAGGAAGAAGUAGAGGAUUAGGUUUUACUAUGAAAAAUAGUAAAAUGAGAGCCAUUAGUUGGAUCCGAAGGAGUUGGUUAGUAGGAUUUCAUGGAGUUGUUAGAAUACUAAGCUUGAAUAUGGUGUUAAGGAGUAAUAGUUUGGGAUGAGAUUUCCUAUAGAGAGGUAUAUAAUCCGAACUAAAAUAUUUGAGUUAAGUUUGAAUAUAGUAAGAGCAGACCAUUAUCCUUAGACCUUAGUAAGAGUAACCCGUUCCAUAUCCAAACUAGUCGUCAUUCGAGGACGAAUGAUCCCAAGGGGGGGAUAUUGUAACACCCCAGAAUAUUUUUGAACUAAGACUCGAACCGUUCUUCGUAGUGAGUGAGAUUUUACCAAGGAAUUUAAAUUUCUUUAGUGUUAAGGUCACUAGAUGUAGCACCUUGAGUUCCAAAAAGAAUUAAAUUGGAAAUAGCAAAAUCUAAAACUUUGCAAGUUAAGCUAAGUAUAAGUUUUGGGUCGACUUCAAACGAUCAUAACUCCUAGCUCAGGAUGAGUUAGGUGUUCUACCAGAUACCAUAGGAAAGAUAUUUGAAUUAUAUUUCCAACGCCGCCAAGUUUUCUAAGUUUCGAGAUCGGAUGAGUGAGAUAUGGCCUUUUGAAGUUAGGCUGCCCAGUUAAGGAAAGUUAGCCGAAAAUAAAGAGGGANNNNNNNNNNNNNNNNNNNNNNNNNNNNNNNNNNNNNNNNNNNNNNNNNNNNNNNNNNNNNNNNNNNNNNNNNNNNNNNNNNNNNNNNNNNNNNNNNNNNNNNNNNNNNNNNNNNNNNNNNNNNNNNNNNNNNNNNNNNNNNNNNNNNNNNNNNNNNNNNNNNNNNNNNNNNNNNNNNNNNNNNNNNNNNNNNNNNNNNNNNNNNNNNNNNNNNNNNNNNNNNNNNNNNNNNNNNNNNNNNNNNNNNNNNNNNNNNNNNNNNNNNNNNNNNNNNNNNNNNNNNNNNNNNNNNNNNNNNNNNNNNNNNNNNNNNNNNNNNNNNNNNNNNNNNNNNNNNNNNNNNNNNNNNNNNNNNNNNNNNNNNNNNNNNNNNNNNNNNNNNNNNNNNNNNNNNNNNNNNNNNNNNNNNNNNNNNNNNNNNNNNNNNNNNNNNNNNNNNNNNNNNNNNNNNNNNNNNNNNNNNNNNNNNNNNNNNNNNNNNNNNNNNNNNNNNNNNNNNNNNNNNNNNNNNNNNNNNNNNNNNNNNNNNNNNNNNNNNNNNNNNNNNNNNNNNNNNNNAAGUGAUUGGGGAAGAAACCAUUCGAUUCUAGGCGAAAUAGGGUUAGAAAACGAGAAAAGAAACUUGCUGAAUUUUCUAGGUUGGGGUCCUGGUGCGAUGCGCCUGUCAGAGCUCCCCAAAUCCACCUCUGAAGUUUAGGGGCUGGUGCCCCGCGCCACCGAUAGCGCCAGGGUCGCCUACCCAUCCAGUUUGUCGUCGGUUUCCCCGUUUGAGUUCGUUUAAAGUGCACCUUCACUCCUUUUCGAUUCUAACUACUCUAAGCUAUUUCUAAACACCAAAAAUCAUUCCUAACAUGAUCAUAACCUUGAAUUCAUAAAUCAAAUUCAAGGUAGAGUUGAGAGUCAAGUUUGAGAGUUCUUUCAAACCUUUUUGAUAAGGUCCCUUAGAAUCUUUUGAGGAGUCUUCUACAAUUAUUAGUAACUUGUUUCAAGACUCGAGCAAGUGAGUAUGAGGAUGAGGAGAAUGUAUCCAUGAAUCUACUUUGUCAUCAUGAGAUCCUUCAUAUCAUAGAACCAAAACUACUUGAAUUCAUAAUCUACAUUCAAGAGAGAGUUAAGAGUAGAGUUCAAGAAAGCCUUUGAGUUCAAUUGUGAAUCCUUUGAGAUCAACUAUAGAUUUGAACUAAGUUCUGAGAAAGUAAGUAAGAGAAUGAGAAGAGUCGUAUACAUGAGUCCAUGUUGUUAUGUAGACCCAUCGAGUCGAGUUGUUUCAUGCCCAUAAUUCCGCAUGAACUUCGUAAGUUUGAGCAUCUUUCAGAGAAGUGGUAUCUUCAAGUUUUUAAGCCUUUUAAGUGUUGAGUUCCUAAGCCCUUUUGAGAAGUAUCUUUGAGUUCUUGAGUUAAGAAGUUCAUGCUUAUUAUUCCGCAUGAACCCUUUGAAUUGAGCAUUCUUUAAAUGAGUAGUAUUGUUAAAGUCCUUGAGUUCCAAGUAUUGAGUUCUAUCUNNNNNNNNNNNNNNNNNNNNNNNNNNNNNNNNNNNNNNNNNNNNNNNNNNNNNNNNNNNNNNNNNNNNNNNNNNNNNNNNNNNNNNNNNNNNNNNNNNNNNNNNNNNNNNNNNNNNNNNNNNNNNNNNNNNNNNNNNNNNNNNNNNNNNNNNNNNNNNNNUGGCUAAGCUUUGAGUAAUUAUCUCAAACUAAAGAAAAAAGUUGUUUUAAAAGCAUAUGAGCUAAAGUAUAUUUUGGGAGUAGUAUUGAGCACCGAUAUGGGAAUGCGAGUUCAUAUUAACUCAAGUCUCCAUAAACCAUGUAGCCAUCAUGGGUAGUAAAUGAUCAUACUUUUUAGAUGAAUCCUUAAGAUGCUUUUAGCAUAGACUAGUGGAUCCACUUAGUUAAGCGUUCCAUAUGACGGCAAAGUAUAGGACAGUUCUGGUAGCGUGGGCAAGACGUUGUAUCACCACUUAAGCUCAUAGUGGUGGUUGUCGGUUAGAGAAACUCCCACAGUAAUAAUUGCAUGGUUCCUCAAGGGGUUCUACUUAGUAUGAAUGGGGGUAUGAGACUUCAUUCAUACAUUGCACAAGUAGACUUUGAGAGGGAACAUGAUAUGUCUUUUCAUGAUAUGAGUAAAGUUGAGUUUGUUAUCACACUUUCUUUAACGAACUAAGUUGUUUUUACUGUUUUAUAAAGUUUUCAAUAUAUUGCAUCUCUUAUUGUUGCUUUAUAUUGAGUUGAGUAUCCAGAGUUGAGUAUCUAAUCUUUGAGUUAAGUAUCUAUCCUUGAAUUGAGUAUCUAUCCUUGAGUUGAGUAUCUAAUCUCUGAGUUGAGUAUCUUAUCCUUGAAUACUUCUGAGUUAAGUAACUUUGAGUAGUUUUUGAGUAUCCUUGAGUAUUCCUUGAGUUGAGUAAGUUUGAGAAGAGGUAUGUAUGUUUCCUUUUUAUCAAGUUUCAAGCUUAUGUUUAUACUUUAGAAUUCCUCUUACAUGGUCGUACAUUUCACGUACUGAGCCAUUUGGCCUGCACCUUUUCAUGAUGCAGACACAGGUAUUCAGGAUCAUAACAGGAGCUGAUACAUCUGAGAGUUCGAGUUAGCUAUGGUGAGCCUCCUUGCUUUCGGAGGAUUUCAUUUACUUUUCAGUUUAGUCAGGAUGUCGUGGGUCUUGUCCCGACUUCCAUCUUUAUCAGUUAGAGGCUUCAUAGAUAGUCAGUAUAGUUAAGAAAUCUAUAUUAUUCAUUUAUUUUAUUAAAUGUUUUAAAGACUUAAGUGCCUAUUUUAUGGCGAGUUGAAUAUAUUAUUUUUAUUCUAAGUUGUUCAUUUGAGUUAAAGUUUCAAAAGUUGAGUUUAUUGAAUUUUAUUUCAGUUUUAAGCUUUUGCAUGCUUAAGUUAGUCUUCCCCUUGUAGUCAGUCAGGAUGAGGGUUCGCUUGGAGACCAGCAAUGGUUCUUGAGUGUCGGCCAUGUCCUGAGUGUAGACUCGGGUCGUGACAGAAUCAUACAUUUUUAAAAAUGUUAUAUUACAUUAAAAAGGAAUUACGAAUAUUAGGGAUUUAAUUAAUGAUCUUAUAUGAUUUAUAAUAUGUUCAUUACAAAUAUUAUAUAAUAGAAAUAAUAAUACAAUAAUCAAAAAGUGAAACAUAAAGUAUGAAUAACUAUUAUUCACCUCUCUAAAAUUGGAGAAUGGAGAGUGAUAGAAAGUAGUAGGAGAACUCAUUCUCUAUUUACUCUCCAAAUAUAGAGAAUAGAAAAUAAUUUAGAGAAAGGUCGGAGAUGGUAUUUAUUCUAAAUCAGAGACUGGAGGUUUGCUUUUUGGCCUACCCUGAAAGAAGAAUACCAGGUGUUAACCGUUUAAGACCAUCUCCAACCCACUCUAUUUUACUCUAUAUUCUCUAUAUUUGGAGAGUAAAAUAGAGAAUGAGCUCUCCAACCAUUUCACUCUCUAUUCUCCAUUUAUAGAUAGAUGAAUAGUAGUUCUCCAAAUUAGGAAAGCUACUAUUCAUCCUUUCUAUUUCACUUUUUGAUUAUUUAUAUUAUAUAAUAUUAAAAAUUAACAUAUUAUAAAUCAUAUUAGACUAUUAAUUAAAUCUCUAGUAUUCGUAGUUAUUUUUUUUAAUGUAAUAUAACAAUUUAAAAAUAUAUAUUAUUUAAUCUACUUUCAUCCCGAAUUAAUAAUAUUUUGAUUUUUAAUUUUUUUUUUCAUCACUUUAAAUAUAUAAUUUACAAAUAUUAUUAUUAUUAUUAUUAUUAUUAUUAUUCACUAUGAAGAAUGCACAAUAUUUAAAUGAUAGGAUGAAUUUUUAUAUUUUAAAAAUACAAUACAUAACAUAAUAAUUAAGAACAAAAAUGCUCAUUUUGAACUCCAUAAUGCAUUAAUAGAGCAUUUAUGGGAGCAACGCAAUAAUCUUGAAAGUUGAGAUUUAUGUAAUGUUUAUAUAAUUGUACUUCAUUAAUGAUUUCACUUUUAUUUGAAUUGUUCAUUAAUAUGUGUAAUGCAAUUAUGUUAUUUAGGAAUUUAGAAUAAAAUAUAAUUUUGGAUUAAACAAAGAAUUUGAAAAAGAAUAAAAUUUUAUAUUACAUAAAGAUUAUAUAGGAUGAUUAUUUAGAAAAAGAAAAAGAGAAAGGAUUUAUAUUUAUAUUAUGAAAUAAGAAAUUAAAAUGAAAUAGAAAUAAUAAUAUUGAGAAAAGAGAGGGAAAUUAUUUUUUAGAGAACAAAAUAGAAAUUUGGGUUGUAAUUGGUUGUCUCAUAGUGAAAUAGAGUAAAUUUUGUGGAUUCUUCAUAGUGAAAAAUAAUUAUAUUUAAAUUACAUAUUUAAAGUGAAGAAGUUAAAAAAAGUUAGAAAAAUUAUUAAUCCAGAAUGGAAGUAAUAUACUUGUCAAUAGUAUUUUUUUAGAUAUUAUAUUACAUUAGAUAAUAAUUACAAAUAGUAAAGACUUAAUUAAUGGUUGGAGUACUACUAUAAAAGUAAAAAUUUGAAGAACUACUAUUUAUCCCUCUAUAAAUAGAAGAUUCUAUUCUCUAUUUUACUCUCUAAAUAAAUAGAAUAGAGAGUAAAAUAGAUGGUAGAUGUUUUCAAGAAUGGAGAUUUUCUAACUUGUUUACACAGAUGAUACUUCAUUUUUUUUUGUAAUAUCAAUUUAGAGCAAGGAUUUAUUAGACCCAUUCUCACAGUUUUUGAAGUUAUUUCUUACAUUGGGGUAAUGAAAUGAGUCCAUUUUGCUCAUAUUUAAUGACUUGGAUCACUCAUAUUUUAAUUGAUUAAAUAUGGACUUCAAGCUAUUUUAAGAGUCUCUACAAAUAUAGUCAAAAUGGGUUACAUAGUAUCCAUAUUGACCCAUAAUAGAUCACUUAGUUUUCACUUCCACUCAAAAUUCUUAAUUGUGCUAAAAAUUAAAAAAUUUAAUAUUAAUUUUCAAAAAUGUAAUUAAUUUUCAAACUUGAUUGAAAAAACAAUUUUUUGUUUUUGUUUUUGGAAAACAAAAAAAAUUUAGGGGUAGGUUGGUGGAAGGGGGCGCACUGGGGGUGGGNNNNNNNNNNNNNNNNNNNNNNNNNNNNNNNNNNNNNNNNNNNNNNNNNNNNNNNNNNNNNNNNNNNNNNNNNNNNNNNNNNNNNNNNNNNNNNNNNNNNNNNNNNNNNNNNNNNNNNNNNNNNNNNNNNNNNNNNNNNNNNNNNNNNNNNNNNNNNNNNNNNNNNNNNNNNNNNNNNNNNNNNNNNNNNNUGGGGGAGGGGGGGGGGGGGGGUAAUUUUUUCUUUUUUUUUUUGAAAAAACAGUAGGUUUGUGGAAGGUGGGAGGGUGGGUGAGGGGUGCCGGGGAGGGGGUAUUUUUUUUUAAAAAAAAAACAUAUUUUUUAAAAUGGGUUAGAACCAUUUUUACCCAAAUCAUAUUUGAUCAAAUUCAUAUUUACCCAUAUUCUAUUCCGGUGGAUUGUAAUCCCAACCAUUUUUGCUCAAUCCAUAUUCAAUCCAUCCAAAUCCGAUCCAAUCCAACCAUUUGCCACCCCUACAUUAAGAUAAGAGCCUGAUACUCCCUGUUAGUGAGGUGAGGUUCCCAACAUGUAAGUAGGUGCUAGCCAAUGCCCAGGGCUCUGGGACCUGCACUUGUUAUGCUAUCAGGACACACUGGGAGGCUAUGUUGGUUGGACUCUUCAAAAAUGUCUACGGAUACAUAUCAAAUUCUUCAAAAAUAGUGUAAUUUUAAAGAAUCUGACAAGGGUAUAACAUCAAAAGUGAAGAAUCCACAACUUAGUUGAGAGGAGUAUGCUCGAAACAUUGGCUUCAUAGUUGGUAGUAUAAGGAAGAUUUCCUUUUGGAGUGACAACUGGAGCGCCGACUAAAUCCGGAUUGUGCAUUGCAGGGCCCAUUUAUAGGUUUAUUACACUUACCAGAUGCUAUUGAAGCCACCAUAGAUAAAGUCUGAAACUUACAUAGUCAGAUUUUUCCUUCAGAAGACUACUAAAAAUGAUUUGAGGUUGAUAGAGUGGCUGAUAUGUUGAAGAUUUUGGAGGACUGUCAAAGCACAAGGGAAGUAGAAGAUGCAGUCUCCUGGAAGGGGGACAAAAACAAAACUUUUAGUCAGCUAUGCCUUUUCCAUGCUCUCUGAACCAACUAAGGUGACGGAAUAGCUCUGGAGGUUCAUUUCGAAAACAAAAGCCCCUUACAAAGUGACUUGGGACUCUUCCAUAAUGUCAGUGUGCAUAUCGGAUUCUCCCAAAGUAGUGUAUUUUUGGAGAAUCUAAGACGGAUCCGAAAGUGAAGAGUUCGCACAACUAAUGUUAUAGUACAGUUCUGCUGGGUAUCCCUUCAGAAAUUUUAGGACAGACGUAAACUGUAUUAGAGAACUAAACUUCCUGGAGUGUAAAAUGAGAUAUGGAUGAUAUUAGUAUGAAAAUGUAACAAGUGACAUGAGGGACUUUGGAAAGCAAUUUUAAGCACACCAGAAAGCACAACAUACUGAAGAAUUUUAUUAGGGUAUCCCAACAUCUAGAAGUGUAAAAUAAAUAUCUUCAAACUGGCUAUAUAACAAAUACGUCUUCAUAGGACUCCCCAAUUAAUAUGAUCUCCAAUAAGCAAUUAUUACUAGACAGCAAUGCUUCAACUAAAUAAAUUUAGCUGUUUUACCGAACUGCUUCCUCCCUACCUAGGCGAUCAAAGCUAAAGCUUCUUGAACUCAUUUGACAUCAACCAUCCAAUUCAAACGGUAGGGGUCAGGAAUUUGUAUUGUUGCUUUUACUUUUGUCUGCAUCUUGACGCACAAAUUGCCCUCGCAUGCGUGGCCUCUGUUCUGCAAGUCUCUUUCUACUCUGGUACCGGAC